RNAcentral lists this long non-coding RNA (117479 nucleotides) under Citrus maxima (pomelo). RNAcentral's name for it is "long non-coding RNA (CMAX_LNC000736)". The stretch from base 39870 to 40008 matches the Rfam family "Small nucleolar RNA Z247". Lineage: Eukaryota; Viridiplantae; Streptophyta; Magnoliopsida; Sapindales; Rutaceae. The record is from RNAcentral.
AGAACUAUCCGGCCCUUUCCUUCAUGAAUGUGUGUUGAGGUUGCUGUAUUAUUUAGUCAGUAUUUGUAAUUUUCUUCCCUGCAGUGCUCUCUGCCUCCUGAAUUUGCUACUGAGUCCAUAUUUUUCUUUGAGCUGUUCCUUCCUAUUGCUGUUACAGUUACAAAUCUGGGCAAGCAAUAAGAUACACCGGGAGGAAAGGUCAUCAAGGGGAAAAUGGGAUGUCCAAUCCCUCAUCACAUCUUCUUCAGAUUUGUAUGGUCCAGAAAAGUCCGCUAGUGUUGAAAAAUUACCUAGGCAUGUACAAUUUACUUUUAAGAAUCCUGUUAGGUGCGCAUUGUUUGGAUCACAUUACGUCUUCAGAGACCUGGUUCGGCUUCAGUUAAUUUCGGGAAGGACUUCAGUCUUUUGUCUCUUGAUGAAGAUGAAAACCCCUUUGCACAAGUAGACAGACGUGCUUCAUUUGGAGGAGCAGUUGAAAAUGAACCAUGUAUUCAUGCCAAAAGAAUUCUUGUAGUCGGAAGCCAGUAAAAAGGGAGGGGCUUACCUCAUCACAGAGCUCUGAGCAGCUAAGUAUUAGAAACUGGUUGGAUAGAGCUCCACAAAUGAGUAGAUUCAAGGUAUUAGUUGCUUUCACUCUUUGUUCAUUCAUAAUUCCAGCUUUCUGCUUCACUGAUAAAACUCUUUUUUCUCUUCAGGUCCCAAUUGAGGCCGAGAGAUUGAUGGACUACGAUCUCGUCUUGGAACAGUAUCUACCUCCAGCAUCACCUUCGCUUGCCGGAUUCCGUCUAGACUCUUUCAGUGCAAUAAAACCUAGGGUUACCCAUUCACCUUCCUCAGAUUCAUUUACAUGAGAGAAAGAGUUUUGGGUUUGACUUUGAUUUUGAUUUGUAUUUGUUGUCAUUUCAUUGAAAUUUCUUUUUGUUGUAUAAAAAUCAGAAGGUAAAAGUAUUAAAUUCACUGAUGCGGUAAUAUCUGUGCUGGUUACAGGAUUUUAUGUUUAACUUGAAGUUAGUAAGCAAUGACUUAACAAUAGCACUUUGAAUUUAACGUGGAUCAUAUUGUAUUUGAAAUUAAAAAAUAAAGAGAGAGAAAUUAAUUGUUAAUUGAGUUGGACAAUUUUCCGUGGUUAAUUGCUCCCAGAAAAGAGAAGAAUGGGAUUGUGCUUCCUCACACGAAGAAAGACUCGAACGUCUUCGUGCUAAUUAAUCAAUGAAAGAUUUUGUCAAAUAUCUGGCCCUUUCUUUCUUGAAUGUCUGUGUACAAGUUGCUGUGUCAUUUAGUCAAUAUUUGCAAUUUUCUUCCCUGUAGUGCUCUCUGCUUCCUGAAUUUAUAUUAGUGAUCUGGUUUCUGAGUGCAUAUUUUUUCUUUCUCGUUGCUGCAGGUUUGUCGUUGUCAAACAGAAUCAAGUUAUAUUAUUAUUGUGAUCCUUAUGAGCUUGGAAAAUGGGCAAGCCUUUCUGGAGUUUGAUCGUUAUUUAUAUGUUAGAGAAAGAGUUCUGGGUUUGUUAAAACUCAUUAUUAUAAUUUGAAAUAUGUGUUAUUUCAGCUAAUGAUUAACACUAAAAAAAUUAUCACCCAUAUAAUUUUUUAAUUUGUGUAGGGUAAUAAUAAAAUUGAAAAUAAUUAAAAAAAUAGCACAAUAAUGAGUUUUAACAAUAAAACAAAUUAAAUGAAAAUUGAAAAUUUAGAAAAGUGUAUCUAAGAAAAUGGAUAUUUUCAGAAAUAAAAUGAAUAUAACUAAAAAUGGGGUUUUAUGAGGAGAUCAAAGGGGUGCCAAUAGUCCAACUCGUAAUUAAGAAUCUCCCAUUACAUUGUCAACCAAAAAGACACUUGCAUAAGAAAAAAAAUUUCUGUUUGAUUUUAUUUGUAGAUCCAACAUUUCUCAUAUCCUGGUCGCCUUUCCGUAUCAAAUUAAAAUAGUAUUAGCAAAAUCGUAGUGCAAAUUCAAUUAACCAACUAAUAGUCUAAGAAGCAAAGAGAGGAUUACAAGUUCACAACACCAUUACAAAGGAUUCAAAAUUCCCACACGAAAACAUCAAUGUACAGAUUAUAAACAAUCCGAAUUGGACACAAGAAAAACCCUUCAAUGGAUUGCUUGCCUUCCCAAUGCUAAAUACUGUGCAAACUGCGCAUUGGCCAAGAAAAUGUUUUCAAUUUAGUGUAUUUUCAAAAUGCUUAUUUUCUCAGAAUAUAAAAAAUGAAAAAAUAAAAAAAGAAUUCUUACAUGUUUCAUCAGCAUGAUUAAAAUCAAAGAAGAAAGCGAGACAUAAUGUCUCUGACAUAAUAAAAUUACAAAAAUUUCAAGAAAAAAAAAGGGUUAAAACAUGUAAUCUUCAGAAGCAUAUAAUAAAAGAAGACUUCCACAAGUUACUACAAUUACAUGCAGUAGAGAUUAACUGAUGCUUUGACUUAUUAGCAGGUUGCAAUGAAUUAUUAACUGAUGCUUUGACUUAUUAGUUCUGCAGCUAAGUUAAAUAAAAUAAGGUAUUUUCAAAAGCAAAAUGGAAUACAUAGACAAAACAUCAUCUUAAACAAAUCACAAUCUAGAAUUAGAGUGUUGAUUUGAGAUUCUAGAUUGUGAUUUGAUCGGCUCAUUUGUUAAGAAGUGUUGAUUUGAUCGGCUCUGCAAAUUCUCUUGGGACUCGGUUCCAAUUCCUCUUCAUCAAAACUGUAAUAUAAUUCCCCUUCAUCAGAACUCGAAUCAAAUUCACUUGCAGCAGUUCCACUCGCGCUUGGCAAAUCAUCUAAUUUCCAAACUUCGGUAGCAAAAUUGAGAGUAAAAGUGUUGGCUUUGAUCUCGCUGGGAUUUGCAUAUACUGGACAUACUCCGCAACGUUUUAUCUUCUGACCCUUUUGGACCUUUAGGUUUCGGCAACACUCAUUGAAGAACUUAAGUGAGACAGUUGUAUGAUGGUAACCAUCAGGAAAGCCAACAUUCAAGCAAGGUUUAAAACCAAGUAUGACAUGAUCUGAAUCAAUGAGGUCUUCAAUUGAGUGCGAAUCGAAACUCAGAUGAACAUGUUUGGUUUCAGAGAGAGUCUUUAUUUCUAAGUCGGAUCGACAGCCGACGUAAACAUUACGAAAACGAUCAGAAUAAAGUUGCUUAAAAUCAAGAACAGCACAAAAAGCAAACCCGAUUAAGUUUCUGCAAAAAGAGUGCGGUGGCAGUUGAAUACGUAUUGAAGAUCCUGAACUUUGAUUGCUGAACCAGUCAGGAAUUUUGCUCCCAGGUAAAACAAUUUGGGAUCGCCUGAGUUCAGAAAGUUUCUGUGAAACGACAUUUAAAAAAAGAAAAUUGUCAAAUGAAAACCAUGAUUUCAGAUAUAACAAAGAGGGACAGAGUAAACAAGAGAGGGAAUUUGAUACCUCGUCGAUUGUCUUUCCCCGUCUCAGUGAUGCUGCAAUUGCCAUACGUAGUGAAUCUGCCAAAAUCUUGUUGUUUGCUUUUCCAUCAAGUUUCAAGCAGUUAGUAAACCGAAAAUAAAUUGGUUGUGACAGUCGAUAUUCCGGAUGCCAUUCACAAAGGUCAGGAGAGGGUUUGGAUAGCUUUUCGAGUACGGAUGCAUCUAGUUCUUGUAGACAUGACGGAAUCUCUGGCAAAGAUUGAAGCCGGUUGCAGUUCGUUGCAUUUAGUGAAUGUAGACACAAUGGAAGUUCUGGUAAUGACCGAAGCAUGUUACAACCCGUCAAGUCAAGAGAUUCUAGACACAAUGGAAGUUCUGGUAAUGACUGAAGCAUCUUACAACCCUCCAAGUGAAGAGACCUCAGCUGCGACAGUUGCUUGAUACUUGCAGGUAAGCUCUCAAAGCUAUUUCCACUUAGAUUUAAUGUUGUCAGUGAGGAUAGACAGGCAAUCUCUUGUGGAAUUUCCAUUACAGCACAGUUCCUCAUAUCUAGAUGUCCCAAAUAAGCUAAACCUAAUAAAAACGAUCGAGGCAAUGAUACCAAACCUUUGCAGCGAGAGAAGUAAAGAACUCCAAGUCUGUUUGAAUAUGCAACAGAGGAUGAUGGUAGUUGACUAAUAGCUGAUCCAACUGCUGAGAUGAUAAACAAACAUUUUAAAUUGCCAAUGUUAUCCGGCAACUUAUCAAGCUUAGAGCAAUCUUCUACGAACAAUUCUUCAAGCCCCGGUAGAUUUUCAAAUGACGAUGGCAGCUCUGUAAUUGCCGUCUUGUUUAAAUUGAUGCGUUCUAAAUGUUCCAUUUUCUCCAAGAUUUCUGGGAAGCGCUCAAGGUUCACGCAGCCAUUAAGAAAAAGAUCAACCAAAGAUCUCAAUUUACAAAACCUAGUUGAAAUCCUCUUCAGCCGUUUGCAAUACUUCAAAUUCAACUUUUUAAGAUCAGUUAGGCACUCUAUUGAUGACGGAACUUCUUCUAUUGCAGACUUGCUCAAGUUUAGCGAUGUUACUUUCCCAGAAAUCAGUGGAAACUCUAUGAGAUUAACACAAUAGGAGAAAUUAAUAGUUACUGGACAAACAAAAUGAAGAUUGCUUGGAAAAGACCUAAGACUUUUGCAGCCCUCAAAAGACAACGCACUGAGAUACUUGAAAUUCUGGAUAGAUGAGGGAACACAAGCCAAGUUUGUAUAAUCCAAAAGAUAUGUUUCAACAUUUGGGGUUUCAAAUGGGCCUGGCAUCUUAAUGAAAUGUUGAGAAUGGCUGAGGUUAAUAGAUUUUAACUUGAAAGCUUCCUGCAAUAACAGAUAUAUAAAGACUAUAUUAAUUAAAAAGCAACAUUGAAUUCAACAAUUAAUUGCACGUAUAUUUAAAGAAAGAAAAAAUUAAUGUUUUAGUUUUAGUACAAAACUUACCUUUUCUCCUUCCCAAAGUUGCUCAACUUUACUACAACUCAAAUUCAGUGCAACAAGGUUCUUUGGCUUGAAAUUUGAUGGCAGUGUCCUUAAUGGAUAUGUGUCCCAAUGAAGAUAUCUCAAUUUUUUAGGAAGAUAAUCUAGGCCAUUUGGAAGCUGCACUUUAGAGUAUGAAAGAUGCUCUUCAAUGCUCAUACUUGGAAGCUUUUCAAUCCCAUAAAAUUUGAGCAAUCUCAUAUUAGACAUAUUUGUGAAGGCUCCGGGGUCUAAAUUGAUGCGUUUUAUUUUGGACAAAUCCAGAAAUAUGCCUUCAAUUGCAUCGGUCCCCUUAUUAAAAAAAAAAAAAAGAAUGAGUAAGCCUAAAACUCAAAAGAAACAUUCGUAAACUUUAUUAAUUAAGAGCUCCUUAAACAAAAAUAAAUUACGCAAUCUUUGAUUUUAUUUUUUUAAUAUAUUAAAUAUCUAUAUGCGAGAAAAGAAAAUUUUGGGGACCAUUGCAAAAUUAAACUAACUGAAAAAAAAUUCAAAAUUUCUCUAAUUUACAAACCUGUUAUCUUAAUAUCUAGAAGUUGAGAAGACAAGGCCUAUUUGAUUGGUAUAAGAUUUCGAUUUUUUUUUUUUUUAGUCCAUAGAAUCCAAAAUGUUAGUUCAAAAUUAGGGAAAAAGUCAUUUUUUUUCCACUAGCUGUAAUUGUAUCCAAGUCAAAUUGAGAUACGACCCUUUUCAAAAGGAUUUAACCAUCUUACAGCCUCCUUAAGGCACAUUUAAGCUAAAAGGAGUGAUUGGAGGCAGAACUAGGUGGGCCAAUCAGUCCAUUUUAUUAGUGACCGUUGCUUAAAAAAAAUUAUACUCUAAACCACACUUACUUUUUUGAAAAAAAAAUGUAAUUAUAUUGAAAUAAAAUCAGGUGGGCCAAUCCUCAUGGCACUCACUUUGUUCUAACACUCUUCACUAAAUUUGAAGAAAAAUAAAAUUAUACUCUUCACACUCGUAUUCAACAUUCCAAAAUUGAUAAAAUCGGGAGUUUUCUUUAAAAAUUUAAAAUUUGAAGACUUGUUCUCUUGACACCCUCAGUCAUUAAUUUUACCUAAUUAUGGUUUUUAUGAUUUUGGUUGUUUUGUUCAUAAAAAUGCUUUUACUAAAGGAUGUUCUGGUAAUAAUAAAAUUUAUAAAAAAAACAUGGGUGUGCUGAUAUAGUUGGAAAAAUAUGAGUGCAUAACUCCAAACAAAUAAAAGAUAUAUAUAUAUAUAUAUAAAUGGAGGAUUCUUACCUUAUUAUGCUUUAGUACGCGGCGGAUUUCCUUAGGAUCCCACAACCUGCUGCGUUUGCCUGGCUCUUUCUCAGAUUCUUGGCGAACAAUCUGUCGCCCCAUUUCUUGCAAUAUAUCAUGCAUCUGCAAGGAAUCACCUGAUAUUGAUAUGAGUGACUUAUCAAUAAGGACAUCCAGUCCAUCAGACUCAGAAUCAUCAAGAAUCCUUGCCAGAAAAUCUUUAUCCCCUCCCUCGAAGAAACACGCAAUAUCUAGAAAUAUGCUCUGCACCCUGGGCGUUAAUUCAUAAAAACUAAUCUUUAAUAUUUCAUAAAUAUUAUGAAUAUCAGAUUCACAAAUCCGAUUUAAGUCGUCCAAUACAUUUUCCCAAUGGCUUUUCCUCUUGAGAUACAGGGAGGAACCCAACACCUUAAGAACUAAUGGAUUGCCUUUGGCAUACUUUACAAACCUCCGUGAGUGCCGAUUGAGAUCUUCAGGACAAUGAUUUUCUUUAAAAGCGAAGUUACAAAAAUGCUCGAAAGCCUCAUCCAAUCUCAAUCCAUUGACCCUAUAUAUUUUCUCCACUCCAAAUUUUUCGAGGACUCGUUUAUCCCUGGUGGUUACAACAAUUCUACUUCCUGGACCAUAUUGAUCAAGCCCUCCAAUCAAACCCUCUAAUUGUUCAUCUUUAUUCACAUCAUCGAGUACAAUCAACACCUUCAUGCGUCGGACCCUCCCUUUAGUAAAUUGUGGAAUAUUGGGACCAGCUACUUCAAGUUUUUCACUUAAUAUUGUCGAAAGCAUUUCCUUUUGUAGGUCUUCUAGGCCACCCUCUGUUUCUGAUUUUCUCCUAACAUUUUUUGCAAAGUAUUUACCAUCAAACUCACCAGAGAAUUGAUCGAAAAUAGCUUCAGCAAGGGUAGUUUUGCCUAUACCACCCGUGCCCCAAAUUCCAACAAUUUGGACAGUAUCCCACAAAUCCAUACACAAAAAUGGUUUAAUCUGCUCAAUUCGUGAAUUUAAUCCAACUAGGCCGUUGGAUGAGUCCGUUGAGACUGUUAUUUUUUCCAACUUCUUCAAAACAUCUUCGACAAUUUUGUUUACAAGUUGCGCAUCAAGCCUAAUAUGAAGGUGCAAAGAUGCAAAAACAUUGAGUCAAAUCGGGCCAAGACAGAAACAGAGAAAAGAUGAAUUAGGAAAGAGAGUUACCUGAAUUUCGUGGAUUCAUGGCCGGCUAGAUGGGAUGUUUCUGUCAGUGCAUCCCUCCACUUCUGAACCAUUUCUGGUUUAUCUUUGAACUGUUUUUUGAGCUCAUCAAAACGGUCUCCAAAUGUUCCGUUUUGAUGCCGCACAUCAGAUGGACUUACUCCAUAGAAGACUGGAAUAAUAAUUUGGCCGUUUGUGUUCUUGCAUUCAAGAAUCUUGACAAGUUCAUUCAGGCACCAUUUUGAAGAAGCGUAGUCCUUUGAGAAAAUGACCACCGAAAUUUUUGAACCUUGGAUUGCGUACAAAAGGGCGGGUGAAAUCUCAUCUCCUCGCCUAAGCCCUUCAUCAUCAAUAAAUGUUUUGAUUUUCUUUCCUUCAUACAAUUUAUCAUAGAGAUAGCAAGUAAAGCUCUUACGAGUGUCCUCCCCUCUAAAGUUGAGGAAGACUUCAUAAUUGCCACAAGAAGAAGAGGAAGCCAUGAAGGAAAUUUUAGAAAAUUGGUGACAGAAACAGAGAAUUAAUCUUGAGAGUUGAGAGAGGAGAUGUAAGAAUGAACAUGUGUGAAGAUUCUUGCGAGUACAUAGUAAAUAAUUGAAUGGCUGGAGCUUUCUUAGUUUCCUGGAAAUUUCCUGGAGCUUUCGUAUACAUGAUUUGUCAAGUCAUGAAACAUAAUCAUGAUAAUGGGGCAGACCAAAAAGAAAAGCAACAAUUCAAAUAUUUGAUUCAACCAGUAUAAAAAGGAAGGAAAAGCAAAGAAAGGAAAUGUUGAAAGUAGAGUUAGGGAAUUAUAAAAAGCUGAAGGAAAUUGGAAUUUUGUACAAUUUCUCCAGCGAGGAACUUUCACAGUCGUUACCUCAUUGUUACAGUUUAGAUUAAGAUUUGAGGGUGCAAGCAUUUACCUAGAUUUUACCUCCGCACUAAAUUCUUAAGUUUGAAAAAUUAUGAGACCUUUAUAUUGGAAGAUAUUAUAAUCGAAUCAAAACUUAAAAUUUUAAUAUUGUUAAUCUUUAAUCUUUAAAAAAAAUUACCUUGCCGUUACAAUUUGGAUUAAGAUUUGAAUAAGCAUUUACCUAAAUUUUAUCUCCGCCUGUAAAUUCUUAUGUUUUAAAAAUUAUGAGACCUUUAUAUUGGGAGAUAUUAUAAUCGAAUCAAAAUUUUGAAUUUCAAUAUUAUUAUUCUUUUAAAAAAAUUUGAGAUAACAGAGUGAUUGAUAAUAGAGAACUUGUCUAGGCAAACACAUGCAUACACAAAAAUGUGAUGGAUUCAAAAAGAAAUUAAAGUGAUAAUGUACGUGGAUCCUUAAAACAAAAAGCGAAAUCGCUUGGUGGCCCAGUAAAAUUAAGACUGAAUAUUUUUUACACGAGAAGUCAAGCUCAUAAAUGGCAAAAGCCAUUUCAUUUCACUUUUACGCGUCAUUGACUUUUGUAACACGGUGUAUGCAUCGUCAAGUGGGGCAAAAGGGUUUCGAUUACAGUGGGAAAACAUGAACAAGAAUGCAUAAUGAAUAAUUCUUUCGAUAAAGCGAAAAUUAAACACAGAAUAAUCCUAAAAUUUAAACUCUAAUAUCUUAUAAUGUAUUGAUUAAAAAUAAUCCUAAGAGUUCCCAAUUGAAACUUUCAUAAGUAUUUUUAUUGUUUUGGAUAAACAAAUUGCACUAGGAAAACAAUUUGGCAAAUUCAGAGGAUAAUGAAAAAUAGCUAUGCUUCAAUAGGCCAAAGAUUAGAGAACAAAGAAGAAUUAGUUAUUGAUAUACGAAAGAGAAACACUCCAAAAUUUCAAGCAAAAUAUUUUCAUAUACCAUUUCGAUUUUGGAAGGGGUGUGGUUUUGAACUUCAAUAGUUUCCUCUAAAAUCAAAAGGCAGCAAUUAAGCUAGAAAGAGCAAAGAAGACUUUUUGGUACCUUAUUGAAGGUAAACAUUAUGGAACUUCCAAUGUCAUUACCUCACUGUUUAAUUUUUAUUGAGAUUUGUGCAAGCAUUUACCUAAAUCUUACCUCUGCCUGUAAAUUCAUAAGUUUUGAAAAUUAUGAGACCUUAUAUCGGGAGAUAUUAUAAUCGAACUAAAACUUAAAAUUUCUUUUCUUUUCUUUUUUUAUCAUAAAAGGGCUCUUAAGAGAGCUACGACAACACUAAGUGGGAGUGUGCAACCCCAUGAACAUCAUUAAUCAAUAUGUUUAGCGUAUUUGGAGGAAUAGAUUGAAAGCAAUGUAAACCCAAAGGAAACAAAAAGCUGUACGAAGUAAGGAAAUCUGCUGCUACAUUGGUUUCUCGGUAGAUAUGAUCCACUUUGAUCAGCCAAUCACGCCAAAGGAGUUCUUCGAUGGCCUGAAUGAGAAUAAAAUGCUCAUUGACGGGAGGGUUUUAGUUAGAGAUUAACUUCAUAACACACAUGCUGUCUACUUCCACGUAAAACUUAAAAUUUCAAUAUUAUUAUUCUUUAAAAAAAAAAUUGAGAUAUCAGAGUAAUAUCACAUAGAAAAACUUGCCCACGGACGGUAAGCCAAAUGUCUAGUCAACCACAUGCAUAAAGCUAAGUAGAACAAGAGAACAGAGAAACGCGUGGGUCCCUAAAGAAAAGGCAAGCACAUAAAUGAAAAAGCCAUUACAUUUCUAUUAACACGGUGUGGCAGCAUAUGCACAAUCAAGUGAGGCAAAAGGGAUUCGCUUAUCGUGGCAGAACAUGGACGAGGACGCGUGACGAAUAAUUCCUUCGAUAAAACGAAAAACAAACGCAGAGAAAAGAAUUUCUUAUAUGACAAGAAAUCAAAGAAAUGUGAAGGAACAUGAUGAAGAAAUUGCAGACUGAUCAAUUAUCCCCAUGGACUCCUAUAAAUUCAACCAAAAUAACAAUUCGAAUCUUACCAAAUUCUUGAGUUAAAUUUAUUCAAUGCUUUUAUUUUUUUAGAGAAAUUUUUUCCAUUGCUACUUUCCCUUUUUUGGGGAAAUUAGAACCGCGGCAUGUAUAGAAAACAUUGAGGUGUAAAGCAACAUUAAUUUCAUGGGAUAUGCGUUAUACGCAUAAUAUAUUUUCAGUCCAAAUUCAACUAUACAAAGAGGCUUGAGAACUUAAAAUUAAGCACAAACUAAACAGACGAAGUAAAUACAUGAUUAUGCAACAUAACAUUAAUUCUCUUAAUUUAUAACUGUUUUUGCCACAUGAAUCUUGCACAGUUAAUCCUAAUUGAAGACUAAAAAAGAGCAAUUGGAAGAAGGUUUUGGAAUAGAAUGGUAUACAAUCGAUAUGAUCCUUUUCCAGUAGUCAACGCUAAUUAACUGCAGUUUCUAGACUCCUAAUUAUACUAGCCAUAGAAAACUGGUGAUCAAAUUAGAUUUUGAAAGGAAAUAAUGUUCAUUUUCCCUUCGCUGCCUUUUUUUUUCUUUUCUUUUUAUAGCAAAGAAUUAUAUCAUGAAAAGAAUCAAUUUAAUCACCUUUUCCAGCAGCACAAUUUUUCUUUUAUAAAAUUUGACCACAGAGACAAAGAAGAAUUAUUCAUACCUUCAUCAGUGAGGAAAUACUUUUCGGUAUGGCUAGGGUGAGAAAAGGCUUUCCACAAACACUUGUACUUUGUAUUCCUGUAAAUUUUCUUUAAAGUCAAUAAAAACCAUAAGUUCUUUACAAUAACCACCUCUUUGAUAAAAAAGUGCCGUAUUCCUUUAGAAUUUAAAACCGGCAAAAUCGGAAUCAGUGUCUUUGAAGAGACAUAAUGGUCGUAAUUCUUUAAAUGAGUUGGCUAUGGAAAUCCUUAUCCAAGAUUCUUUUACGCCAUAUUCUUUCGUAAACCAAAAUUCAUUUUGGAAUACUCUGUUGAGAAUGUCAAAUAAAACGGCAUUGAAGGAAGUUUUCAAAGGUAGAAUCCGCACUUGUCAAAGGGAUGAUCUGCACUUGUCAAAGACACGAUCCGCGUCAAACGAAUCGACACAUUUCCUUUCGUAUUCGCAUAUGUAAUCUUUGAAAAAAUGUAGCUUCUGCAUCUAUAAAUAACGCUCAGUGUAUAAUGUUUUAUUCAAGAAAAAAAACAAGUUUCUUCAUACUCGUCGUCCGAACAUACAGAGACCGUCUCUCAUAACUUCAGCCGAAUACUUGUGAUGAUGAUCAUUUGUGAUUUCAUCAGGCAAAGGGUUGAUGGUGAAAAUUUUUGUAUGUGUGAAGAAUUGAGCUGUGGAUAUAGGGGACUUAAGUGUAAUCGAAAGAGAGUUAUUAGGUCAUAGUGCAGAUUGCAUUCAGUUUAUGGGUCGCUAUGCAGAUAAUUUGUUGACGUGGCGAAAUCUGUUAUGGUCGUUAGUAUUGUUUCUGGAAAUUUUCUAGAAACCUCAGCAUAAAAGGGGCUUUUGCAUAGCCUCUGGUGUGCGUGUGAUUUCUCUUUCGUUUCCUCAUCAAAUUCUGUAAUUCUUGCUUUGAUAAAAAGCUUGUAAUCUCUUCUGUAAUGUGUGAUCAGUGCGUAAUCAUUUUGAGCAAUAAACGCUUGUGGGUUUUUCCUUCAAACAGUGUCGUUUUGGUCAGUUUGUUAGUUUGAUCUGUUGGUGGAAUUUUCUUUGGUUAUUUGUUCUCAAAAUUCAACCGUAUAUAAAGUUUGAACUCUAAUGGCUUAUAAUGUAUUGAUUAAGAAUAAUCCUAAGAGUUCCCGAUUGAAAUUUUUAAUGACUAUUUUUAUUGUUUUGGAUAUACAAAUUGCAUUAAGAAAAAAUAUUGUCAAAUUCAGAGGAUAACGGGAAAUAAUUAUGCUUCAAAAGGCCAGAGAUUUGAGAACAAAGAAGCAUUCAUUACUGAUAUACAAAAGAGAAACACUCCAAAAUUGCAAGCAAACUAGUUUCAUAUACUGUUUGGAUUCUGGAAGGGGUGAAGUUUUGAACUUCAGUUGUUCCUCUAAAAUCAAAAGCAGCAAUUAAGCGUUCUCAAUUAGAAAUAGCAAAGAAGACUUAUUCGUACCUUACUGAAGCUAACAUUAUGGCACGGUUGUUCAUAUGUAAUGGCUGCUCUGUUAUGCUAUAUGCUCUGUUAUGCUAGCUUCUCUGUUUUUGCUUACAGUUUUGAACAUAAAUUCUUGCUCAAAUAACCCAUAAUUAAAUAACACUAAUAUGGCUCCUGAAAUCCCAUAAUAGCUAAUUACGCAACUUUCUCCUCCUCCUCAAUUAUGUCUUCCCCUGCUCGGACACUAACUUCAAAAUUCAAUGCCCCGAAAAACAACACAAGAAAUCUUUGAGUUAAAUCGUGACCAGUUUAUAUAUCGUAGCAAUUGAAAAAGAAAAAGAAGAAAAGAGUUAAUUAUUAUUCAGACCUUCACUUAUUAGGAAGUUUGUUCUGCUAUUGGGUGAGAUCAAGCUCUCAGCAUAUACUUCCACAUGAUACUUUCUAACAUUUUCUUGAAAGCCAUCAAUCAUAAAAUCUUCAUACUUUUUUCCAUCCUUUGGAUCAAUAAGUACAAAUUUCUCAUCUAAAACAGACAAAAUAAAAUCACUGUCCUUCAUGGAACAUAAUGGCUGCAAUGCCUGAACUGAAUUGGCUAAUGAAACAUAGUCUUCUUUUCUUUCUCGACAUGGAACAUAGUCUUCUUUUCUUUCUGGACAUAUGUCUCUGUACUUUUCUCUCUCUACUGAUCCACACUUUUUCAUACUUCUAACUAUCAUUUUGUUUUUUUUUUUGGUUAAGUUGUGAUUUAUUCAAUUAUUUUGUAUUUUUAAUGACAAUUAUUUAAUAUUUAGUUAGUUUUGAUAUUGAUUAGUGAUUGAAAGUGUAUUUUAGAAGACUUCCGGUCUCUUGGAAAAAGGAAAAAUGGAGACGAAGAAGAAGUGUUCUUGAUUUUUUUGUAGGCAUUAAAGUUAAACGGUUUGAAAUGAUAUUUUGUUUUAAUUUCACUCAUUAAUCUCAUUCAGGAUAAAAUUAUAAAUGCAAAUAAAUGGGGUUUCAUGAGUUUUUUUUAAUAGUGUUAAAAGGUCUACUCACUAAAUAAACAUGUUUUACCCAAACCAAUCCGAUUAAUAAAGUUAUUGGGUUGGGUUGAUCAGGUUAAAAAUCAAAAUUAAAAAUUAAAUAAAUAAAAAAGGCGUUAAAACUAUCUGUUACUUGAAAAUAAAAAGAAUUUCAAAUAGUUAGUUCUAAUGUCCCAUAUCCAAAACAUGCAUAUUAAAUAAAUAUUAUAAGUUAGAGAUAAAAUAUCCAAGAAAUAAUGAAUGAAUGAAAUACCAUAUUUUUGUUGAGAAUUAAGAGUGUGAUUUUAAUUUUGAUAUUGGAGUCUAAAGCAAUAGAUAGUACAAUGAAAUCAUGAAUGCCACAUUUAAAUAAUGUCUUUUAUAAAAUAAUAAAAAGAAGUUAAAAAUUAGGUUAGCCAUUUAGGCGUUUAGGGUUUAGCAGUUAAGGAUGAACAUAUUAUUAUUAUUGUUGUUGUUGUUGUUAUUAUAACAAUUAUUAUUUACAUAUUAAUUAAUCCAACCCAACCCAAUUAUUAACAAACUAGGAAAUAAAACCGCACUUCGUGCGGCUUUAAAAGAAAAUUAAUAUUAUUUUUUUAUUACUUUACAAUUGAUGAAACUAAUAAAAAAUAUGAAUUAUUUUUAAAAUGACGUAAUCUUAUAAAACUAAUGUUAUUUAUGAAAGUUAAUUAUUUUUUUGUUAACAUUAAAAAUAUAUAUUAAUGUGUAUAGUUAAGUGUACACAACUUUUUCAUCAAUAAAAAUUAUGUUCACAUUAAUCAACUCUCCAUUUUUCUUAGUAUUAACAGACUCUCACAUCUUACAAAGUCUGACCCUUAUUAUUCAACUAUCUUUAUCAUAGUUUAACUCAUGAAGAAAAUAGUACUCCAUGAAGCAUACAAUACUAAAAAUUUAAAUAAGUCAAAAAAUAAAAACACAAAAACAUUUCUAAAGAGAAUGUUGGUUAAAUAAUAAAAAAAACUCAAACAUAACAAAUCUUAAAUGCUUAAUAUUUAUAGAGCUUGAAGAAGCCAAAAGAUACUAAAUAAAAGGUUGCAUAAUUAAAUAUAGGAUUAUAACAUUAAAAUUAGGUCAUAAGGCAUUGGUGAGGGAAGAGGAAGGAACAUUCCUUCUUAUAUUAAUUAGUUGAUGUAUUUUAAACCACUAAAGUUUAUUUGUUGGCUUAAUAAAAUAAAUGAAUGUUUCAAAACUUAUAAUUAAUUUAUUAUUAAUGGUUAUAUAUUGUUGAAUUUAAAUAGAAAGAGAAAGAGACAUGUAAUCUUUUGUAAUCUAUUAAUUAUUUUAUAUUUUUAAUAUUUUGUAAUGUAAUUAUUUUUUAAUCUCAACCAAUAUGUUAGAUAAUAGAGAAUAUAAAAAGAUGAGAAAUAAUAAUGCCACAAAUCUUAACUACUUAAUAUUUAUAGAGUUUGAAGAAGUCAAAAGGUACUAAACAAAAGGUUGCAUAAUUAAAUAUGAGAUUAUAGCAUUAAAAUUAGACCCCACUGGCAUUAUUGAGAGAAGAUGAAGGAACAUUCCUUCCUAUAUUAAUUAAUUGAUAUAUUUAAGCUACUAAAAUUUAAUUGUUGGCAUAAUAAAAUAAAUAAAUGUUUCAAGAUUUAUAAUUAAUUAUUAUUAAUGGUUACAUAUUAUUGAAUUUAAAUAGAAAGAGGAAGAGACAUGUAAUCUUUUAUAAUCUAAUAAUUAUUUUUAUUUUUAAUAUUUUAUAAUGUAAUUAUUUUUUUAAUAUCAACUAAUUUAUUAGAUAAUAGAGAAUACAAGAAGAUGAGAAAUAGUGAUGUCACAUCACCUCCUCUAGUCCCAACUUUAUAUAUAUAUAUAUAUAUAUAUAUAAUAUUUUGUAAUGUAAUUAUUUUUUAAUCUCAGCCAAUAUAUUAGAUAAUAGAGAAUAAAAAAAGAUGAGAAAUAAUGAUACCACAAAUCUUAAAUAUUUAAUAUUUAUGGAGUUUGAAGAAGCCAAAAGGCACUAAACAAAAGAUUGAAUAAUUAAAUAUGAGAUUAUGACAUUAAAAUUAGACUCUAAUGGCAUUGUUGAGGGAAGAUGAAGGAACUUUCCUUCCUAUAUUAAUUAAUUAAUGUAUUUUAAGCCACUAAAAUUUAAUUGUUGGCAUAAUAAAAUAAAUGAAUGUUUCAAGACUUAUAAUUAAUUAUUAUUAAUGGUUACAUAUUGUUGAAUUUAAAUAGAAAGAGGAAAAGACAUGUAAUCAUUUAUAAUAUAAUAAUUAUUUUCUAUUUUCUAUUUUAAUAUUUUGUAAUGUAAUUAUUUUUUAAUUUCAACCAAUUUAUUAGAUAAUAGAGAAUAUGAAAUGAUGAGAAAUGGUGAUGCCACAUCACCUCUUGUAGUCUCAACUUUAUAUAUAUAUAUAUAUAUAUAUAUUAAUUCAUGUCUUUUAUACCACUAAAGUUUAAUUGCUAGCAUAAUAAAAUAAAUAAAUGUUUCAGAAGACUUAUAAUUAAUAUUAUUAAUGAUUACAUAUUGUUGAAUUUAAAUAGAAAGAGAAAAAAAUUACAAAGAAUAUCCACCAAUAUUUUAGAUAUUUUAGAUAAUAGAAAAUAUAAAAAGAUGAGGAAUGAUAUAUAUUAAUAAAGUUACUAUUUAUUAAAUGAGUUAAAUACAAUCAAAUUAAUUAUGAGAAGAUGAAAAGCCAAAUCUAAAAAAAAAAUCUCUAUUUAUUAGAUAAUAGAGAAUAUAUAAAGAAGUAAAAUGGUGAUGCCACAUCACCUACUCAAGUCCUAGCUUUAUAUAUACACUAGAAAAUAGAACCGCGUUUCACGCGGCUUUGAAAAAAAAUUUUAAUGUUAUCUUUUUUUUUUAUUUUGCACAUGAUGAAACUGAUAAAAAAUAUGAAUUGACUUUUUUUUAAGAUGAAGCAGCCUUAUUAAAAAAAAACUAUUAGCCAGCAAUACAAAUAAAGAAGUAAUGUAAGAUAAAAAAUAAAAUGAGAGAAUAUAUUAUAGAAUGAUUUUAUUCAUUCUAAUUGUGUGGUACAAAACAAAAAGAUGAGCUCUCAUUUUAUAGUUACAUAAUCACUCCAUGAAAUUAAUGAAAAAUUAUGGAUCAUAAUUCCUUGUGAGAUAGUGGGAGUUAUAGGGAAGCUAAAGGUUGCUAAUGGAAGAUAGUGGGGAGACUAAGAGAUAUAUGUUAUGAACAUCUACAUUUAUUUUAAUAAAUUCAUAACACUCCCCCUUUGAUGUUCAUUAUAAAAAAUAUGCCUCAUUAAAAUCUAUUAGCCAACAAUACAAAUAAAAAAGCCACACAAUAUAAAGAAUAAAAUGAGAGAAUAUAUUAUAGAGUGAUUUCAUUCAUUCCAAUUAUGUGUGUACAAAACAAAAAGAUGAGCUCUCCUUUUAUAGUUACAUAAUCACUCCAUGAAAUUAAUGAAAAAUUAUGGAUCAUAAUUCCUUGUGAGAUAGUAGAAGUUAUAGGAAAGCUAAAGGUUACUAAUGGGAGAUAGUGGAGAGAGUAAAAGAUAUAUGUUAUGAACAUCUACAUUUAUUUUAAUAAAUUCAUAACACUCCCCUUUGGAUGUUCAUUACAAAAAAUAUGUCUCAUUAAAACCUUUAUAUAAUUGUUAUUGUGUAAUAACAAUCAAAUUAAUUAUGAGAAGAUGAAAAGUCAAAUCUAAAAGAAAAUUUCUCUAUUUAUUAGAUAGAUAAUAGAGAAUAUACAAAGAUGAGAAAUAGUGAUGCCACAUCACUCUCUCAAGUCUCAACUUUAUAUAGAUAUAUAGAUUUGAAAUGAUUGACUCAAUUAAUCCACAAUAAUUCAUUCAACUCGUCUAAAUUAGAUUAUGUUGAAUUUGAUUUGCUACACCUACAUUGAGCAACAAACCUCAACGACAUUCUACGAGCUCUUUGAUUGUUUAUAAAAUUGAUUUAGAGUACAUAAAGUGUAUCGACAAUGAAAGUGCAAAACAAAUUAUUGUACAUAUUAAAAUGUGCAAAACAAUGAAUUAUAUGUACAAACGAGUGCAAACACAUUUUUCAAUAAGAAGUUAAAAGAUAUUUAUGCAUGAAAAAGCCUACGUUUGUAGUUAUUCUAAAUUUUAAAAACAAAAUUUACAUUUAGAUCCCUAAAAUUUACGUAUAAGUAUAAAAGUUUCAAAUAUUGUCUAUUAUUUUUUUAACAUGCCUAUUCCUUAUGGAUAAUUCUGUCUCAUCACUAAUGUUGUUUCUUGCUUAGAAAAAAUAAAUGUCAUCUCCUUUUACAAUUUUUAUAGCGUCUCGAAAUAGACAAUAGGGGAUUUUGAAUUUUUUAAGUCUCAAGAUAGUCUCUAAUCGUGUGAGAAAGAUUUUCUUUCAAUAAUUUGGAGCUAAACAUAACAUAUUUUUUAGACUAAAAUCUAACUCUGCUGGUUAGUAGUUGGUGGUAUCCUUUUCAAGACUUGAGUCUUUAGAUUCGAGUUUUAUAUAGUGUACAUGUGUAUUUAAUUAAUAAUUUUUUUCAAAAAAAAAAAUUACAUCAAAUACUAAUAUUCAUGACAUAAUUUAGUUCAUAAUUUUUUUAAAUACAUCGAAAAAUAUAAUUUUUUAACAACUUAUAGGCACGACAAAUUUCAAGAUAUAAAUAUCAGUCAAAAUAAAUGAAAGAAAUAAUGGUGUCAAUUCUAAUUUCUUAACUAAAUUAAUUAUUGCAUGAGCCCCGAAUACGACAUGAGAGUUUGAUGGGCUAACUUGGCACAAGAACGCGAAUAGUUAACUCAUUUAAGAAAUAAUUCAACAAAAAAUAUAAUUGAUAAGAAUUCAGUAUUGAAAUGAAUUUUUUACGAAACAUUGAAUUAAUGAUUAUUAAGCAAGAACAAUAAAAAAAUAAAAUAAAAAUAAAUAUUAACCAUUGAUAAGCUUCAACAAGAACUUAACACAACCCUCAAUCCUAAUUCAAAUCAUAAAUGUCAUUCAUAUAUUCAUUAUAAAUCAAUAACAAAGGUUAUAAAUGUUUAGAAAUUCUAGAGGGAAGGAAGCUAUCUCCGGGGAAUCAACAACUAAAUUUGAUGUAAUUGUGGCACACGAUGGAAUAUGGAAACUACACCAUAAUUUCAAAUGCCGCCAUAGACAUUGACUUAUCUACAAUAACAAUGAUCUAAUUAAAAUUAAAAUAAAGUUUAUGGGCAUUUAUUAUUUUGCCAUUUCUCAUUUGCAAACAGGGAUAUAAUUAUAAUUUUACUUAGUCAAAGCAAUCAGUAAUUUUCUUCAUUAUCGGAGUGAAGUAAAAACAUUUAGAUUUUAAUGAGUGUACGGAAAAUUUAUCUUUAAAAAUACUUUCUUAAUGUGUGUGUAUAUAUAUAUUGAAAUAUUAUGCUAUCAAAAGUUAAUUUUAGAAAUUCCAAAUCCAAUAGCUAACACAAUUCUUUAAAGAAAAAAAAAAAAAGGUUGAUAAUCAGCAAUUAGUAUUACUUUCUAAACUUACUUCAACUGGUCGUUAAUGAGGGGCCUUGGGCAAGAGUGAUGAAUGUUUAGUCGGUGCAUUUGAUUGAUAGAUAUAUAAAGGGCCGAAACUUGAGAUUAUAUUACUUUUACAAAUUUUAAUCCAAUCACAUAUUUACUGAAACACAAAAUGAGUUAGGAUACUUUAUUUAGAACCCACAUUUUAAUAAGGCUUCAUUUGAUGUAGUUUUUCAAACAGUGAUUAUUUGAGUAAAGUUUCCUCAAUAGAGUUUUUAUCAAAUAAAUUUUAUUUAUUUGGUUGUCGAUAAGAACUUUUAUUAAAAAUUAUAAAAUUAUUUAAAUAAACAUAUUUUUUUAAAAUUACAUUAUAAAAAGAAUUAAAUAAAGUUAUAAAAGUAAAAUAUAUUUUAGAUAUUUUAAUAUUUAAGAAAAAAAUUUUGAAUCUCUACUUUCAGAAGCUCAAAUUUUUAGUUUUUAGUUGUAGAGACAAAAUAUCUUAUUUAAUCUUUAAAAGUUCUGCUAAAAACAAUCAAAUAACUAUAAAAUUUUUAAUAAGAGUAUAUAAAAUUAAAUAAGCAUUUAUUAAUAAUCACUUUAGUGUACUUAUCUAAUGACCAUAAGUGUUUAUUUAAUCUCAUAAGUUCUUAUUUAAUCUCAUGAGCUCUUUUCAAUUUUUUUUGUUGUUUGCUUUUUUUAGUAGAGUUUUUGAAAAUUAAAUAAACUAUUUUGUCUCUAUUAGGAAAAACUCAAAUUUUAGGUUUUUGUGAGUAAAUGUUUAAAUUUUUUUAAAAAUAUUAAAAUAUUAAAGUAAAAGUUGUAGAGACAAAAUAUCUUAUUUAAUGUUUAAAAGUUCUGCUAAAAAUAAUCAAAUAACUACAAAAAUUUUAAUAAGAGCAUAUAAAAUUAAAUAAGCAUUUAUUAAUAGUCACUUUAGUAUACUUAUCUAAUGACCAUAAGUGUUUAUUUAAUCUAAUGAGCUCUUUUUAAUUUUGUUUGUUUGUUUUUUUAGUAGAGUUUUUGAAAAUUAAAUAAACUAUUUUGUCUCUAUUAGGAAAAACUUAAAAUUUAGGUUUUUGUGAGUAAAUGUUUAAAUUUUUUUUAAAAUAUUAAAAUAUCUUUUCUUUAUUUCAUAAUCUUAUUUCAUUCUUCACAACAUAACUUUAAAUAACUCACCUAUUAAAAUAAUUUCACAAUUUAUAAUAAAAAUUUUAAUUGACAAUCAAAUAACAAAUUUUUUUUUAUAAAAACUCUAAUAAUAAAAAUUCUACUUAAAUAAAUUAUAUUUGAAAAGGUAUACCAAACGAACCUAACAUAAAAACAAAAAUUUUUACAUCCACACAAUUAAGCUUAAAACAAUUUCAAAUGAAUUUUAGACUACUCAAAGUACAAUACGUACCAAGUUUGGUAACUUAUUGGGGUCCGCUUGUAAUACAGCUCAUGAGCUCUUUUUAAAAAAAUUUUGAAUCUCUACUUUCAGAAGCUCAAAUUUUUAGUUUUUAGUUAUAGAGACAAAAUAUCGUAUUUAAUGUUUAAAAGUUCUGCUAAAAACAAUCAAAUAAUUACAAAAAUUUUAACAAGAGCAUAUAAAAUUAAAUAAGCAUUUAUUAAUAAUCACUUUAGUGUACUUUAUCUAAUGACCAUAAGUGUUUAUUUAAUCUCAUGAGCUCUUUUUAAUUUUUUUGUUGUUUUUUUAGUAGAGUUUUUAAAAAUUAAAUAAAUUAUUUUGUCUCUACUAGGAAAAACUUAAAAUUUAGGUUUUUGUGAGUAAAUGUUUAAAUUUUUUUACAAAUAUUAAAAUAUUUUUUUCUUUAUUUCAUAAUCUUAUUUCAUUCUUCACAACAUAACUUUAAAUAACUCACCUAUUAAAAUAAUUUCACAAUUUAUAAUAAAAAUUCUAAUUGACAAUCAAAUAACAAUUUUUUUUUAAUAAAAAUUCUACUUAAAUAAAUUAUAUUUGAAAAAGUAUACUAAACAAACUUUUUUUAGACUAAUCAAAGUACAUCUUCUCAUAAAAUAAUUUCACAAUUUCUAAAAAAAACUCUAAUUGACAAUUAAGUAACAACUUUUUUUUUUUUGUAAAAACUUUAUUUAUAAAAAAUCUAAUAAUAAAAAUUCUAUUUAAAUAAAUUAUAUUUGAAAAUGUAUACUAAACCAACCUAACAUAAAAACAAAAAUUUUUACAUCCAGACAAUUAAGCUUAAAACAAUUUCAAAUGAAUUUUAGACUAAUCAAAGUACAAUACGUACCAAGUUUGGUAACUUAAUUGACAUCUUCUCAUAUAACCUUCGAUCAAGUCGAUUCUGACCUGACGACUAAUUGGUACAUCACCGUUGUUCUCUAUACUCGCAUGCAUCCGAUCACAAAUCUCACUCCAAUUGUCGUCUUUCUUCGGCGUUUUAGCGCAUCCUUCUUGAAUUUCCCGCAUUUCGUUCCCUCCUGUUACAAGUCUCCGGUCAGGUCAGUUCACUUGACGAUUAAUUCGGCAAAUCUCGAAUCUCUUCUCUAUCCCUCUCGUUUUCUCGUGUCUCCUUUCAGUUUAAGUGAUUGAAUCAAUUUUAUCGCAGUCUUAAGAGAAAUUAAGUAAUGCUCUUGGAUUUAAAAUUUUUUUGCUUUCGACUUUAGAUCUCGAAAGUCAAACUCUGCUACGAAUCCAUAGAUUCUCAAUGUUUAUAAUCUUAUUUGUGUUUGACCAGGUAACUGGAUCGUGAAAUUCGUCGUUUUGUAUCAAUUCAGGCUUUCGCGAGCUCAUGGAAUCACCUGGUGAGUUGUGGUGAAACGUUAUCGUUUCAAUUUUCGCUUAAUUCUUUAUUGCAUAUUUUUUCUCUAACAUUUCAGUUUAAUUUAGAAAAGAAAGAGGACCCAAAAAGAGAGAGAGAGAGAGAGACUCUACCAUACUCAAUUCCUUGCUCAUUCUGAUUUGGCCUGAAUGUUGGCAUUGACUAUUAUUUGUUUUCAUUUCGAUUUAAUUCUCAUUUAGACAGUCUUUACUAACGGUCAAUAAUAGUUUAAGGAAAAUGAUAAUAGGGAUUCUGCAAUAAUCUUUCUGCAUUGUUCAAGUUAGUAGACGAUGAAUAGGAUGUUUAUGUUUACCUCAUUUUGAACCCUGAGGGCUUCGUUGAGUAGUUGAUUCAACAUAUCCAGCAACGGUUGAUGUGAGAACAGGAUGCCACUUAGAUAGGCUUAAACUGAUUUUGGAGGUUUGUAUUGGUUCUAUUGUACGUCUUGCUUACAAAUUUUUUAUUUUUUAUUUUUAAUUUUGUAUAAUAUGCUCUUUGUUGGUAAAUCUCAUUUGACUUAGAAGAGAUAGUUUUAUCCCAACAGUGGGAUAAAUCAUUGAGAUGCAUGGCAGUGUGAAUAUAGUAGACAAAAUCAUUGAGACACAUGGUGGUGUGAACAUAGUAAACUUCAUGGAAGCAAUGAAGCUUGAAAUUGAACGUCUGCAGCUGAAUCUUUCUGCAGCUGAAAGGGAUAGAGCUUUAUUGUCAAUCGGAACUGAUCGUGCCUCUAUAAAUCCAAAUGUAUUGCUUGAUGAAUCUUACAUGGGAAGACUGUGUCGAGUAGCAACCACUCUUGCAUUACUUGGCCAAACUUCCCUAGAAGACAAAAUUGUUGGUGCAAUUGGCCUUGAGAAUAGUGAUGAUAGUGUUUUAGACUUCUGGAAUAUUACUAGAAUCGGAGAGAGUUGUUCUGGUGGCUGGUGGCGGGUGCAAGGUUCGUGCAGAAACUAAGGUGCCUGCUCUUGCUUCCUCAACUGCAACAUCUGUUGGAGCUUCACAAUCCCCUUUGUUGUGUUCUCAAUGUGAAAGAAAAGUUUGCAAAGUUUGUUGUGCAGGAAGAGGAGCUCUACUGUUUUCAAAUUAUAAAUCAAGGGAUGUGACCAACUACAAUGGCUUCUCAAGUCAGAGUGGAUCAAGCCAUGGAAGCCAAGUUGAUGUACCUACCAGUCGUUCACUAACACUGGAUGGCGUUGUCUGUAAACACUGCUGCCAUGAGAUUGUGCUUGAUGCAUUGAUGUUGGACCAUGUUAGGGUCUUGAUUAGCUUGCGAAGAAGUUCCCGUGCAGACAACACAGCAUACAAUGCUUUGAAUGAGGUUGUUGGAUCCUGCUUAAAGGAUAGUCUUUCUGAAAGGAUUCAGUCUUCCGAUAACGUGCAAGCUGCUGAAGUCCUUCACCAAUUAUGUGGUGGACAGGAAUCAGUUGCUGAAUUUCCAUUUGCUAGCUUUUUGCACUAGGUAUGUUCUUGGUUUGUAUUCAGUUCUCAUCAUGUUAUGUUUUCCUUUUAAAUUUCUUUUCUUGAUUAAAAUUUUUAGAAAUAUGUUUUAGUAUUUGUUCUUAUGAUAUAUGCCCAGAACAUUCAUCCCACUUAUCCAUGAGAAUCCUUGUCUGGUUUGAUUUUCAAUUGAGACAUUUUUGGGAACCCUGAGCAGGUUCCAUAUGCUAAUAAUCUUUGAGGUAAGGUGUUGUAGGAUGCCUUGAGAAGCUAAAAACCAAUUACAAGGAAAAGCUCUUGCAUUGUUUUGUGCAAUCUGUGUGCUAGCAAGUCAUGUCUCUAAUAAUUUCAUAGUUCGCUUGAUUGGAAUUUUUUAUCUUGAUAUGGAUUGUUUAUUCUAGAUUCCUUGGUGCCACUGUAGGUUGAAACAGCAAAAGAUUCAGCACCGAUUUUGUCACUGCUUGCUCCAUUAAAUUCUGGAUCAAGGCACUCAUAUUGGAGAGCUCCACCUAGUACUACUUCUGUUGAAUUUGUUAUUGUUCUCGGUUCUGUUUCUGAUGUCAGUGGGGUUAUCUUGCUUGUUAGUCCUUGCGGCUAUCUGUGGCUGACACUCCGAUGGUAAGUGCCAUAUUUAUUCCCUUAUUUCCUUGUUGUUCAAUAAAUUUGGUGAUAAGCCAAGUGGCCUUAAUAAUGAAGCCCAGUACCAGGGGUGGUGGGUAAUCGAUAUUCAACUUGUGAAUAUUCCUAAGCAAGCACGGAAUCAACAUAGACGUCGGCAAAAAUUCUCCAUGCUAUUAUAACGAAAGUCAUAUUUUGAAAUGAUUAAAAGAGUCCCUUUGUAGUGCCAUUGCCAAAGAAAUUGCAGCUGGGGGUUUAGUUUCAUGUAGGUUAGUUUCCGAUAAUAAACUUUCCAUUUCAUUAAUUGCUGAUGAAAAAACCAAGUAAGAACAGUUUCGUUGCUCGUCAUUUAUGUAUAUUUUGGUAAACUGUAAUUUUAAAUUCUCAACGAUCUUCCCUUGGUAGGUAAGAAGAUGGUCCACUCACUUUAUAUUUAUGAUUGUAGAUCAGGUUUCUAUUGGUUUGCCUUUAUCAUUGGGAACCCAAGUUUGAUAUUAACAGAGAUCACGUCAAUAAUAUCCUAUUUGGGUAGAUGUGGGUGAGGAUUUAAAAUCAAAUUUGAAAUUGGGGGAAAGAAGAGAAAAGGAACCACAAUAAUUAAACAAAAUAUUAGGAACUAUUCUGAUGAGUUUUAAUCUCGAGAGGAACAAUUUUCAAAUGCAAAUUUAACUGCUAGAGAAAUUGUAGCUUUUUGUCAUUAGUUAAGAGGAAAGAGAAUAAGAACUAUCCAGCCCUUUCCUUCAUGAAUGUGUGUUGAGGUUGCUGUAUUAUUUAGUCAGUAUUUGUAAUUUUCUUCCCUGCAGUGCUCUCUGCCUCCUGAAUUUGCUACUGAGUCCAUAUUUUUCUUUGAGCUGUUGCUUCCUAUUGCUGUUACAAGUACAAAUCUGGGCAAGCAAUAAGAUACACCGGGAGGAAAGGUCAUCAAUGGGAAAAUGGGAUGUCCAAUCCCUCAUCACAUCUUCUUCAGACUUGUAUGGUCCAGAAAAGACAGCUAGUGUUGAAAAAUUACCUAGGCAUGUAAAAUUUACUUUUAAGAAUCCUGUUAGGUGCCGCAUUGUUUGGAUCACAUUACGUCUUCAGAGACCUGGUUCGGCUUCAGUUAAUUUCGGGAAGGACUUCAGUCUUUUGUCUCUUGAUGAAGAUGAAAACCCCUUUGCGCAAGUAGACAGACGUGCUUCAUUUGGAGGAGCAGUUGAAAAUGAACCAUGUAUUCAUGCCAAAAGAAUUCUUGUAGUCGGAAGCCCAGUAAAAAGGGAGGGGCUUACCUCAUCACAGAGCUCUGAGCAGCUAAGUAUUAGAAACUGGUUGGAUAGAGCUCCACAAAUGAGUAGAUUCAAGGUAUUAGUUGCUUUCACUCUUUGUUCAUUCAUAAUUCCAGCUUUCUGCUUGAUGCCCUGCCUCUGAUAAACCUCUUUUUUUCUCUUCAGGUCCCAAUUGAGGCCAAGAGAUUGAUGGACUACGAUCUCGUCUUGGAACAAUAUCUACCUCCAGCGUCACCUUUGCUUGCCGGAUUCCAUCUAGACGCUUUCAGUGCAAUAAAACCUAGGGUUACCCAUUCACCUUCCUCAGAUUCAGAUAUCUGGGACAAAUCAGUAACAUUUUUAGAAGACAGGUACAUCUCUCAAGCUGUGUUGUAUUUACAAGUAUCCGCACUCCAGGAACCACAUAACAUGGUAACUAUUGCGGAAUAUCGACUGCCGGAGGCUAGAGCCGGAACGCCAAUGUACUUUGAUUUCCCAUGACCGAUACAGUCCCGACGAGUUUCAUUCAAGCUUCUUGGAGAUGUUACAGCAUUUGCAGAUGAACCUUCAGAACAAGAUGAUUCAGGAUUGAGAGCUCCACUUGUGGCCACAGGUUUGUCUUUGUCAAACAGAAUCAAGUUAUAUUAUUAUUGUGAUCCUUAUGAGCUCGGAAAAUGGGCAAGCCUUUCUGGAGUUUGAUCGUUAUUUAUAUGUCAGAGAAAGGGUUUUGGGUUUGAUUUUGAUUUUGAUUUGUAAUUUUUGUCAGUUUAUUGAAAUUUUUUGUUGUAUAAAAGCAGAAUGUAAAGGUAUAAAAAUUCAUUGAUGCUGCAAUGUCUGUGCUUUUGAGAAAGAAGAAUUAAUUGUCUUUUCUAUGCCAUUGGAGUUUCCCACUGCUUGUAUACUUGGGCUGUCGAAUGCUCUGUGAACCUUAAGGGCUAUAAAGUAAUUUUCAAGACUGAAGGAUUUAUUAAUCGAGUUCAAAAGAUUGUAAGUUGGUGACUGGUGAGCGUUGGCAUUUAAAAAUCAAUUGUUAUUCUCUCAAUAAUCUCUCUCUUCUCCUCGUGAAGUGUUUUCUUUUUCGAGUGAAGGUGGUUUUCCACUUGCAUACGUCGGGGGUCUUAUGAUAUGUAAUGUGUGAAAUUUCUUUCUCAUUUUACCAUAAAGAAAAAUGUUGUAAUAAUCUAAAGCUCGAGUCUUAAAUUAUCUUAAAUUUAUAUUUAGAGUGGAGCUAUUCGCAACCCUAUAUUAAAAUUACAAUUAAAAACAAUUGAAAAUUAAACACUUAUAGAUUCUUUUUACAGCAAAUUACUUAAUUCAUAAUCAAUCCUUUAAAAAAAAAAUACAUAUGUUAUUUCUUAUCUAACUAAAAUAAAUUGUACAAAUUUAGAAUAAUCUAUUGUUCUCUUUUGAUUUCUUAUUAUUUAAAUAUUUUUAUACAUAAAGUUACUUUGAAAUUAUAAUUUGAAAUAUGUGUUAUUUCAGCCAAUGAUUAACACUAAAAAAUUUAUCACCCAUAUAACUUUUUAAUUUGUGUGUAGGGUAAUAAUAAAAUCGAAAAUAAUUAAAAAAAUAGUACAAUAAUGAUUUUUAACAAUAAAACAAAUCAAAUGAAAAUUGAAAAUUUAGAAAAGUGUAUCUAAAAAAAGGAACGUUUUCAAAAAUAAAAUGAAUAUAACUAAAAAGAGAUUUUAUGAGGAGAUCACUGGGGUGCCAAUAGUCCAACUUGUAAUUAAGAAUCUCCCAUUAUAUUGUCAACCAAAAAGACACUUGAAUAAGAAGAAGAAUUUAUCAGUUUGAUUUUAUUUGUAGAUCCAACAUUUCUCAUAUCCUGAACGCCUUUUCGUAUCAAAUUAAAACAGUAGUAGCAAAAUCGUAGUAUUAAAAUCGUAGUGCACAUUCAAUUAACCAACUAAUAGUCUUUGGUAUAAGAUUUUAUAUUAGGUAGCCAAGUAGGUUGUCCAUCCCACUCAGACAUGCACGAAAGCUAAAUUCAUCAAAUGAAUUACUUAAGAAGUAUUUGAUAAUUUUGAAAUUAUCAAAAGGUGUUAUACUAUUAAAUAUUUUUAUACUUAAAAUUGUUUUGAAAUUAUAAGUUCAAAUUAAAAUAAUAGUAGCAAAAUCGUAGUGCACAUUCAAUUAACCAACUAAUAGUCUAAGAAGCAAAGAGAGGAUUACAAGUUCACAACACCAUUACAAAGGAUUCAAAAUUCCCACACGAAUACAUCAAUGUACAGAUUAUAAACAAUCCGAAUUGGACACAAGAAAAACCCUUCAAUAGAUUGCUUGCCUUCCCAAUGCUAUAUACUGUGCAAACUGCGCAUUGGCCAAGAAAAUGUUUUCAAUUUAGUGUAUUUUCAAAAUGCUUAUUUUCUCAUAGUAUAAAAAAUAAAAAAAAUAAGAAAGAAUUCUCACAUGUUUCAUCAGCAUGAUUAAAAUCAAAGAAGAAAGCGAGACAUAAUGUCUCUGACAUAAUAAAAUUACAAAAAUUUCAAGGAAAAAAAAAGGUUAAAACAUGUAAUCUUCAGAAGCAUAUAAUAAAAGAACACUUCCACAAAUUACUACAAUUUCAUGCAGUAGAGAUUGAAGAGUUGAAUUCCACUAAUUUUAAUAAUGAAAACAACAACAGAGGAUUAACUGAUGCUUUGACUUAUUAGUUCUGCAGAGCAUCUCCAAAAGCCUAUAUAAAUUUUACUCUUCAAAUACUUAUUUGCUUACCUAUGUGGCAAAUAAAAGGGUGAAAAAAUAUGAUAUUCUCCAAAAGACUCUUCAAAUAGAAAAAAGUUAAUAUUAUUUUAAUCAUAUAAUUAAUUUUUUAAAGAAAAAGUCAAUAGCAAUUAAAGCACUUCUCUCUCUUUCUUCAAUGAAAAGUAAUAAAAUAUAAAUUGAAGAGGGAGAAAUUAACUCUCCAAAUUUGAAGAGAGAGAAUUAAUUCUUAUUUAAAGAAUCUUAAUUGAAGUGUCUUUUGGAGCUUUAAAUAUUGAUGUGGCUCUUCAAAUAAGUAAUAAAAUCUUAUUUGAAGAGCCUUUAAAUAAGGUGCUUUCAAAAGCAAAAUGGAAUACAUAGAUAAAAACAUCAUCUUAAACAAAUCACAAUCUAGAAUUAGAGCAUUUUCGACAUACCUAAGGAAAACGAAUACGUGAAAACGGGUGAUUCAUUUGUUAAGGAGUGUUGAUUUGGUCGUCUCUGCAAAUUCUUUAGGGACUCGGUUCCAAUUCCUCAUCAUCAAAACUGUAAUAUAAUUCCCCUUCAUCAGAACUCGAAUCGAUGCAAUAUAAUUCCCCUUCAUCAGAACUCGAAUCAAAUUCACUUGCAGCAGUUCCACUCGCGCUUGGCAAAUCAUCCAAUUUCCAAACUUCGGUAGCAAAAUUGAGAGUAAAAGUGUUGGCUUUGAUCUCGCUGGGAUUUGCAUAUACUGGACAUACUCCGCAACGUUUUAUCUUCUGACCCUUUUGGACCUUUAUUAUGUUUCGGUAACGCUCAUUGAAGAACUUAAGUGAGACAGUUGUAUGAUGGUAACCAUCAGGAAAGCCAACAUUCAAGCAAGGUUUAAAACCAAGUAUGACAUGAUCUGAAUCAUGGGGGUCUUUAAUAGAGUCCCAAUAGAAACUCAGAUCAACAUGUUUGGUUUCAGAGAGAGUCUUUAUUUCUAAGUCGGAUCGACAGUAAACGUAAAAAUAACGAGAACGAUCAGAAUAAAGUUGCUUAAAAUCAAGAACAGCACAAAAAGCAAACCCGAUUAAGUUUCUGCAAAAAGAGUGCGGUGGCAGUUGAAUACGUAUCGAAGAUCCUGAACUUUGAUUGCUGAACCAGUCAGGAAUUUCGCUCCCAGGUAAAACAAUUUGGGAUUCCCUGAGUUCAGAAAGUUUCUGUGAAACGACAUUUAAAAAAAGAAAAUUGUAAAAUGAAAACCAUGAUUUCAGAUAUAACAAAGAGGGACAGAGUAAACAAGAGAGGGAAUUUGAUACCUCGUUGUAUGCAUUUUCAUAGCCCAGUCUCAGUGAUGCUGCAAUUGCCAUACGUAGUGAAUCUGCCAAAAUCUUGUUGUUUGCUUUUCCAUCAAGUUUCAAGCAGUUAGUAAACCCAAAAUAAAUUGGUUGUGGCGUCACAUAUUCCGGAUGCCAUUGACGAAGGUCAGGAGAGGGUUUGGAUAGCUUUUCGAGUACGGAUGCAUCUAGUUCUUGUACACAUGACGGAAUCUCUGGCAAAGAUUGAAGCCGGUUGCAGUUCAUUGCAAUUAGUGACUGUAGACACAAUGGAAGUUCAGGUAAUGACCGAAGCAUGUUACAAUCCUCCAAGUGAAGAGUUUCUAAACCCAAUGGAAGUGCUGGUAAUGACUGAAGCAUGUUACAACGCCACAAGUGAAGAGUUUCUAGACCCAAUGGAAGUUCUGGUAAUGACUGAAGUAUCUUACAAUCCCUCAAUUCAAGAAAUUUUAGGCCCAAUGGAAGUUCUGGUAAUGACUGAAGCAUAUUACAAUCCUCCAAGUAAAGAUAACUUAGCCACGACAGUUGCUUGAUACUUGCAGGUAAACUCUCAAAGUUAUUUCCAUUUAAAUUGCCAAUGUUAUCCGGCAACUUAUCAAGUACAGAGCAACCACUUACGGACAAAAGUACAAGCCCCGUUUGCAAUGCCUCAAAUCCAACUUUUCAAGAUCAGUUAGGCACUCUACUGAUGAUGGAACUUCUUCUAUUGCAGUCUGGCCCAAGUUUAGCGAUGUUACUUUCCCAGAAAUCUGUGGAAACUCUAUGAGAUUAACACAAUAGGAGAAAUCAAUAGUUACUGGACAAACAAAAUGAAGAUUGCUAGGAAAAGACCUAAGACUUUUGCAGCCCAUAAAAUCCAACCUACUGAGAUACUUGAAAUUCUGGAUAUAUGAGGGAACACAAGCCAAGUUUGUAUAAUCCAAAAGAUAUGUUUCAACAUUUGGGGUUUCUAAUGGGCCUGGCAUCUUAAUGAAAUGUCGAGAAUGGCUGAGGUUAAUAGAUUUUAACUUGAAAGCUUCCUGCAAUAACAGAUAUAUAAAGACUAUAUUAAUUAAAAAGCAACAUUGAAUUCAACAAUUAAUUGCACGUAUAUUUAAAGAAAGAAAAAAUUAAUGUUUUAGUUUUAGUACAGAACUUACCUUUUCUCCUUCCCAAAGUUGCUCAACUUUACUAAAACGCAAAUUCAGUUCAACAAGGUUCUUUGGCUUGAAAUUUGAUGGCAGUGUCCUUAAGGGAUAUGUGUCCCAAUGAAGAUAUCUCAAUUUUUUAGGAAGAUAAUCUAGGCCAUUUGGAAGCUGCACUUUAGAGUAUGAAAGUUGCUCUUCAAUGCUCAUACUUAGAAACUUUUCAAUCUCAGGUACAUAAAAUUUGAGCAAUCUUAGAUUAGACAUUUUUGUGAAGGCUCCAGGGUCUAAAUUGAUGCCUUUUAUUUUGGACAAAUCCAGAAAUAUGCCUUCAAUUGCAUCGGUCCCCUUAUUAAAAAAAAAAACAAAGAAUGAGUAACCCUAAAACAGAAAAGAAACAUUCGCAAACUUUAUUAACUAAGAACUCCUUAAACAAAAACAAAUUCUGCAAUCUUUGAUUUUAUUUUUUAAAAAUAUUAAAUAUCUAUAUAUGAGAAAAGAAAAUUUUGGGGACCAUUGCAAAAUUAAACUAACCAAAAAAAAAAUUCAAAAUUUCUCUAAUUUACAAACCUGUUAUCUUAAUAUCUAGAAGUUGAGAAGACAAGGCGUAUUUGAUUGGUAUAAGAUUUCGAUUUUUUUUUUAGUCCAUAGAAUCCAAAAUGUUUGUUCAAAAUCAGGGAAAAAAACGAAAGUUAUUUUUUUUUCCACUAGCUGUAAUUGUAUCCAAGUCAAAUUGAGAUACGACCCUUUUCGAAAGGAUUUAAUCAUCUUAUAGCCUCCUUAAGAUACAUUUAAGCUAAAAGGAGUGAUUGGAGGCAGAACUUAGUGGGCCAAUCAGUUCAUUUUAUUAGCGACUGUUGCUUAAAAAAAAUUAUACUCUAAAACACACUUACUUUUUUGAAAAAAAAUAUAAUUAUAUUUAAGUAGAACCAGGUGGGCCAAUCCUCAUGGCACUCACUUUGUUCUGACACUCUUCACUAAAUUUGAAGAAAAAUAAAAUUAUACUCUUCACACUCUUAUUCAACAUUCCAAAAUUGAUAAAAUCUGGAGUUUUCUUUAAAAUUUUAAAAUUUGAAGACUUGUUCUCUUGACACCCUCAGUCAUUAAUUUUACCUAAUUAUGGUUUUGGUUGUUUUGUUCAUAAAAAUGCUUUUACUAAAGGAUGUUCUGGUAAUGAAAAAAUUUAUAAAAAAACAAACAUGGGUGUGCUGAUAUAGUUGGAAAAAUAUGAGUGCAUAACUCCAAACAAAUAAAAGAUACAUAAAAAAAAAAAAGGAGGAUUCUUACCAUAUUAUGCUUUAGUACGCGGCGGAUUUCCUUAGGAUCCCACAACCUACUGCGUCUGCCUGGCUCUUCCUCAGAUUCUUGGCGAACAAUCUCUCGGCCCAUUUCUUGCAAUAAAUCAUGCAUUUGCAAGCAGUUAUCUGACACUGUUAUAAGUGACUUGUCCACGAGGACAUCCAGUCUGUGAGACCCAGAAUCAUCAAGUAUCCUUAACACAAAAUCUUUAUCCUCUCCCUCAAGGAAACACGCAAUAUCUAGAAACAUACUCUUCACCCUGGGCGUUAAUUCUUUAAAACUAAUCUUUAAUGUAUCAUAAAUACCAUGAAUAUCAGAUUCACAAAUCCGAUUUAAGUCGUCCAAUACAUUUUCCCAAUGGCUUUUCCCCUUGAGAUACAGGGAGGAACCCAACACUUUAAGAACUAAUGGAUUGCCAUCGGCAUACCAUACAACCCUCCAUGAGUGCCGGUAGAGAUCUUCAGGACAAUGAUUUUCUUUAACAGCGAAGUUACAAAAAUGCUCGAAAGCCUCAUCAAAUUUCAAUCCAUUGACCCUAUAUAUUUUCUCCACUCCAAAUUUUUCGAGGACUCGUUUAUCCCUGGUGGUUACAACAAUUCUACUUCCUGGACCAUAUUGAUCAAGCCCUCCAAUCAAACCCUCUAAUUGUUCAUCUUUAUUCACAUCAUCGAGUACAAUCAACACCUUCAUGCGUCGGACCCUCCCUUUAGUAAAUUGUGGAAUAUUGGGACCAGCUACUUCAAGUUUUUCACUUAAUAUUGUCGAAAGCAUUUCCUUUUGUAGGUCUUCUAGGCCACCCUCUGUUUCUGAUUUUCUCCUAACAUUUUUUGCAAAGUAUUUACCAUCAAACUCACCAGAGAAUUGAUCGAAAAUAGCUUCAGCAAGGGUAGUUUUGCCUAUACCACCCGUGCCCCAAAUUCCAACAAUAUGGACAGUAUCCCACAAAUCCAUACACAGAAAUGGUUUAAUCUGCUCAAUUCGUGAAUUUAAUCCAACUAGGCCAUUGGAUGAGUCCGUUGAGACUGUUAUUUUUUCCAACUUCUUCAAAACAUCAUCGACAAUUUUGUUUACAAGUUCCGCAUCGUGCCUAAUAUAAAGGUGCAAAGAUGCAAAAACAUUGAGUCAAAUCGGGCCAAGACAGAAACAGAGAAAAGAUGAAUUAGGAAAGAGAGUUACCUGAAUUUCGUGGAUUCAUGGCCGGCUAGAUGGGAUGUUUCUGUCAGUGCAUCCCUCCACUUCUGAACCAUUUCUGGUUUAUCUUCGAACUGUUUUUUGAGCUCAUCAAAACGGUCUCCAAAUGUUCCGUUUUGAUGCCGCACAUCAGAUGGACUUACUCCAUAGAAGACUGGAAUAAUAAUUUGGCCGUUUGUGUUCUUGCAUUCAAGAAUCUUGACAAGUUCAUUCAGGCACCAUUUUGAAGAAGCGUAGUCCUUUGAGAAAAUGACCACCGAAAUUUUUGAACCUUGGAUUGCGUUCAAAAGGGCGGGUGAAAUCUCAUCUCCUCGCCUAAGCUCUUCAUCAUCAAUAAAUGUUUUGAUUUUUUUUCCUUCAUACAAUUUAUCAUAAAGAUAGCAAGUAAAGCUCUUACGAGUGUCCUCCCCUCUAAAGUUGAGGAAGACUUCAUAAUUGCAAGAAGAAGAAGAGGAAGCCAUGAAGGAAAUUCUAGAAAUUUGAAAGUAGAUUUAGGGAAUUAUAAAAAGCUGAAGGAAAUUGGAAUUUUGUACAGUUUCUCCAGCGAGGAACUUUCACCUCCGCACUAGAUUCUUAAGUUUUGAAAAUUAUGAGACCUUUAUAUUGGAAGAUAUUAUAAUCGAAUCAAAACUUAAAAUUUUAAUAUUGUUAAUCUUUAAUCUUUAAAAAAAAAUUACCUCGCCGUUACAGUUUGGAUUAAGAUUUGAGCAAGCAUUUACCUAAAUUUUAUCUCCGCCUGUAAAUUCUUAUGUUUUAAAAAUUAUGAGACCUUUAUAUUGGGAGAUAUUAUAAUCGAAUCAAAAUUUUGAAUUUCAAUAUUAUUAUUCUUUUAAAAAAAAAAUUGAGAUAACAGAGUGAUUGAUAAUAUAGGAGAACUUGUCUAGGCAAGCACAUGCAUACACAGAAAUGUGAUGGAUUCAAAAAGAAAUUAAAGUGAUAAUGUACGUGGAUCCUUAAAAUAAAAAGCGAAAUCGCUUGGUGGCCCAGUAAAAUUAGAGAACAAAGAAGAAUUAGUUAUUGAUAUACAAAAGAGAAACACUCCAAAAUUUCAAGCAAAAAUAGUUUCAUAUACCAUUUCAAUUUUGUAAGGGGUGAGGUUUUGAAUUUCAAUAGUUUCCUCUAAAAUCAAAAGGCAACAAUUAAGUUAGAAAGAGCAAAGAAGACUUAUUAGUACCUUAUUAAAGGUAACAUUAUGGAACUUUCAAUUUCAUUACCUCACUCUUCAAUUUUUAUUGAGAUUUGUGCAAGAAUUUACCUAAAUAUUACCUAAAAUUGAGAUAUCAGAGUAAUAUCAAAUAGAAAAACUUGCCACGGUAAGCCAAAAGUCUAGUCAACCACAUGCAUAAAGCUAAAUAGAACAACUAACAAGAGAACAGAGAAACGCGUGGGUCCCUAAAAGAAAAGGCAAGCACAUAGAUGAAAAAGCCAUUACAUUUCGAUUUUACAUGUCAUUAAUUUCUGUAACACGGUGUGUGGCAGCAUAUGCACAAUCAAGUGAGGCAAAAGGGAUUCGAUUAUCGUGGCAGAACAUGAACGAGGACGCGUGAUGAAUAAUUCCUUCGAUAAAACGAAAAACAAACGCAGAGAAAAGAAUUUCUUAUAUGACAAGAAAUCAAAGAAAUCAAAGUAAUGUUUCAUUUUCCCUUCCCUACCUUUUUUUUGUUUUAUUUUUAUAGCAAAGAAUUAUAUCAUGAAAAGAAUCAAUUUAAUCACCUUUUCUAGCAGCACAAUUUUUCUUUUAUAAAAUUUGACCAGGGAGACAAAGAAUAAUUAUUCAUACCUUCAUCACUAAGGAAAUACUUUUCGGUAUGGCUAAGGUGAGAAAAGGCUUUCCACAAAAACUUGUACUUUGUAUUCCUGUAAAUUUUCUUUAAAGUCAAUAAAAACCAUAAGUUCUUUACAAUAACCAUCUCUUUGAUAAAAAAGUGCCGUAUUCCUUUAGAAUUUAAAACCGGCAAAACUGAAUCAGUGUCUUUGAAGAGACAUAAUGGUCGUAAUUCUUUAAAUGAGUUGGCUAUGGAAAUCGUUAUCCAAGAUUCUUUUACGCCAUAUUCUUUCGUAAACCAAAAUUCAUUUUGGAAUACUCUGUUGAGAAUGUCAAAUAAAACGGCAUUGAAGGAAGUUUUCAAAGGCAGAAUCUGCACUUGUCAGAUGGAUGAUCUGCACUUGUCAAAGACACAAUCCGCGUCGAACGAAUCGACACAUUUCCUUUCGUAUUCACAUAUGCAAUUUUUGAAAAAAUGUAGCUUUUACAUCUAUAAAUAACACUCAGUGUAUAAUGUUUUAUUCAAGAAAAGAAAACAAGUUUCUUCAUGGUAUCAGAGCCAUGAAUACGCUCAAGUUUCUUCAAGUUUCGCUGCUCUGUUUGUAACAAAAACAGAGAAAACCAAAAUCUUCCCACAACCAUUUUUUCCACCAUUUUCUUCCUUAAAAUCAUUCCUACCAUUAUAGAAAUCCAUGCCGAUCAAAAAACAAGCCACCCAUACGUAAAAAACUUGAGUUUACAAAUUUAUCAACAAUCUCAUAAAUUAGAUACAAAACAACGUGAUGUUAAAUCUCCAGAACUGCAGCAGUCUUAAAACGACAUGUCGUUUCUAUUCCAUCAGAACCGACAUAUCAUUUCUUUAAGCAGAGGCCAAACGACUUGUCGUUUUUUUUUUUAUCUAAAAAAGUUAUUUUUUCUUAUUUCAAUCUAGACGCCAAAAAAAAAACAAAAAAAUGGAGAAAACUCCAACUGAAUCUGAUCCUGUUGUCAUUCAAUCUGUUCAAUCUGAUGAGUAUUUAAUGUUGGAAUUAUCUUCACUGAGACAAACUACGAUAUUUGGUCUUAAAUAAUGGAGUUGCAUCUCGCAGAAAGAGAAAAACUCUCAUAUAUUUGUAGCAACACAAAGUCAUCUGAGGAAUCUUCAAAGGAAUAUGAGAAAUGGUAUAGUGAGAAUGAAAAGGUAAAAAAAUGGUUACUCAUAUCCAUGUCUCUGGAUAUCAUGAAGUGAUAUUUACGAAUUCCUACAGCCUACGAAAUAUGGGAUGCAUUAUCAAAAGCCUUCUAUGAUGGAAUCGAUGAAUUACAAGUUUUCACUCUAAACCAGAAGGCGUCUCUACCAAGAAAAAUUGACAGCCACUAUCUAAAUUCUACGGAGAAUUGAUCGAAAUAUUUUGAGAACUUGAUCACCGAGAUAAAGUGAUCAUGAAGGAUCCAGAAGAUGUUGUAAUAUACAAAAGGUCUGUUGAAAGAUUGAGAGUUCACAUUUUUCUUGUUGGGCUAGAUGAAGAAUUUAACCAAGUUCGUGGAGAAAUUCUAUGAAAAGAUAUUAUCCCAGACUUAGAAGAAUGUUAUUCUUUGAUCUGAAGAGAAGAUGUACGGCAAAACAAACUAAACAAGAAGGUCGACUCAGAAACGUUUGCUAUGAUAGCACGACAACAGCCUCAAAGGAAGCUUGUUGACAAGUCAUCACUCCAUUGCACUCAUUGUAGGAAGAAGGGUCAUAUGAAAGCACAAUAUUUUGAAAUCAUUUGAUAUCCUGACUGGUGGGAUACUUGAAAGAAAAACAUCAAGCAGGGAUAAAAAACUGCAGUAGCUGAAUCCACAUCCACUACAGAUCUUAGAAAAGAAUCUUCAGUGCAAAUCGCAACCUCUGUUAGUCCAGGUAAGGCCCUUAAAACUCUUAUACUUGUUAUUAAUAGUACAUGGAUAAUUGAUUCUGGGGCAACUGAUCAUAUGACUUUUGAUUCUCGACAAGUUUCUCAAUUGAUACCAUCUUCACAAAAACAUGUUUCCACUCCAAAUGGAACCACAACCUUAGUUAUUGGGGAAGGAUCUUUACGACUCACAUAUAAAUUAAAUUUAGACUCUGUGUUAAUUGUUCCAUCUUUAGAUUAUAAUCUUUUAUCUGUGUCUCAAUUAACCACUUACUUAUCAUGUGUUGUAAUUUUUUGGCCUGAUCAUUGUGUGUUUAAAGACAUCCAAACGAAGCAAACGAUUGGUUAUGGUAUUAGACGGGGCCACUUGUACUAUUUGGAGAUGACAUCAACAAACACUGGAAAGCUAAGCCCUGCACUAGUCGCAGAUAGUUCCAUAAAAAAAAGGAAAUCAGAAAUUUGGUUAUGGCAUAGACGUUUAGGGCAUGUGUCAUUUGGUUACUUAAAAAAAUUAUUUCCUAGUUUAUUUCUGAAAUUUGAUAUUUGUAACUUUAAAUGUGAUGUUUGUGAACUUUUAAAAAGUCAUCGAACUACUUUUCCAUUGUCCUUAAAUAAGAAUCAAGUUCCUUUUAUGGUAGUACAUUCUGAUGUAUGGGGGCCAUCGAAAGUUUCUACAAUUGGAGGUGCUCGUUGGUUUGUUACAUUUAUUGAUGAUUGUAGCAGAAUGACAUAGAUUUUUCUGAUGAAAUCGAAAGACGAAGUAAACUCUUUAUUUUAAAGAUUUCAUAAGAUGGUGACGACUCAAUUUCAGACACAAAUUCGAGUUCUACAUACUGAUAAUGGAGGCGAGUAUAUGAGCACAACAAUUCAACAGUUUCUGAAAUCACAAGGAACUGUCCAUCAAACCACUUGUGUGGGGACACCCCAACAAAAUGGCAUUGUUGAACGAAAAAACAGACAUUUACUAGAAGUUGUUCGAGCAUCACUAAUCCAGGCCCACAUGCCACUAUCUUAUUAGGGAGAAGCACUGGCAUCCGCAGCAUACUUGAUCAAUCGAACACCUUCAAGCUCCCUUGGAUUCCAGACUCUUUUCCAGGUUCUAAAUGAUGCAAUUAUGUCACCAAAUGUGCCGAAUUUACCCCCACAUGUGUUUGGCUGUGUUGCCUUCGUUCAUUUGCCGCAACAAGACAAAUUAUCUCCUCGAGCACUACGUUGUGUGUUUGUAGGGUAUGCCUUACAGCAAAAGGGAUACCGAUGAUAUGAUCCACCAUCAAGAAAAAUAUACAUCACCAUGGAUGUCGUCUUUCAUGAAGAUAUCAUAUACUACUUGUCAAAGCCUGAAUUUCAGGGGGAGUAUAAUGAAGAGGAAAUUCAUAAUCUUAUAUAUCUUCCACCUAAAGAAGAUCAAUCUUCCAUUGAGGUUGUAAACCUUCAAGAUACUGGAAAAGAAAAUGGUGGUGAUUCUCAGGCUGAGAUAAGUGAAGACACAUUUGGGGAGCAAAAUAACUUAGACACAACUGCAAUCGAGAAUGAGUCACAUGAAGAAAUACCUAACUAAUCGUCUGCAGAGGAUGUUCCUACCACAAGUCCUAGUCUAGUCAGAAGAAUUCUUCCUCAGCGUCAAAAUAGAGGUAUCCCUAAACCCACAUAUGAGCCCGACCUUUCUAGUAGAGUCAAAUACCCUAUGAUUUAUUUUGUGUCUAACCAUCGCUUGUCAGAAUCAAAUCAGUCAUUUGUGAAUCAAUUAUCUACUGUAUCUAUUCCUAAUAGUGUGCAGGAAGCCUUAAAAGACCCAAAGUGGAAAGCGACUAUGAAUGACGAAAUGUGAUCUCUUCAAAAAAAUCAAACAUGGGAACUAGUUGAUCUUCCACCUGGAAAGAAACCAGUGGGUUUCCGAUGGAUCUACACUAUAAAGUACAAAGCAGAUGGCUCUAUUGAACGAUACAAAGCAAGGCUCGUAGCUAAGGGUUACACCCAAACCUACGGGAUAGAUUAUGCCAAUAUGUUUGCACCGGUAGCAAAAAUUAAUACUAUUCGUAUCUUAUUAUCAUUAGCAGUCAACUUGGAUUGGCCAGUGUAACAGUUCGAUGUAAAGAAUGCUUUCCUCCAUGGAGACCUGUCUGAAAAAAUUUAUAUGGAUAUGCCACCAGGAUGUAGUGGACCAGAACGACUCAAUCAGAAAGUAUGCAAAUUGAAGAAAUCAUUGUAUGGGUUGAAGCAACCCCUAAGAGCAUGGUUCGGGAAAUUCACAAAGGCUAUGGUUCUUUUUGGGUAUAACCAAAGCAAUUCAGAUCAUACCUUGUUCAUUAAAAAAUGACAAGGUAAAAUCACUGCCCUCAUUUUCUAUGUGGAUGAUAUGGUAGUCAUAGGUAACGACGGGGAAGCAAGAGAGGCUCUUCAGAAGUACUUGUCGAGAGAGUUUGAGAUGAAGGAUUUAUGAGCCUUAAAAUACUUUCUUGGAAUUGAGGUUUCUCGAUCUAAGGGAGGAAUUUUCCUGUCUCAAAGGAAAUAUGCUUUAGAUCUAUUAAACGAAACGUGAAUGACAGCUUGUCAGCCUAUUGACACCCCAAUAGAAGAAGGACUGAAGUUUUGUAUUACCUCAGACUAAGUUCCAGUAGACAAAGGAAGAUAUCAAAGGCUGAUUGGAAGAUUGAUGUACUUGUCCCACACAAGGCCAGCUCUUGCUUAUGCAUUGAGUGUUGUAAGUCAGCUUAUUCAUAAUCCCGGAGAACAACACAUGAAAGCAGUAAUGCGGAUCCUAAGGUACCUGAAGUCAAAUCCAGGAAAAGGAAUCCUAUGUUCCAAAAAUGGAGAUUACAGCAACAUAGAAGUUUAUACUGAUGCAGAUUGGGCCCGGUCAGUUAGUGAUAGACGCUCUACCUCAGGAUACUUUACCUUAGUGGGAGGCAACCUUGUCACAUGCUGCUUCACUUGCUGCCAAUCCAGUUCAUCAUUCAAGAACAAAACAUAUAGAGAUUGAUGUUCACUUUGUGAGAGAUAUAAUUUCCAACGGCGGAGUGGAAGUAAGAUAUGUCCCUACUGAAUAUCAGCCUGCAAACAUCUUCACAAAAGCUCUUCCUGCUGAUAUGUUUCAACAGUUGCGAGACAAGCUACAUAUUCUUCCUAGAACAUUGCGCUUGAGGGGGCAUUAUGAAAAUAUUGUAGCAGAGCUACCAAACUUGAGUAAUACGAAUUCAAAGUUGUUAGAUGACAUGGCAGCACACUUGGCAUUCAUUGGUGUUUUGGAAAGUUAAAGUGAUCAACCUUAUCUCUUAGCUUAUCAUUAAUUCAAGCUGCACUUUUGUAUUUAUCAAGAUCAAGAUAAAGAUAACAAUUGUGCUAGGCUUGAUCUUAUUCUUGGCAUUAUCGUGUUUCCUGUAGAGCAUUAUAAAUGUAAUGAUUAUGAGAUGAAUAAAAUAACGAAAAUGUGUUUUGUUUCUUCUUUAAGCUCAUCUUUAUAAUUUAAGUUGGUAUCAGAGCAUGGCGAGCUCCAAUUCUGCGAAAUUAGUCAAUAUGAAUACUGUAAACCAAACACCACAAAUUUCUAAUUUUUUGACUCCUGUCAAAUUGGAUAGGCAAAAUUUUAUGAUAUGGAAGUCUCAAGUGCUACCUUCCAUUCGUGGUAACAAUCUUGAAAGCUUGAUCAAUGGAGCAAAACUUGUACCCACUAAAUUCUUGGUGCAAGUAGAAGAGGAUCAAACAGUAACGACUGUGGAAAAUCCAGAAUAUAUACAAUGGCUGAGACAAGAUCAGCUUUUACUUAGUUGGCUUUUGUCCACUAUGACUGAAUCAGUUUUAAGCAUAGUGGUGCAGUAUACAACCUCUUUUGAGGUUUGGAAUGCCUUGAAGACAUUGUUUGCAUCUCAGUCAAAGGCUAGAAUUUUGUAGCUCAAGAUGCAACUCCAAACCACGAAAAAGAAUGCUAUGACCAUGAGUGACUAUGUCAACAAAAUGAAAAAUUUAGCUAAUAGCCUGGCAAUGGCUGGAAAAUAUGUUACUGAAGAUGAUUUAAUUUCUUAUAUUCUUGCAGGUUUAGGAACUAAAUACGACCCUGUGGUUGUAAAUAUUACAGCAAGAACAAAUGAUUUAUCUCUGCCUGAAGUAUCCUCUCUUUUGCUCAAUCAUGAAAGUCGAAUGGAACAACUCUCAGCUGCUGCAAAUCUUGAGUCUAAAGGCAGUUUUAAUGCAAAUUUUGCAGGAGCUUCUUUUCACAAAAGGAAAGUUAUAAGAAAAGGCUUUAUGUCAGGAAGUUUAUGAGGCAAUGAACGUGGUAGAGGCAAAGGAAGAACCAAUUUUAGCCGUGGUGGAAAUAGGCCAACCUGUCAGAUAUGUGGCAAAUAUGGACAUUCAGGAUAUCAAUGUUUCUUCCGCUUUGAUCGGGGGUUCUCUGCAAGACAAGAGGCAACACAAGCAGGUCAAGCCUCUGCCUAUAUGGCACUCCCUGCUGAAGAAAUAGAUAAUGGAUGGUAUUUGGACAGCGGAGCAACACACCAUGUUACAAAUGAUUUAAACAAUCUGCAGAUUAAGUUAGAAUUUAAGGGAGGUGAGAAGCUGGUAGUAGGUAAUGGUAAAACUUUAGCAAUAUCUCACAUUGGCAGUGCACUUAUUUAUAUUCCAAACCAUGAACCAUUGUUGCUUAAUGACAUUUUAUAUGUGCCCAAAAUCACCAAGAACUUAAUUAGCAUUUCAAAAUUACUUUCUGAUAAUAAACUAAUGCUUGAUUUCUGUGACAAUGUUUGUACUCUUAAGGACAAAGUUCUGGGGAAGAAGCUGCUGCAGCGAAAAAUUGAAAGAGGCUUAUAUCGGCUACCAGUGCUUUCAAGACAAGCCAUUCUAUCUGAUUCAAAAAUUAUUUCCAAUAAAUCUUAUUAGUCUUCUCUUCCAUUUAGCUGUUUCAAUUCUAGCUCAACAAUAAGUUCUGUAAAUGAACAAGAAUUUAUUUCCAAUUCCAAGCCUAGCAGUUUUAUAAAUCUUUUGCACAGAAGGAUGAGACAUCAUCAUCUUGCUGUACUAAAACAAAUUCUACCUUUGUGUAACAAAACAAGUCAGUUAAAUAAAAAUCUCAUUCCUCAAUUCUGUGAUGCAUGUCAACAAGGAAAAAGUCAUAGGCAAACUAUCAAAGCAUCAAAUAGUAGAGCUUCAGAACCUUUAGAAUUAUUGCAUCUUGACUUGUGGGGGCCUGCACCUUUAAUGUCUAGAAAUGGCUACAAAUAUUAUUUGAGUAUUGUAGAUGACAACACACGUUUUACAUGGAUAUUUCCACUUAAAGUUAAAUUACAAGCGUUUGAAGCUUUUAAGUAUUUCAAAGUUCAAGCCGAAAAACAAUUAGGAAAGAAAAUCAAAAGUUUACAAACUGACGGUGGAGGAGAGUUUCAAGCAUUUACAAUUUUUUAAAAGAACAGGGUAUUAUUCACUGACUUUCUUGCCCACACACGCAUCAUCAAAAUGGUAGAGUGGAGCGAAAACACCAACAAAUUGUAGACACUGGUUUAACACUUUUGGCAUAGGCUGGCAUGCCACUCACUUUUUGGUGGGAUGCUUUUCAAACAUCUGUUUAUUUAAUUAAUAGAAUGCCUACUUCCAUCUUAGAAAACAAAUCACCAUUUCAAAUACUUUAUGAUGAAGAAUAGGAAUCAAUAUUAUACUAGGAUUAGUUUCCUUAUUAACUAAAGUUUAAGACUUUUAAAUUCCUUUCUAAUUUAGAAUUUUGUUUCCCUUUCAAUUUAGGAUUUUGUUUUACUUCAUGAAUUAGGAUAAUUAUUACUACUAUAAAUAGCUCCCUCUUGUAGCCUUUAAAGGCAGAGAAUUUUGAGUUUAAUAAUAUUUCAAUUUUCAAAUCUCUUUGUGAGUAUUUGAACAGUUAAUUCUCGGUAUUCUGCGAAAUCAACGAGUCUUAAAUCCCUAAGUUCGCGGUAUUCUUUUGAAUCAACAUGAAUUUAGUUGUUCUUUUAUUCUGGUAUUCUCUAGAAUCAACGGAAUAUUUUGAAUAUUAAACUUCCACUGCAUCACUUUACAAGAAAAUACCUGAUUAUUCUUUUCUAAAAGUUUUUGGAUGUGCUGUAUUUCCUCAUCUUCGAGAUUACAACAAACAUAAAUUAGAUUUUUGAUCAGAUAAAUGUAUAUUUUUAGGCUAUAGUACAGCUCAUAACGGGUAUAAGUGUCUCCACAAGUCAGGAAAAAUUUUUGUAAUGCGACAUGUUGUCUUUAAUGAAUAUGAUUUUCCUUUUAAAAGUGAUCCCUCCUUCAAAAUCUCAAAGAGUUAUCCAAAUCAUGAUUCUAGUACUCUCUUUCAGUCUCCUAUGUUUGCAGGUUUUGAAAGUCCUAGAGCCUAUAAGACUCUCUCGGUUAUUCAUGCAACAGACUCUCUACUAGAGUUGGUUCAUAACACAAUAGUUAUAGAUCAGGCAUCAAGUCAAGAUGAGGAAACCAAUUUUGAAUCCAACACCAAAAGCCCACCUGGAAAAGCCAACCUUGAAUCAAGCACUGAAAUCCAAGCAACUGAAAACACCACACAAUCUUUAUCUAUCCCCGCGUUUAUCAAUCAAGAAGCCGAUCACACAAUCUCUCAACCACCUAGUUCAACUCCUCAUUCUCAACAGCCAACACAUACACAAUCCACUCAUCCAAUGAUCACUCGUGCCAAGGCCGGCAUCUUUAAACCCAAACCUAGACUUUACCUAACAACCUCUCAUACCAAAAUAAGUGUACAUGCCAGUGUUAGUGAAGCUUUGGAAGAUCACAAUUGGCGUAAUGCUAUGACAGAAGAAAUGAAUGCUUUGGCUAGGAAUAACACACGGUGUUUAGUUCAACCUACUUCUGACAUGAAGAUUGUGGGAAAUAAAUGGGUUUUUCGGAUAAAACAAAAGGCUGAUGGUUAGAUAGAGCGAUAUAAGGCUCGGUUGGUUGCAAAAGGAUUUCAUCAGACCCCAGGAAUCGAUUUCAACGAGACUUUUAGUCCUGUUGUUAAAGUUGCAACAAUUCGAUUGGUGUUAAGUAUUGCUGUGAUGAAAAAUUAGGGUGUAAUACAACUGGAUGUGAACAACGCCUUUUUAAAUGGAGACUUAGUAGAAGAUGUUUACAUGAUGCAGCCUGAAGGCUUUAUCAACAAAGCACAACCAAAUCAUGUGUGUAAAUUGAGAAAAGCAUUGUAUGGGCUUAAGCAGGCUCCAAGAGCUUGGUUUGAAAAACUCAAGAGAGCAUUGAGUGACUGGGGUUUCACAAAUUCUAAAUUAGACACAUCACUAUUUAUUUUGCAGCAAGGAAGGGAUAUAAUAUUUGUCCUUAUUUAUGUGGACGAUAUUUUAAUAACAGGAAGUAAAGAAAGUUUGGUGCAAGAAGUUAUUGAACGACUUAAUUGUCAGUUUGCUUUAAAAGUGCUCGGACCAUUAAGCUAUUUCCUUGGUCUUGAAGCUCAUCGCACAGAGAAUGGCCUACAUCUUAGCCAACACAAAUAUAUUUGUGAUCUCUUGAAGCGCACAGAUAUGGAUGGCUGCAAGGAAACAUCUACUCCUAUGAGUGUAGUACCGAAACUUUCAGCUGAAGGUGGUAAGCAAUUUUCUGAUCCUACACUUUAUCGUAGCAUCGUUGGAGCCUUAUUAUACGUAACUAUUACUCGGCCUGAAAUUUCUUAUGCUGUUCAUCGUUUAAGUCAGUAUAUGCAAAAUCCUUUACAGCCGCAUUGGCUUGGGUGUAAAAGAAUCCUUAGAUAUUUACAAGGAACAGCUGAUUAUGGAAUUUAUUAUACUACCAAAGGAAGAAUGACGCUCACAGGCUAUACAGAUGCAGAUUGGGCAAACAAUAUUGAUGAUAGAAAAUCAACUGGAGGCUACUGUAUUUAUCUUGGCAAUAACUUAAUCUCAUGGAGUUCAAAGAAACAAAAUGCAGUAGCAAGGUCUUCAACUGAGUCAGAGUAUCAAGCACUUGCAAAUACCACAGCAGAAAUUUUAUGGCUUCAAUCUGUGCUUAAAGAGUUGCAGGUGCCACUAACUGAAAUUCCAAUUAUUUGGUGUGACAACACUGAAGCUGCUUCACUUGCUGCCAAUCCAGUUCAUCAUUCAAGAACAAAACAUAUAGAGAUUGAUGUUCACUUUGUGAGAGAUAUAAUUUCCAAAGGUGGAGUGGAAGUGAGAUAUGUCCCUACUGAAUAUCAGCCUGCAGACAUCUUCACAAAAGCUCUUCCUGGUGAUAGGUUUCAACAGUUGCGAGACAAGCUACAUAUUCUUCCCAGAACAUUGCGCUUGAGGGGGCAUCAUGAAAAUAUUGUAGUAGAGCUACCAAACUUGAGUAAUACGAAUUCAAAGUUGUUAGAUGACAUGGCAGUACACUUGGUAUUCAUUGGUGUUUUGGAAAGUUAAAGUGAUCAACCUUAUCUCUUAGCUUAUCAUUAAUUCAAGCUGCACUUUUGUAUUUAUCAAGAUCAAGAUAAAGAUUACAAUUGUGCUAGGCUUGAUCUUAUUCUUGGCAUUAUCGUGUUUCCUGUAGAGCACUAUAAAUGUAAUGAUUAUGAGAUGAAUAAAAUAACGAAAAGGUGUUUUGUUUCUUCUUUAAGCUCAUCUUUAUAAUUUAAGUAAAGGGACUUUUGCAUAGCCUCUGGUGUGUGUGUGAUUUCUCUUUCGUUUCCUCAUCAAAUUCUGUAAUUCUUGCUUCGAUAAAAAGCUUUUAAUCUCUUCUGUAGUGUGUGAUCAGUGCGUAAUCAUUUUGAGCAAUAACAGCUUGUGGGUUUUUCCUUCAAACAGUGUCGUUUUGGUCAGUUUGUUAGUUUCUGUGUUCGUCUGAUUCCAUUGCUCUUGUUCUCUGUUCUUGAUCUGUUCGUGGAAUUUUUCUUUGGUUAUUUGUUCUCAAAUUUCAACUGUAUAUAAAGUUUGAACUCUGAUUGCUUAUAAUGUAUUGAUUAAGAAUAAUCCUAAGAGUUCCCGAUUGAAAUUUUUAAUGACUAUUUUUAUUGUUUUGGAUAUACAAAUUGAAUUAAGAAAAAAUAUUGUCAAAUUCAGAGGAUAAGGGGAAAUAAUUAUGCUUCAAAAGGCCAGAGAUUAGAGAAUAAAGAAGCAUUCAUUACUCUAUCAAAAAAAAAAAAAAAAAAAAAGCAUUCAUUACUGAUAUACAAACUGCUUUUAUUUGGAUUUUGGAAGGGGUGAAGUUUUGAACUUCAGUUGUUCCUCUAAAAUCAAAAGCAGCAAUUAAGCGUUCUCAAUUAGAAAGAGCUAAGAAGACUUAUUGGUACCUUACUGAAGCUAACAUUAUGGCACAGUUGUUCAUAUAUAAUGGCUGCUCUGUUAUGCUAGCUUCUCUGUUUUUGCUUCUAUUUUUGCUUACAGUUUUGAACAUAAAUUCUUGCUCAAAUAACCCAUAAUUAAAUAACACUAAUAUGGCUCGUGAAAUCCCAUAAUAGCUAAUUACGCAACUUUCUCCUCCUCCUCAAUUCUGUCUUCCCCUGCUCGUACACUAAAUUCAAAAUUCAAUGCCCCGAAAAACAACACAAGAAAUCUUUGAGUUAAUUCGCGACCAGUUUAUAUAUAGUAGCAAUUGAAAAAGGAAAAAGAAUAAAAGAGUUCAUUAUUAUUCAGACCUUCACUUAUUAGGAAGUUUGUUCUGCUGUUGGGUGAGAUCAAGCUCUCAGCAUAUACUUCCACAUUAUACUUUCUAACAUUUUCUUGAAAGCCAUCAAUCAUAAAAUCUUCAUACUUUUUUCCAUCCUUUGGAUCAAUAAGUACAAAUUUCUCAUCUAAAACAGACAAAAUAAAAUCACUGUCCUUCAUGGAACAUAAUGGCUGCAAUGCCUGAACUGAAUUGGCUAAUGAAAUUUGAGUCCAGGAUUCUCUCAGCCCAUAUUCUUUCAUAAUCCAAAAUUCUUUUCUUUCUCGACAUGGAACAUAGUCUUCUUUUCUUUCUGGACAUAUGUCUCUGUACUUUUCUCUCUCUACUGAUCCACACUUUUUCAUACUUCUAACUAUCAUUUUGUUUUUUUUUUGUUAAGUUGUGAUUUAUUCAAUUAUUUUGUAUUUUUAAUGAAAAUUAUUUAAUAUUUAGUUAGUUUUGAUAUUGAUUAGUGAUUGAAAGUGUAUUUUAGAAGACUUCCGGUCUCUUGGAAAAAGGAAAAAUGGAGACGAAGAAGAAGUGUUCUUGAUUUUUUUGUAGGCAUUAAAGUUAAACGGUUUGAAAUGAUAUUUUGUUUUAAUUUCACUCAUUAAUCUCAUUCAGGAUAAAAUUAUAAAUGCAAAUAAAUGGGGUUUCAUGAGUUUUUUUUAAUAGUGUUAAAAGGUCUACUCACUAAAUAAAUAUGUUUAACCCAAACCAAUGCGAUUAGUAAGUUAUUGGGUUGGGUUGAUCAGGUUAAAAAUUAAAAUUAAAAAUUAAAUAAUUAAAAAAGGCAUAAAAACUAUCUGUUACUUGAAAAUAAAAAGAAUUUCUAAUAGUUAGUUCUAAUGUCCCAUAUCCAAAACAUCCAUAUUAAAUAAAUAUUAUAAGUUAGAAAUACAAUAUCCAAGAAAGAAUGAAUGAAAUACCAUAUUUUUGUUGAGAAUUAAGAGUGUGAUUUUAAUUUUGAUAUUGGAGUCUAAAGUGCCACGUUUAAAUAAUCUCUUUUAUAAAAUAAUAAAAAGAGAUUAAAAAUUAGGUUAGCCAUUUAGGCAUUCAGGGUUUAGCAAUUAAGGAUGAACAUAUUAUUGUUGUUGUUUUUUGUUGUUGUUGUUGUUGUUGUUGUUGUUAUUAUUAUUAUUUAUAUGUUUACUAAUCCAAUUUACGUAUAAGUACAAAAGUUUCAAAUAUUGUCUAUUAUUUUUUUAACAUGCCUAUUCCUUGUGGAUAAUUCUGUCUCAUCACUAAUGUUGUUUCUUGCUUACAAUUUGUAUAGCGUCUCAAAAUAGACAAUAGGGGGAUUUUGAAUUUUUUAAGUCUCAAUAUAGUCUCUUAUCUUGUGAGACAGAUUUUCUUUCAAUAAUUUGGAGGUAAACAUAACAUAACUUUUUGGACUAAAGCCUAGCUCUGCUAAUUAGUAAUUGGUGGUAUCCUUUUCAAGACCUGAGUCUUUAAAUUCGAGUUUUAUAUAGUGCGCAUGUGUAUUUAAUUAAUAUUUUUUUAAAAAAAUUACAUCAAAUACUAAUAUUCAUGACAUAAUUUAGUUCAUAAUGUUUUUUUAAAUACAUCGAAAAUAUAAUUUUUUAACAACUUAUAGGCAUGACAAAUUUCAAGAUAUAAAUAUCAGUCAAAAUAAGUGAAAGAAAUAAUGGUGCCAAUUCUAAUUUCUUAACUAAAUUAAUUACUGCAUGAGCCCCCAAUACGGCACGAGAGUUUGAUGGGCUAACUUGGCACAAGAACAAUAGUUAAUUGAUUUAAGAAAUAAUUCAAUGAAAAAUAUAAUUGAUAAGAAUUUAGUAUUGAAAUGAGUUUUUUUCGAAACACUGAAUUAAUGAUUAUUAAGCAAGAACAAUAAAAAAAAUAAAAUAAAAAAUAAAGAUUAACCAUUGAUAAGCUUCAACAAGAACUUAACACAACCCUCAAUCCUAAUUCAAAUUAUAAAUGUCAUUCAUAUAUUCAUUAUAAAUCAAUAACAAAGGUUAUAAAUGUUUAGAAAUUCUAGAGGGAAGGAAGCUAUCGCCGGGCAAUCAACAACUAAAUUUGAUGUAAUUGUGGCACAAGAUGGAAUAUGAAAACUACACCAUAAUUUCAAAUGCCGCCAUAGACAUUGACUUAUCUACAGUAACAAUGAUCUAAUUAAAAUUAAAAUAAAGUUUAUGGGCAUUUAUUAUAUUUGCCAUUCCUCAUUUGCAAAUAGGGAUAUAAUUAUAAUUUUACUUAGUCAAAGCAAUCAGUAAUUUUUAGGGGUGUUCAAAAUUCAAUCCGAUCCGCUCAAUCCGUCUGAUCCGUAGAAAUCCGAUCCGUAAAAAUCUGAUCUGUGGAUUGGUAGAUUGGAUUGAAUUGAAAAUUUGAUAAUCCGCAAUCGGUGGAUUGGGUAUGGAUCUACUUCUGUAAAUUCGUAAAAAUCCGUGAAUCGGCAAAAAAUAAAAAGUAUUUAUUUAUUAAAAAAUAAAACUUGUAAAUAUGGCAAUAGUACUUACUAGUAAAUAAAUAAGUUAAAAUAUAGUUACAUUAACACUAUAUUAUAUCUUAUCCGAUAAUAAUAAAAAAUAAAAAAUAAUUAAAUAAACAAAUAUAACUUUCUAAAUAGUUAAUUUUCAUGUACUGAUCUAAACGAAUGAGAUUUUUUUUUUUUCAUUUUGGUGUGUUAUGUUUUGAACUUUAAAUGUAAUUUUUAGUUUUAUUUAAACAAGUAAUUUAUUUAAAUCUUAUUUAAUUUUAAAUUUGAUCGGCAAUAAAAUUAUUUAUAUUAAUUUUUUUUUAUUUAGUUAGUUCGUAGAUUGGACAGUAUUAAAAAUUUUCAGUCCGUAAACCAAUUCGCAAAAUGGUGGAUUGGAUAUGGAUUGGGUCAAAUCCGCAUCCAAUCCGCAGAUGUAUGAAUUGAAUUUCACCAAUCCAUGAAUUGGAUUGGAUUAAAAAUUUAUAAUCCGCAAAAUCGUGGAUCAGAUAUGGAUUGAGGUCCAAUCCGUAAAAUUUGAUCCGGAAACACCCCUAGUAAUUUUCUUCAUUAUAGGAGUGAAGUAAAAACAUUUAGAUUUUAAUGUAUGUACGGAAAAAUUUAUCUUUAAAAAUACUUUCUUAAUGUGUGUAUAUAUAUUGAAAUACUCAAACCAAUUUUGGUUAUUAUAUAAUUAAACAAAUUUUAAAAUAUGAAAAAUAUAAUGUAGUUAUAGUGGAUAAACAAUAAGUGAGCGCAAUAUAAUUAAUCAAAUAUCAUGCCAUCAAAAGUUAAUUUUAGAAAUUCCAAAUCCAACAGCCAACACAAUUCUUUUAAAAAAAAGCUGACACAAUUAAUAAAAUUAGUGACAUGAAUUUCACACCAUUGAUAAUAAGCAAUUAGUAUUACUUUCUAAACUUGCUUCAACUGGUCGUUGAUGUCCGGGGUCACCAAAAGUAUAAGCAAUAAUAAGGGGCAUUGGGCAAGAGUGAUGAAUGUUUAGUCGGUGCAUUUGAUUGCUAGAUAUAUAAAGGGCCGAAACUUGAGAUUAUAUUACUUUUACAAAUUUUAAUCCAAUCACAUAUUUAAUGAAAACAAAAUGAGUUAGGAUACUUUAUUUAGAACCCACAUUUUAAUAAGGCUUCAUUUGAUGUAGUUUUUUAAACAGUGAUUAUUUAAGUAAAUUUUCCUCAAUAGAGUUUUUAUCAAACAAAUUUAUUUAUUUAGUUGUCGAUAAGAGUUUUUAUUAAAAAUUAUAAAAUUAUUUAAAUAAACAUGUUUUUUAAAAUUACAUUAUAAAAAUAAUUAAAUAAAAUUAUAAAAGUAAAAUAUAUUUUAGAUAUUUUAAUAUUUAAGAAAAAUUUUCAAUCUCUACUUUCAAAAGCUCAAAUUUUUAGCUUUUAGUUGUAGAGACAAAAUAUUUUAUUUAAUCUUUAAAAGUUAUGCUAAAAACAAUCAAAUAACUACAAAAAUUUUAAUAAGAGUAUAUAAAAUUAAAUGGUAAUUUUUAAAAACCUCCCCUGAGGUUUGGGCUUGUUGCAAGUAGAUGGCGAGAAUCCAUUUAUUUGUAACAAACCCCCUACCGUCAGUUAAUUUUUGCAUUAACCGUUAGUUGACUGUGCAAAGACAAUAUUGUCCCUAAUGACAGUUUGUAGACUGACAUAGCUAAAAAAAAUGCUGAGAUUGUCGGCACGAAAAUCACAAAUAAUUUUUUUUUGACAAUUUUGUCCUUGUUAAUUCCAAGAUUUACAAUGUCAUAAGUAAGGAUUAUGACUAUUUUACCCUCUUAAAAUUAUUGAUAAUUCCUUAAAAUUUCUACAAAAAAGAUAAAAUUAAAAACUUGAAGAAAAAUAAAGUUCUCAAGCCGGCUAACCAAACACAUAGAAUAAAAAAUCCAUCGUUUGACAACAAAAACAACUUUCCAUAAACCCAAACAAAAAUAAACAAGUCCCCAUUACUCUAAUUGGCUUUGCUUGGAGCUGUUACUAUUGUGCAUACAUUUCUAGGCAAAGCAAAAUGACCCCAUGAUAUAAACCUUAUAAAACAUGCCUCCACUAUUCUUAAUUUUGGUAUAAUAAUAAUAAUAAUCACAAAAAAUUAAUUGAAAACUUGACUAAUUAUCUUUGGUGGAGAAUUUUAAACCGAAACCGAUUCAGGAACCUUAAAUUGAUCAAAAGGAAGCUAAUAAUGACAAAAAAGUAACCGAUCAAAAAUCAUUAAGCAUAAAAAAAUAUUGAAUUUAAAUAACUAAAAAUGCCAUCGGAAAUUGAAAUUAAUUAUUUAACAUAUAGCAUGAAAACAAAUCUUCACUAUUGGUGCUAGGCGGCUGUCGUUUAGCUUGGUUCUAAGAGGUGGCAGUCAGUCAACUUCGAGACGGUGCGUUCGAAGUCAACUAAGCUGCAGCAGAGGUUGCAGGGGGCAGAUUGCAGCGAAGUCGCGGUGGAGCAGAGGUCGCGUCGCGGUGGAGAAGAGGUCGCGUUGCGCUGGCUUGGCUUCACGGUGGUGGGAUGGCUGGGCGGGCUGGCCAGCUGUGUGCGCAUUGUAUAUGAUUGUUUUUCACUUUUUUAAUAUUUUCUUGUGCAUUAGUUCAGAUUAGAUUAGUGAGUUUGUGUGUGUGUUUGCAGUUGAUUUGGUUAAGAUAUUUAGGUUAAAAUAAUUUUUUUUAAUAAAUUUUUUUUUUCAAAAUGUCAACAAUGCCCACAACUACCCAAAUGGCAACUAAGCAGAGUAAAAACGUAGGGGUUUUUUUUUAUAAAUAAAUAGAUUCUCGUCAUCUAUUUGCAACAAACUCAAAUCUCGGGGGAGGUUUUUAAAAAUUACCCUAAAAUUAAAUAAGCAUUUAUUAAUAAUCACUUUGGUAUACUUAUCUAAUGACCAUAAGUGUUUAUUUAAUCUCAUAAGUUCUUAUUUAAUCUCAUGAGCUCUUUUCAAUUUUUUUUGUUGUUUGUUUUUUAGUAGAGUUUUUGAAAAUUAAAUAAACUAUUUUGUCUCUACUAGAAAAAACUCAAAUUUUAGAUUUUUGUGAGUAAAUGUUUAAUUUUUUAAAAAAAUAUUAAAAUAUCUAAGAUAUCUUUCCUUUAUUUCAUAAUCUUAUUUCAUUUUUUCAUAACAUAACUUUCAAUAACUUACCUAUUAAAAUAAUUUCACAAUUUCUAAUAAAAACUCUAAUUGACAAUUAACAAUUUUUUUUUGUUUGUAAAAACUCUAUUUAUAAAAAAUCUAAUAAAAAUUCUAUUUAAAUAAAUUAUAUUUGAAAAGGUGUACUAAACCAACCUAAGAUAAAAACAAAAAUUUUUACAUCCAGACAAUUAAGCUUAAAACAAUUUCAAAUGAAUUUUAGACUAAUCAAAGUACAAUACGUACCAAGUUUGGUAACUUAUUGACAUCUUCUCAUAUAACCUUCGAUCAAGUCGAUUCUCACCUGACGACUAAUUGGUACAUCACCGUUGUUCUCUAUACUCGCAUGCAUCCGAUCACAAAUCUCACUCCAAUUGUCGUCUUUCUUCGGCGUUUUAGCACAUCCUUCUUGAAUUUCCCGCAUUUCGUUCCCUCCUGUUACAAGUCUCCGGUCAGGUCAGUUCUCUUGACGAUUAAUUCGGCAAAUCUCGAAUCUCUUCUCGCGUCGUUUCACUUCAAUUUUUUGUGUCUCCUUUCAGUUUUAGUGAUUGAAUCAAUUUUAUUGCAGUCUGAGAGAAAUUAAGUAAUGCUCUUGGAUUUAAAUUUUUUUUGCUUUCGACUUUAGAUCUCGAAAGUCAAACUCUGCUACGAAUCCUUAGAUUCUCAAUGUUUAUAAUCUUAUUUGUGUUUGACCAGGUAACUGGAUCGUGAAAUUCGUCGUUUUGUAUCAAUUCAAGCUUUCGCGAGCUCAUGGAAUCACCUGGUGAGUUGUGGUGAAACGUUAUCGUUUCAAUUUUCGCUUAAUUCUUUAUUGCAUAUUUUUUCUCUAACAUUUCAGUUUAAUUUAGAAAAGAAAGAGGACCCAAAAAGAGAGAGAGAGAGAGAGACUCUACCAUACUCAAUUCCUUGCUCAUUCUGAUUUGGCCUGAAUGUUGGCAUUGACUAUUAUUUGUUUUCAUUUCGAUUUAAUUCUCAUUUAGACAGUCUUUACUAACGGUCAAUAAUAGUUUAAGGAAAAUGAUAAUAGGGAUUCUGCAAUAAUCUUUUUAAGGAAAAUGAUAAUAGGGAUUCUGCAAUAAUCUUUUUAAGGGAUGUAUAACUUAUUAAUCAGAGUCCUGUUAUUAUGGUUUGACACUACUGACAUAUUGUGUUGGUAUUUAUUUGUACUUCCCUUGGUUGAAUUAUUUGCUGUCCCCAUGCCAUUCGAUAUGGUGCUACUUGGUUUUUGAUCAUCCAUGACGCUAUAUAUAUGUAAAGGAUGAAUUGAUUGUUUUGGCUUGUAUUCUCACAUUUUAUGAUUGAUCGAUGGAAAGGUCUUCAUGUAUUAAAUUCAACCUCACAAGCGUAAGAUUGACAGAUUCUGGGCAAAUUUUCAGGAAAAGAAACUAGACUUCAUGGAAGCAAUGAAGCUUGAAAUUGAACGUCUGCAGCUGAAAGGGAUAGAGCUUUAUUGUCAAUUGGAACUGAUCCUGCCUCUAUAAAUCCAAAUGUAUUGCUUGAUGAAUCUUACAUGGGAAGACUGUCGAGUAGCAACCACUCUUGCAUUACUUGGCCAAACUUCCCUAGAAGACAAAAUUGUUGGUGCAAUGGCCUUGAGAAUAGUGAUGAUAGUGUUUUAGACUUCUGGAAUAUUACUAGAAUCGGAGAGAGUUGUUCUGGUGGCGCGUGCAAGGUUCGUGCAGAAACUAAGGUGCCUGCUCUUGCUUCCUCAACUGCAGCAUCUGUUGGAGCUUCACAAUCCCCUUUGUUGUGUUCUCUGUUGUGUUCUCUGUUGUGUUCUCAAUGUGAAAGAAAAGUUUGCAAAGUUUGUUGUGCAGGAAGAGGAGCUCUACUGUUUUCAAAUUAUAAAUCAAGGGAUGUGACCAACUACAAUGGCUUCUCAAGUCAGAGUGGAUCAAGCCAUGGAAGCCAAGUUGAUGUAUCUACCAGUCGUUCACUAACACUGGAUGGCGUUAUCUGUAAACACUGCUGCCAUGAGAUUGUGCUUGAUACAAGUUCACAACACCAUUACAAAGGAUUCAAAAUUCCCACACGAAAACAUCAAUGUACAGAUUAUAAACAAUCCGAAUUGGACACAAGAAAAACCCUUCAAUGGAUUGCUUGCCUUCCCAAUGCUAUAUACUGUGCAAACUGCGCACUGUCCAAGAAAAUGUUUUCAAUUUAGUGUAUUUUCAAAAUGCUUAUUUUCUCAGAAUAUAUAAAAAAAAAAAAAGAAUUCUUACAUGUUUCAUCAGCAUGAUUAAAAUCAAAGAAGAAAGCGAGACAUAAUGUCUCUGACAUAAUAAAAUUACAAAAAUUUAAAAAAAAAAAAGUUAAAACAUGUAAUCUUCAUAAGCAUAUAAUAAAAUAACACUUCCACAAAUUACUACAAUUUCAUGCAGUAGAGAUUGAAGAGUUGAAUUCCACUUAUAGACACCGACCUCUUAUUUUGUCUAAUGUUAACAAUGAAAAUAACAACAGUAAUGAAAACAACAACAGAAUACAACAACAGAAAACAACAAUCCGCUCUGCAAAUUCUCUUGGGACUUGGUUCCAAUUCCUCUUCAUCCGAAGUUCCACUCGAAUCAAAUUCACUUGCAGCAGUUCCACUCGCGCUUGGCAAAUCAUCCAAUUUCCAAACUUCGGUAGCAAAAUUGAGAGUAAAAGUGUUGGCUUUGGUCUCGCUGGGAUUUGCAUAUACUGGACAUACUCCGUAACGUUUUACCUUGUGACCCUUUUGGUUUUGGUAACAAUUAUUGAAGAACUUAAGUGAGACAGUUGUAUGAUGGUAACCAUCAGGAAAGCCAACAUUCAAGCAAGGUUUAAAACCAAGUAUGACAUGAUCUGAAUCAAGGGAGUAUUUAUUUCUAACACUUGUGGUUGCGGGCCCACUGAAACCUAGAUCAACAUGUUUGGUUUCAGAGAGAGUCUUUAUUUCUAAGUCGAGUUGAGAGCGGCCGAAAACAUUGCAGCAAUAACAAGAACCAACUUUCUUAAAAUUAAGAACCGCACAAAAAGCAAACCCGAUUAAGUUUCUGCAAGAAGAGUGCGGUGGCAGUUGAAUACCUAUCGAAGAUCCUGAACUUUGAUUGUUGAACCAGUCAGGAAUUUCGCUCCCAGGUAAAACAAUUAGGGAUGUCCUGAGUUCAGAAAGUUUCUGUGAAAUGACAUUUAAAAAAAGAAAAUUGUAAAAUGAAAACCAUGAUUUCAGAUAUAACAAAGAGGGACAGAGUAAACAAGAGAGGGAACUUGAUGCGUUCUAAAUGUUCCAUUUUCUCCAAGAUUUCUGGGAAACGCUCAAGGUUCAAGCAGCCAUGAAGAAAAAGCUCAACCAAAGAUUUCAAUUUACAAAACCUAGUUGAAAUCCUCUUCAGCCGUUCGCAAUCCCUCAAAUCCAACUUUUCAAGAUCAGUUAGGCACUCUAUUGAUGAUGGAACUUCUUCUAUUGCAGACUGGCUUAAGUAUAGCCGUGUAAUUUUCCCAGAAAUCUGUGGAAACUCUACGAGAUUAACACAAUAGGAGAAAUUAAUAGUUACUGGACAAACAAAAUGAAGAUUGCUUGGAAAAGACCUAAGACUUUUGCAGCCCACAAAAUCCAACCUACUGAGAUACUUGAAAUUCUGGAUAGAUGAGGGAACACAAGCCAUUUCUCCUUCCCAAAUUUGCUCAACUUUACUAAAACGCAAAUUCAGUCCAACAAGGUUCUUUGGCUUGAAAUUUGAUGGCAGUGUCCUUAAUGGAUAUGUGUCCCAAUGAAGAUAUCUCAAUUUUUUAGGAAGAUAAUCUAGGCCAUUUGGAAGCUGCACUUUAGAGUACGAAAGUUGCUCUUCAAUGCUCAUACUUAGAAGCUUUUCAAUCUCAUACUUAGGUACAUAAAAUUUGAGCAAUCUCAGAUUAGACAUAUUUGUGAAGGCUCCGGGGUCUAAAUUGAUGCCUUUUAUUUUGGACAAAUCCAAAAAUAUGCCUUCAAUUGCAUCGGUCCCCUUAUUAAAAAAAAAAAAAAAACAAAGAAUGGGUAAGCCUAAAACAGAAAAGAAACAUUCGUAAACUUUAUUAACUAAGAGCUCCUAAAACAAAACAAAUUCUACGAUCUUUGAUCUUAUUUUUUUAAUAUAUUAAAUAUCUAUAUGCGAGAAAAGAAAAUUUUGGGAACCAUUGCAAAAUUAAACUAACCGAAAAAAAAAAUCAAAAUUUCUCUAAUUUACAAACCUGUUAUCUUACUAUCUAGAAGUUGAGAAGACAGGGCCUAUUUGAUUGGUAUAAGAUUUCGAUUUUUUUUUUAGUCCAUAGAAUCCAAAAUGUUAGUUCAAAAUUAGGGAAAAAAAUGAAAGUUAUUUUUUUUCCACUAGUUGUAAUUGUAUCCAAGUCAAAUUGAGAUAUGACCCUUUUCGAAAGGAUUUAAUCAUCUUAUAGCCUCCUUAAAGGAGUGAUUGGAGGCCUAACUAGGUAGGCCAAUCAGUCCAUUUUAUUAGCGACUAUUGCUUAAAAACAUUUAUACUCUAAAACACACUUACUUUUUUGAAAAAAAAAUAUAAUUAUAUUGAAGUAGAACCAGGUGGGCCAAUCCUCAUGGCACUCACUUUGUUCUGACACUCUUCACUAAAUUUGAAAAAAAAUAAAAUUAUACUCUUCACACUCUUAUUCAACAUUCCAAAAUUGAUAAAAUCUGGAGUUUUCAUUAAAAAUUUAAAAUUUGAAGACUUGUUCUCUUGACACCCUCAGUCAUUAAUUUUACCUAAUUAUGGUUUUUAUGAUUUUGGUUGUUUUGUUCAUAAAAAUGAUUUUACUAAAGGAUGUUCUGGUAAUAAUAAAAUUUAUAAAAAAAAACAUGGUUGUGCUGGUAUGAUUGGAAAAAUAUGAGUGCAUAACUCCAAACAAAUAAAAGAUAUAUAAAAAAAAAUGGAGGAUUCUUACCAUAUUAUGCUUUAGUACGCGGCGGAUUUCCUUAGGAUCCCACAACCUCUUGCGUUUGCCUGGCUCUUUCUCAGAUUCUUGGCGUCGCCCCAUUUCUUGCAAUAUAUCAUGCAUUUGCAAGCGGUUAUAUGACACUGUUAUGAGUGACUUAUCAACAAGGACAUCCAGUCCAACAGACUCAGAAUCAUCAAGAAUCCUUGCCACAAAAUCUUUAUCCUCUCCCUCAAAGAAACACGCAAUAUCUAGAAAUAUGCUCUGCACCCUGGGCGUUAAUUCAUCAAAACUAAUCUUUAAUUUCUUAUAAAUAGCAUGAAUAUCAGAUUCACAAAUCCGAUUUAAGUCGUGCAAUACUUUUCCCCAAUGGCUUUUCCCCUUGAGGGAGGAACCCAACACUUUAAGAACUAAUGGAUUGCCAUCAGCAUACUUUACAACUCUCCGUGAGUCAGGUUUGAAAUCUUCAGGACAAUGCUUUUCUUUAAAAGCGAAGUUACAAAAAUGCUCGAAAGCCUCAUGAAAAUCCAUUCCAUUAACCCUAUAUAUUUUCUUCUCCUCCACUCCAAAUUUUUCGAGGACUCCUUUAUCCCUAGUGGUUACAACAAUUCUACUUCCUGGAACAAAUUGAUCAAGCUCUCCAAUCAGACCCUCUAAUUGUCCAACUUCAUUCACAUCAUCGAGUACUAUCAACACCUUCAUACGCCGGACCCUCUCUUUAGUAAAAUGUGGAAUAUUGGCACCAGCUACUUCAAGUUUUUCGCUUAAUAUUGUUGAAAGCAUUUCCUUUUGUAGGUCUUCUAGGCCACCCUCUGUUUCUGAUUUUCUCCUAACAUUUUUUGCAAAGUAUUUACCAUCAAACUCACCAGAGAAUUGAUUGAAAAUAGCUUCAGCAAGGGUGGUUUUGCCGAUACCACCCAUGCCCCAAAUUCCAACAAUUUGGACAGUAUCCGACAAAUCCAUACACAAAAAUGGUUUAAUCUGCUCAAUUCGUGAAUUUAAUCCAACUAGGCCGUUGGAUGAGUCCGUUGAGACUGUUAUUUUUUCCAACUUCUUCAAAACAUCUUCGACAAUUUUGUUUACAAGUUCCGCAUCGUGCCUAAUAUAAAGGUGCAAAGAUGCAAAAACAUUGAGUCAAAUCGGGCCAACACAGAAACAGAGAUAAGAUGAAUUAGGAAAGAGAGUUACCUGAAUUUCGUGGAUUCGUGGCCAGCAAGACCGGAUGUUUCUCUCAGUGCAUCCCUCCACCUCUGAACCAUUUCUGGCUUCUCUUUGAACUGUUGUUCGAGCUUACCAAAGCCGACCCCAAAAAUCCCAGUUUGAUGCCGCACAUCGGACGGACUUACGCCAUAGAAAACCGGAAUAAUGAUUUGGCCGUUUGUGUGCUUGCAUUCAAGAAUCUCGACAAGUUCAUACAGGCACCAUUUUGAAGAAGCGUAGUCCGUUGAGAAAAUGACCACCGAAAUUUUUGAACCUUGGAUUGCGUUCAAAAGGGCAGGUGAAAUCUCAUCUCCGCGCCUAAGCUCUUCAUCAUCAAUAAAUGUUCUGAUUUUCUUUCUUUUAGACAAAGCAUCAUAGAGAUGGCAAGUAAAGAUCGCACGAGUGUCCUCCCCUCUAAAAUUGAGGAAGACUUCAUAAAUGCAAGGAGAAGAAGCCAUGAAGGAAAUAUUAGAAAUUUGGUGACAGAAACAGAGAAUUAAUCUUGAGAGCUGAGAGAGGAGAUGUAAGAAUGAACAUGUGUGAAUAUUCUUGCGAGUACAUAGUAAAUAAUUGAAUGGCUCGAGCUUUCUUAGUUUCCUGGAAAUUUCCUGGAGCUUUCGUAUACAUGAUUUGUCAAGUCAAGAAACAUAGUCAUGAUAAUGGGGCAGACCAGGAAGAAAAGGAAAUUGGAAUUUUGUACAAUUUCUCCAGCGAGGAACUUUCACUGUCAUUACCUCACCGUUACAGUUUGGAUUAGGGUAAUUUUUACCCCGCACCCAAAUGUUUUGACAUACAGCACAACGCACCCAAUUCUUUUGCCCAUGAGCACCGCGCACCCAUUUCCGUUUAUUUUUCAGUUAACUGUAACAGAUCAGGGUAAAAUUGGAAUAACGCAUCAAAAUUUAAAAAUAAAAAAAUAGGUAAACUCGAUGUUUGCGCCAAAAUAAUUUCACAUCACUGUGCUUAUGUUCACUGCGUUUGCGUGUGAGACCAAGAAGCAUGGCCACACCUCCAUUGAUGCCAAAAUCGAGGAGGUGGGUGAAGAAGAAUUGGCGCCAAAAUCAUUCACAUAUGAUGUGCAAGGAAAUUAUUUCAGCCUUUAAAUACUUUUUUAUUACAGCAGCAUCAGCUAUUGCUCUGUUUCGAAGAUCUGCUCAAUUUCUAAGACAAUAGUUGGUUUGAGAGUUUAAGGGAAGUGAAUCCACUGAGCGUGCUAUUGAAGAAGUGGAGGUCAGUUUCAUUUCUUGCUCAAUUGUUUUAAUUUAUUCCAUUUUGUUUGCAUGUCAAUUAUUUACACAUUUUUAGCUGGAUUUUGCUUAUCUAUAAAACUUGAAUCAUUGUUAAUCAAAUCAGCUAUAAUUUACGCCUCAAUGUGGUUUGUAAGUUUAAGUUAUGUUGGAUUAUACCUGAAUAAUGUGGUGUUUGCGUUAUUGAUUUCAAUUUCUAUUGAUGAUUUUGAGUAUACAUAUUAGUGGAUGAAAGUUUUUAAUUAGGAUGAUUGGUCACGCAUAUAUGUCAUAGCAACUGUGUUUUUUUGGGUUAUGGUUGUACUGUAGAUCAGUAGUAGUAGUGAUUUGGAUAUAAACGCUAGUGCUUUUAUUGUAAAUGAUAGUGAUGAAGAUCCAGUGUUACAGAAUUUGAUGUAAAAGUUAUUGGUUUUUGGCUAAAUAUCUUAGAUAAAUAUGAUGCUCAUGCAAUCAAAUCCAAUGCUUAUGCAAUUUACACCAUGUUUAUGAUAAGUAAUUAAAAAAAUAAAUGACUAUUCCAGGUGAAAAUGGAUGAUGAUGAUAUUACAACUGUUCUUUGUACAUUCAAGGGCAAGACAUAUAAUGUUGGUGUAAUUGAUCCAGAUAAGUUUAGUAGAGUUUCUGUAAUUAACAAGGUUUUAGUUAGAGUCUAUGGAAGAAAGAUGAGGCCUGAUGAGAAGUUUACACUAAGUGUUUGGGUACCAUGGGUCUAUAAGGAAGUAGAGAUUAUGUCUGAUCAUGACUUAAUAUUCCAGCUGAGAGAGCAUAAUAAGAUGUUGUUCUACUGCAUGCAAUUGUAUAUUGAAGAAAUCCAUGUACCUCAUGAGUUUGUACCUAGAAGGGCUUUGUUUCAGCACUCAGCAGAAGAAAGCUUACAAGGGUAUGCUGAAACAAACUUUCCAGCCACUACUGACCUGCACAAACCUUAUACACAUGCUACAUCCACCAACACAAAUCCUUAUGAAAAUGACAGUAAUGACCAUUCGAACCAUGAACCCCCUGUCAAGAACUCCAGCAGCAUAAUGAUGCAUAAUGUUGCACUUGAUAGCAUCCAAUCACAGACCAAACCAGAUACCAACCCUGACCUAUAUCAAGACUUUUUGGAUACCUAUUUCAGAUCAUCACCACAACAGAAAACACCAUCAGCUGCCCAAACUAAUGCCGAAAAUAGUGAUAGUGAUAACACAUCUUCAUUUGGUACAAAUAAGACUCCUACUGAGCAGCUUCAACAAAACUUUGCCAUCUCUUCUGAGUUGUCCCCUUUAUUGCAGCAACAUGGACAUCAUGCAUCCCAAAAUGAACCUAUACCUUUUCACCAACCUGAGUUCUCAUCUCAACCAAUAACUCAAAACCCUCAGUCACAAGUUGUACAAGCAGAAAACUUCCAGCAACCAGAAGCCACUACACCAGCACUAGUAGAUUAUAACUCAGAUGAUAGCCAUUAUAGUGUAACUGAUAGUGAGGAAGAUCCAGAUCAUCCAUUAGGUGCUCCAAACAUUAAUAAUACUCCUAGGAAACCUUCUGUUAAUGUUGACUUAGGCUCUAUGCCUUCUGAUGAUAGUGAUGAAGAUUGUAUGCUAUCUGAUUGUGAGAGUGAUGACAAUGAGUUUGGGGAAGAAUCUGAUGAAGAGAUUGAUCAAGUGCUGGUCAGAAUGGAUGCUGUUAUGAGAGAGAACAUGUACAUUCCUAGUGAUACACCUGUUCAAUUCUUUAUUGGGCAGUGUUUUAGGAACUUCAGGCAGCUGGCAUGGGCAAUAAGGACUUAUGCUGUGGAAAACAAGUUCAAGGUUUAUAAGCACAAGUUUGAAAAAUCCAGAGUAACUGUUGGAUGUAAUUAUUUCAGGUGCCCAUGGUUUUUACAUGUUGCAAAAACUAGAUUUGGACAAACCUUUAUUGUUAGGAGGCUUCACAACGUACAUACAUGUCAGAGAGACUUAAAGAAUCCUGAAUGCACUGCAGAGUUCAUUGUUGCCAAGUUUGCUGCAACUAUAAUUGAGCAUCCAGAUACAAAGGUUGGGUGGAUUCAAAGUGAACUUAGAAGGAUGUAUGGAGCUAAGAUACACAAGUAUAAAAUUUAUAGAGCAAAGAAGAAGGUUUUACAGAGACAAUGAGCUGAUUAUGAGUCUAGUUACAUGUUGAUCAGAAAUUAUGCUCAGGCCAUACUUACUAAGAUGCCACAGGCCUUGGCAUUGGUUAAGGUUUUCAGGAUGCAUGGUCAACAACCUCAAACUCACUUUGACAGCACUGUUAUAUCUUUCCAUGCCCUCAGAGAUGGCUUCAACCAAGGUUGUAGACCCUUCAUUGGUAUUGAUGGAUGCCAUUUGAAGGGUCCAUAUAAGGGUGUUCUUUUAUCAGCAGUUGCUAUUGAUGCCAACAAUGGAAUCUUCCCACUUGCAUUUUGUGUAUGUAGUGUCGAGAGUACAACCAGCUGGACAUGGUUUCUAAGCCACUUUAGGGAAUUUUUACAAGAUACAAGACAACUGACCUUUAUGUGUGAUAGGCAGAAAGGAAUUCAGAAUGCUCUUGCCUUAGAGUUUCCUAAUGCACAUGUUAGAUUCUGUGCUAGACACAUCUUAGCAAAUAUUAAGUUAAAACAUCCUCAAUCUGACUUUAAAGCAUAUUUCUGGGCAGCAGCAAGAGCAUCAAACAGAAGGGCAUUUGAUGAUGCUAUGCAAAACAUAAGAGCAGCACAUGAGGGUGUAUAUGAGACUCUUAGGAGGAUACCACCAAAUUUCUGGUCAAGGCAUGCCUUUGACAAUAAUUGCAAGUCUGAUCAUUGCACUAACAACGUAACUGAAUCUUUUAAUGCAUGGAUUGGGAUUCAAAGAAAGUUGCCAAUAAUCUCAAUGCUGGAGUGGAUUAGGAAGAAGCUGAUGAAAAGAAUGAUUGGAAGAAGAAAUAAGGCAGAGUCUUGGGACAGUGAUAUACCAAGAAGAAUUUAUGCACAAAUGAUGAAGAAUUUACAGAUUGGCAGUGCAAACCCUAUCUGUAGAGCUAGUAAAUGGCUUUAUGAAGUGGAUGAAAAUACCAAGACUUAUAUCGUUGAUCUUGAACACCAUAUGUGUGACUGCGGACAAUGGCAAGUUAGUGGGAUUCCAUGUGUACAUGCAAUGCCUUGUAUUGUGAAUAGUCAAAAAGAUCAAGCUCAGUUCAUUAGCCAAUGGUUGAAGAAAGAUACUUACCUAAGGUGUUAUUCUGGAUUGAUUAAACCAAUUCCAGAUAGAACGUCAUGGGUAGAUGCUGGUGGUGAUGAAAUACUGCCCCCUUUAGUGAGAAGACCACCUGGACGACCUAAGAUGACAAGAAGAAGAGAAGCUGAUGAGGUACCAGCACAUAAUAAACGAUACAAGAUGCAAUGCACUAUUUGCAAGGGAUUUGGACACAACAGAAGGGGUUGUCCUGUUAACCCUCAUAAUGCUCACAAGACAACAAGACAAUAUAAGGUGAGUGUGUAUGCUUGUAAGAGAAUAUUCAAUUAUUUUUUGAACCAUGUUCCUCCCAUGUGAUGACAGCUAAUGUGCCUUGUUUGUUUGUGCUUUUUUAUAGAAUAACCUGAAGAAGCACGUGACAAGGACAAAUGGGGAGCAAAGUGAAGGUAUAAGAGUAAUUUACUAAGUUAUAUUACUAUAUUACUUUACAGCUGUAUUAGAUAAUUAUAUAGUUGUGUAUCACCAAACUAUAUUAAAUUAACUUAUUUAUUUAACGUUGCUUUAUUGGUAAUUUAUAAGGCCAAGUUCACGGAAUUACCUCAACUAUUUUGGAAAGCCAAGACAAUGACAUGGUCCAAGUAACUGUCUCAGGCCAAAACAUAACAAAGAACCAGCAGACUGCAUCUAACAAACGCAAGAUUGGCAAUCAAGCAGGGCCAUCAAAAGCAAAUGAAGUCAUUGGCAAGAGCAUGAAUGGGGUCAUAUCUGUAGCUCCAUGGGUAGGUGAACAGGGAAGAAAAGUAAUGUCAGCCGCUGGAUUAACCUUCAGCAAAGAGGAUGAAGUCGGCAACUAUACUGAAAUGAAGCAUUUGGACAAAGGGAAGGCACCAGCCUUCCCUUCGUAAAGGGUAAAACCAUAGUUUUCUAUUGAUAUAAAUUAAUAUUGGUUUUGGAAAUGAUAUUUAUAAUUUGUAACUUGUUUUGUAGUGAUUCUUUGGCUAUGAUGGAGACAUUGGCAGCAAACUUAUUAACAAACAGUGGAGGCAACAUUAUCAUUUUUUGACACCUUCCACAAUGCCACAUCAACCCACCAGGCACAAGGUUAAGGUUAUCUGGAUGCUGAUUUCAUUAGGAUCAAGUGGCCAAGUAAUGACCAGGCAUGUCAUUGUUUUCUUUUUCUUUUUUAUUUUGGAGCUGAAAUUGGUGGAAGUUGUUGGACAUUAAGCUUAAGCAUUAUAGAGCUGGAAGCUGUGAUGACCUACUAUAAGUAUGAUUGGAAGGGUUUAUGGCAUUUUGAAAGUUUUUGGGAUUAAGAUACAUAUAGGACUGAUAUCAACCAAACCAACACUUUUUUUUUUUGUUUUUUGGUCACAUGUAUGUAAACACCAGAUUGGAUGUGACUAACAUUGUAAGUUGCUGCCAAUAUGCAUUUAUAGAUAAAAUAACUUAUUGCUAUUAUUGAUAUCAUAUUUGAUUAAAUGGUAUAUGUCAAGAAACGAAUGCAUUUUAUUGAUCAUAAGAUUUCAUUUUACACAUUGUUCUAGCAUUCCUUACAGUACAAUACAAGCAAUACAAGUAUAGUUAUCACUAUAAUCGUGAUUUGAUACUUCUUAUUUUUAUGAAGUAAACCUUCAAUAUUGAUGAACCUGUUGUGGAAGUCCUCAAUGUUAAAUUGUUGAAUCUCACUUGCCCUGUCUGCAGCUUCUUCUUCAAACCUUUGUAACGCUGCUUCAAUUUCUAUAGCCUCACCUGUAGAUGGUUUCCACCAUCUAAAGAAACCACAAGAUGGGUCAUUAGGGCAUGUGUAAUAUAGUUUGUUGGGGUUUGUUUUUGAUUCUGACACUUUGAUUUCUGCCCUUCUUCGACAGUAGCAUACUGUGUUAUAGAACUUGAUGAUGCCCCCAUUGAUUUUAGGUAAAUCCCUUCUUCUGUUAUAAGUUGAUGAACUUGAUGCAUUCCUUGAAGUGGACAUUUUCUUCAAAUUUCCAAUGUCGUGUCUGUUAUAUUCUUUUUGAAAUACAGCACAACGUAUCUGAACUUCAAGUUGUUGUGCUUGUUUUGUGUGUGAAUGAAGCUGCUGUUGAAGUUGUAUUGUUUCGGUGGGUAAAACCAAAUGUUGUACUACUGUAAGUUGUUGCUGAGUAAAAAAAAUGGUGGAGUUUCCAGGUGAGUCAAUGAAAAUCACUGAGGUGUGAAGAGGGUAGGAAUUUAUAUGUGUUAAACAUCACAGCUUGUGGUGAUGCAUCAGCUCAAAUUUAUCAAUUUCUUUUACUGUUCUUGUAACCAUAUAGCCGUUAUUACUGUUGCUCAGAUUUUAUAGCCGUUGGAUUUUUGAUGCGCAUGGUAAUAAACCAAUAUGCUAAGGGCAAUAUAGUCAAUAUAAUUUAACAGUUAUAGUUGGUCUUCGUGUGUAAAUACACCUUUAAAUAAUGGCCAGUGGUAAAUUCCUUAGUUCAAUGACUCACCUGGAUGCAUUUGAAUUCAACGCAAGGGUAUAUUUGUCAUUUAAUCAAAAUAUAGACUGAUCCGUUACAAUUAACUAAAAAAUAAACAGAAAUGGGUGCGCGGUGCUCAUAGGCAAAAGAAUUGGGUGCGUUGUGCUGUAUGUCAAAACAUUUGGGUGCGGGGUAAAAAUUACCCUUUGGAUUAUGAUUUGAGGGUGCAAGUAUUUACCUAGAGUUUACCUCCGCACUAAAUUCUUAAGUUUUGAAAAUUAUGAGACCUUUAUAUUGGGAGAUAUUGUAAUCGAAUCAAAACUUAAAUUUUUUAUAAUGUUAAUAUUUAAUCUUUUAAAAAACAAUAACCUCGCCGUUACAGUUUGGAUUAAGAUUUGAGUAAGUAUUUACCUAAAUUUUACCUCCGUCUGUAAAUUCUUAAGUUUUGAAAAUUAUGAGACCUUUAUAAUCGAAUCAAAAUUUUGAAUUUCAAUAUUAUUAUUCUUUAAAAAAAAUUUUGAGAUAACAGAGUGAUUGAUAAUAUAGGAGAACUUGUCUAGGCAAGCACAUGUAUACACAGAAACGUGAUGGAUUCAAAAAGAAAUUAAAGUGAUAAUGCGAAAUCGCUUGGUGGCCCAGUAAAAUUACGACUGAAUUUUUUUUUUUUUUUUUACAAAAUUCAAGCUCAUAAAUGACAAAUUUCAUUUCCCUUUCACACGUCAUUAACUUUUGUAACAUGGUGUGUGCAUCGUCAAGUGAGGCAAAAGGGUUUCAAUUACAGUUGGAAAACAUGAACAAGAAUGCAUAAUGAAUAAUUCCUUCGAUAAACCGAAAAUUAAGCACAGAAUAAUCCUAAAAUUUAAACUCUAAUAUCUUAUAAUGUAUUGAUUAAAAAUAAUCCUAAGAGCUCCCAAUUGAAACUUUCAUAAGUAUUUUAAUUGUUUUGGAUAAACAAAUUGCACUAGGAUAAAAAUUUGGCAAAUUCAGAGGAUAAUGGAAAAUAGUUAUGCUUCAAUAGGCCAAAGAUUAGAGAACAAAUAAGAAUUAUUUAUUGAUAUACAAAAGAGAAACACUCCAAAAUUUCAAGCAAAAAUAGUUUCAUAUAUCAUUUCGAUUUUGAAAGGGAUGAGAUUUUGAACUUCAAUAGUUUCCUCUAAAAUUAAAAGGUAGCAAUUAAGCUAAAAAGAGCAAUGAAGACUUAUUGGUACCUUAUUAAAGGUAAACAUUAUGGAACUUUCAAUGUCAUUAUCUCACUGUUCAAUUUUUAUUGAGAUUUGUGUAAGCAUUUACCUAAAUCUUACCUCCGCCUUUAAAUUCAUAAGUUUUGAUUAAUUAUGAGACCUUAUAUUGGGAGAUAUUAUAAUCAAACUAAAACUUAAAAUUUCAAUAUCAUUAUUCUUUAAAAAGAAAUUGAGAUAUCAGAGUAAUAUCACAUAGAAAAACUUGCCCACGGACGGUAAGCCAAAAGUCUAGUCAACCACACGCAUAAAGCUAACUAGAACAAGAGAACAGAGAAACGCGUGGGUCCCUAAAAGAAAAGGCAAGCACAUAAAUAACUUUCAAAAUGCCCAAGCAAAUACCGAUGAAAAUCACUGUUUAAGAAUAAUUUAUUAUGUGGUUGAAGCUUUCUUUUUAUCAAUCUUCUUUCUACCCAUUAAUUUUCCCACGACUUUCCCGUUUCAUUUCUUGAAUCUCCAUGGAUUAACUUUCAAUAAACCAUAAAAUAAACUAAGGAAUCAUUUUCUCGAAUACAGCUAUGAUUUUAAUAAAUGGGCGGACCAUCUAGAAUAGUAUAUAUAAUUCUGUUUAAUUAAUAAGUUGAAAAAACCAUCAAGAGAAAUUCUAAUAUUAUGAGCUUGACACGAAUUCUUCACUAAUUCCAAAACAAGGAGCUGUUUUAUAAGAACUGUGGUUGGAUUAUUAAGUUUUACAAUUUGAAUAUAAAUAAGAAAAUAAAAUCAGUCGCGUUGAUGUUUUCGAUACAUUUCGCUGCUAACUUUUUUUUUUUUUUUAUUACAUGAGACUAUUGCUCAAAUUACAACUCAUAUUACAUGAGAAUAUAACUGAUAUUUACAAAUCAGACUAUAACUGGGACCAAUAUACAUCAAUACUAAUGGAGCGCUGCCCAGAUUUUAACCCUCUCAAAUAUUCAAGGGAUGUCUACACCUCACACUUGGGUAAGGAAACAGACUGUCUUCACUUAAAUUUACUUGAGGAAUGAAGACCCCCACAAUACAUUGUGGGGGUUCACCACUCGACCAAAGGCCGAGUGGCUCAUUUCGCUGCUAACUUAAUUAAUUACUUUACUUCAACUUUAUUUCCUUAGGGGCACUUUAUGGUGGGUCCAAGAUGGGACCUACAAUAAUCAAUCCUAAAAUUUAGUAUGGUUACCAAAUAGCUAGUAGCUAGUGUUAUUUUGUGUUUGGUGGAAGAGAUUGAAUAUUUAGUUUUAACUUAACCAUUCAACUAAUUAGAAAAUAAAUAAAAUUAAAUGAAAUGUUUAGAUAUCAAUUUAAAUAUUAAUAUCGGGGAUAUAAAUUAGUUAUAAUAUAGUUCAUUACAUAAAAUUGAUUAAAUUAAUAAUUACCCGUGAACAUAGAUGUAUAUGCUUUCCAAUUUCCAAAGUGCUCAAAGCACUUUUCUCACCAAACUUUCCUCUGAAUUUCCCGUAGCUGACUCCUUUGUUUGCGUUUUGUGAAAUUUCUAGGAACUUUUUUCGAUUUAGAAUAUUGUACAUUUUUCUUUUCAGCUGAGAUUAAUUUAACUUAUAGAAAAUCUUAUCCUUUUUUAAUAUUAUUUAAAUAAAAUUUGUCUAUCUUUUAUUUUAUUAGUCUACUUUUUACCCAUUAAUUAAGACUUUUCAAUUUCUUUUUUACCUGAGGUUUUCAGUGACUAUCUUUCAAUAAACCAUAAAAAUUACUUAGUCAUUUAUCGAACAAUUAGAUGACCAUAUUUCAAAAUAUCAACUAGAAGUUGUCCUGAAAUAUUUAAUUAAUAGUUGAAGAAUUGUGAUUAGUGUGGGCAUCUACAUAAAAAUUAUAUUAAAACACCGCUAAAAGAUAAAAAUAAAAUAAAAUAGUACAAACAUACACCCAUAGGUUAAAACAAAGAAAAAACACGAACCAAUACACUAAAAUGUUUUAGCUGUAGUUAGUUUUCAGUUUCAUUACUUAAGUCCCACGUGCAUGUCACGUGACUGAGGUCAAAAAAUGAUUGUCACAUUAAAGUUCAAAAUACGGAGCAGGGUAAUUAAGGAGUGGAGCUAUUGGCACCCCUCCAUUAUUCUUACAAAACUCCACUUUAAAUCAAAAUAUAAUUAAGAAUAAUUGAAAAUUAAACACUUAUAGAUUUCUUUACAACAUGUUGAGUGAUAAAAAAGCACCAGUCGGGCAUGUCCCCAUUUCUUACCCGGUGCCGAAUCUCCACGGUCGAAUGGUAUGAGUAGACUCUUGGUGAUGUCUUCUAUGUGGAGCACGUAACAACAGACCAGGAACUAGUACCAACCAAAAACGAGUACUGAUCGAAACAAGCAUGACCAGAAACGCAUACCGACCAGAGACUUGUGGGUCCGUAAAAGAAAAGGCAAGCACACAAAUGAAAAAGCCAUUACAUUUCUAUUUUACAUGUCAUUCCUAAUUUUUGUAACACGAUGUGGCAGCAUAUGCACAAUCAAAUGAGGCAAAAGGGAUUCGACUAUCGUGGCAGAACAUGGACGAGGACGCGUGAUGAAUAAUUCCUUCGAUAAAACGAAAAACAAACGCAGAGAAAAGAAUUUCUUAUAUGACAAGAAAUUAAAGUAAUGUGACGGAACAUGAUGAAGAAAUUGCAGAUCGAUCAAUUAUCCCCAUGGACUCCUAUAAAUUCAACCAAAAUAACAAUUCCAAUAUUACCAAAUUCUUGAGUUAAAUUUAUUCAAUGCUUUUUUUUAAGAGAAAUUUUUUCCAAUGCUACUUUCCCUUUUUUGGGGAAAUUAGAACUGCGGCAUGUAUAGAAGACAUUGAGGUAUAAAGCAACAUUAAUUUCAUGGGUUAUGCGUUAUACGCAUAAUAUAUUUUCAGUCCAAAUUCAACUAUGCAAAGAGGCUUGAGAACUUAAAAUUAAGCACAAACUAAACAGACGAAGUAAAUACAUGAUUAUGCAACAUAACAUUAAUUCUCUUAAUUUAUAACCGUUUUGCCACAUGAAUCUUGCACAGUUAAUCCUAAUUGAAGACUAAAAAAGAACAAUUGGAACAAGGUUUUGAAAUAGAAUGAUAGACAAUCGAUAUGAUCCAUUUCCAGUCGUCAACGCUAAUUAACUGCAGUUUCUAGACUCCUAAUUAUACUAGCCAUAAGAAACUGUUUAGAAAACUGGUGAUCAGAUUAGAUUUUGAAAUGAAAUAAUGUUCAUUUUCCCUUCGUUACCCUUUUAUUUAUUUAUUAUUUUUAUACCAAAGAAUUCUAUCAUGAAACGAAUCAAUUUAAUCACCUUUUCCAGCAGCACAAUUUUUCUUUUAUAAAAUUUGACCACAGAGACAAAGAAGAAUUAUUCAUACCUUCAUCAGUAAGGAAAUACUUUUCGGUAUGGCUAGGGUGAGAAAAGGCUUUCCACAAACACUUGUACUUUGUAUUCCUGUAAAUUUUCUUUAAAGUCAAUAAAAAUCAUAAGUUCUUUACAAUAACCAUCUCUUUGAUAAAAAAAGUGCCGUAUUCCUUUAGAAUUUAAAACCGGCAAAAUCGAAUCAGUGUCUUUGAAGAGACAUAAUGGUCAUAAUUCUUUAAAGAGUUGGCUAUGGAAAUCCUUAUCCAAGAUUCUUUUACGCCAUAUUCUUUCGUAAACCAAAAUUCAUUUUGGAAUACUCUGUUGAGAAUGUCAAAUAAAACGGUAUUGAAGGAAGUUUUCAAAGGCAGAAUCCGCACUUGUCAAAGGGAUGAUCUGCAUUUGUCAGAGACACAAUCUGCGUCGAAUGAAUCGACACAUUUCCUUUUGUAUUCGCAUAUGUAAUUUUUGAAAAAAUGUAGCUUCUGCAUCUAUAAAUAACGCUCAGUGUAUAAUGUUUUAUUCAAAAAAAGAAAACAAGUUUCUUCAUACUCGUCGUCCGAACAUACAGAGACCGUCUCUCAUAACUUCAGCCGAAUACUUAUGAUGAUGAUCAUUUGUGAUUUCAUCAGGCAUAGGGUUGAUGGUGAAAAAUUUUGUAUGUGUGAAGAAUUGAGCUGUGGAUAUAGGGGACUUAAGUGUAAUCGAAAGAGAGUUAUUAGGCCAUAGUGUAGAUUGCAUUCAGUUUAUGAGUCGAUAUGCAAAUAAUUUGUUGACGUGGCGAAAUUUGUUAUGGUCGUUACUAUUGUUUCUGGAAAUUUUCUAGAAACCUCAGCAUAAAAGGGGCUUUUGGAUAGCCUCUGGUGUGCGUGUGAUUUCUCUUUCGUUUCCUCAUCAAAUUCUGUAAUUCUUGCUUUGAUAAAAAGCUUGUAAUCUCUUCUGUAAUUGUGAUCAGUGCGUAAUCAUUUUGAGCGAUAAAAGCUUGUAGGUUUUUCCUUCAAACAAUGUCGUUUUGGUCAGUUUGUUAGUUUGAUCUGUUGGUGGAAUUUUCUUUGGUUAUUUGUUCUCAAAUUUCAACCUUAUAUAAAGUUUGAACUCUAAUGGCUUAUAAUGUAUUGAUUAAGAAUAAUCCUAAGAGUUUCCGAUUGAAAUUUUUAAUGACUAUUUUUAUUGUUUUGGAUGCACAAAUUGCAUUAAGAAAAAAUAUUGUCAAAUUCAGAGGAUAACGGGAAAUAAUUAUGCUUCAAAAGGCCAGAGAUUAGAGAAUAAAGAAGCAUUCAUUACUGAUAUAAAAACUGCUUCUAUUUGGAUUUUGAAAGGGGUGAAGUUUUGAACUUCAGUUGUUCCUCUAAAAUCAAAAGCAAUAAUUAAGCAUUCUCAAUUAGAAAGAGCAAAGAAGACUUAUUGGUACCUUACUGAAGCUAACAUUAUGGCACGGUUGUUCAUAUGUAAUGGCUGCUCUGUUAUGCUAGCUUCUCUGUUUUUGCUUCUAUUUUUGCUUACAGUUUUGAAGAUAAAUUCUUGCUCAAAUAACACAUAAUUAAAUAACACUAAUAUGGCUCAUGAAAUCCUAUAAUAGCUAAUUACGCAACUUUCUCCUCCUCCUCAAUUCUGUCUUCCCCUGCUCGGACACUAACUUCAAAAUUCAAUGCCCCGAAAAACAACACAAGAAAUCUUUGAGUUAGUUCGUGACCAGUUUAUAUAUAGUAGCAAUUGAAAAAAGAAAAAGAAGAAAAGAGUUAAUUAUUUUUCAGACCUUCACUUAUUAGGAAGUUUGUUCUGCUAUUGGGUGAGAUCAAGCUCUCAGCAUAUACUUCCACAUGAUACUUUCUAACAUUUUCUUGAAAGCCAUCAAUCAUUAAAUCUUCAUACUUUUUUCCAUCCUUUGGAUCAAUAAGUACAAAUUUCUCAUCUAAAAAAGACAAAAUAAAAUCACUGUCCUUCAUGGAAUCAGAAUUGAGCUUACAAAAACCGAAGUGGACAGUUCCAUUCAGAUUGGUCGCCCGAGAACAAUGAUGAGAAGACUUAAAAUCAGUUUCAAAGGUUUUCCAAGUAUUGUUCCUCUAAACCACUUGUAUAUUUUACCAGAACUCUUGGUUAAGAAAAUCCUAGUCCAUGGAGUAUGAUAUAUCAAUCAUGCAACAAUGACCUACAACAUCUAUGUGGAUUGAUUUUUGCAAAAUAAAGAACAAUGCUGACUGAGGAAUAAGGUGCAUACCCGAUUAGCAAUAUCUCAGCAAGUAACCAACAAUUUUUUAUCUGAUAAGAAAAAAUUACAAUUUCUUGAAUAUACAUGAAACAUUUUGCAGAAAGAACCAUGUCAUAAUUAUUAGUCCAACUGAAGAAUUAUCAAUACUUAUCACAUGAAACGAAAGAUACCCGAGUUCACUUAAUGAAAUUCUCUUUUUUUUUUCUCUAACAUUGAGAUAAGCAAAAACUUUUAACUAAAGACAAUCAUCUAGUGAUCUCAAACAAAUGAGGUUAGUAUGAAACCAUCAUAAUUUGUUCGCUCAUUGCCUAAUUUUAUUAAUGCAAGAGCCUGGAAGCAACUCAAAAAGAAAAUAACCGACAUAGGAAGUGUCAUCUCAUAUCUCACCAAUGAAUGGGAACAGCUUGAUGUGGCUGAGCAAACUGGCAGAAUUGUCAUUUUAACACACGUUCAAGAAACUCAGCAAAUUCUCAUAUCUGUUUAAAUUCCACAGCAAAGAUAGUUACAAGAAAUCUAAUCAAAAUUUAAAAUGUCAGAAGGCAAAUCUUCCAAUUAGGAUCAAAAGAAGAUAAUUAUAAUUUGUCAUUUCAAUUCUGAAUGUACAAUUUUAUUUUUUUAUGUGUGCAUUAAUUAAGAUUCUACCUUCUCUGCAAAAUUGUGAUGGACUUGGUAAAUAAUGAAUUGUAUCGACUUGAAUUUUAUACAACUUAUUGAGAUAAUAAUACGCCAAAUUCAACACCGUCCAUCCCAAAUCACAACAAGAAACUCAAACUUUUAUCCCCUCAAGUGGGUUCUUGAAACUGAAGCUUUAGUGCCAGUACAAUUUUGAAAGAUUGUGAUCAAACUAAAACAUCAAAUAAAAUAAGACGUAACAAAAACACGUCUUCAGAAAAUUAGUAUAGGAAUAAGAUAAGCUACACAGACCUACUUCAAUGAAUUAGAAAAAUUAUGAUAAACUUGAUGCAUUUCGAAAAACAACAAACAAAUAUUCCCAGGAAAACAAAAAAAAGACAACUUUGUUUAAGCUUAGACAAAAAUAACUAAGGACAUAUGAAUGCAUCAUAAUAGUAUCUCUAUGGGUAAUUUUCAGAAAUCUCCCCUAAGGUAUGGUGUAUUCUUAGUUUGAUAGAAAAUAUCUAAGUAUUCUUAUAGACCUCCCCUACUGUUAGUAUUCCAUUUCGUAUAUGUUAGGUAGAUGAGGGUAAGAUCGUAAUUUGAAUAAGUUAAUGAUAAAAAAUCCAGAAAUUUUAAGAUUUUCACAUUGGCCUCUGGGCUUUAUUCAUCUCUUUCAUCCACCAAAACCAGAAAUACAACUCACCUCUCUCCUCCACCUAAAUCGAAGCAAGGUAGCUCAAAACUCAUUUCAAAAAAUUGAUCAAUUACUUGGGUCACAAACUAGAGACAAUGACGACGAAGUUGAUGACGCCAAUAUCGACGACGAAGCUGAUGACGCCAAUAUCGACGACGAAUGAUUCGCAACUGCCAGGUAAGAGAGUAUAGUAGGUUUCGCCAUCGAACGCCCAAUCAUCCAGUUGUUUUGGAGCCGCGUUAUUUUUAUUAGCUAAAAUUAGAAUUUUUAGUGAAAAAUUGAAAGUGGGUCUCAAAAUUUUUUGAGAGCGUAUAUGUUUCUCCUGAUUUUUCGAUCGAUUCGUGUUAGUUGCAGUUAAAUGAUUAAUCCAAUUCGUGUUGAAGAUAGAGCUAACUCGAAUAUCUCUAUAGUCCUGUAAUUGAUUGAAAAUGGGUCUUGAAAAUUGUUUUAGAUUUCAGCUGUGUGCUUCUGAUUUUUUCCAUGGAUUCAUGAUAGAUGAAAAUGGUUGAUGAAGAUUUGCUUGACAUGUAUAUAGAUGGUAUUUUGUUAAAGGGGUUUUAAUUUUUUCCUUUUUUGGUGGUUUCGAUUGUGGUAUUUACAUGCCUUAGGUUGAGAAAAACGAAAAUGGUUUGUUGCACUCUUUUGUGUUGGAUCAGUGAGUUUAGGCGAUUUGAAAUGGUUUGCGGCAUUCAAUUGAUUGUUUUAUUUAUGUGGUUUGAUAUGGGAAAAGUAUAAUAAAAUUCAAUUGUUCCAUAUGUCAAUUUGGAUGUUUUGAAAUUAUGAACUACAAAAAGUUAAAAUUAAUUUCUUAUUAUAUUUUCAAUUGAAAGUUACUAUUGUCUUCUUUUUAGUACUUAGUAUGCAUUUUUCCCCAUCUUCUAGUGGUGGUGUUGCACCCAUUUUGAAUUUGAUCGGCAUCUUCUUCUGUACAUGCAUGUUUCUUGGACUCCAAUUUUUGUUUCAUAUGAUGAAGCUAAUUUAAUUCCUCCUUUUUAAUAUCAACUUUGUUCAUCUAGGUUUGCGAUUUUGAUCUUUCUCAUUUGAAGGCAAACACAUUUAUGUCAUCAAAAUUUCCAAUAUUUUUUAUUUUAUAGUAUCCAAACUGCUUAUGGCAAUAUGAAAUUGAGAAUAUUUCUUUCAUCAUGUUAACCUAAGUGGAUGGUGGAUGAUGUUUGUGUAAGAGAUUUAAGUUAUUUGUAUUAUAGAAUAUGUCUUAUGUUUUGAUUUGCAAUUUCACCAUUAAAUUGGCUUUGUAAAUGAUUAGAAGCUAAAUGCAUAAAAUGAAAACAAUAGUAACAUUUCUGAGUGGGGUAUAAUCAGAUGCUAACAUGGCGAUCCAUGACUUGUAAUUUCUAUUGUCGUUAUAAUUGGACUAGAUCGAGGUAAACUGACUUUUCUUGUUCUGUUUUUUUUUUCAUUUCUUUGUUCUAGAUUUUUCUUUCUUUGUUUUACUUCUGGUUUCUUCUUCAGCAUAUUCAAUAACUAGCAUGAGCAAAUGGAGAGGAAAAGGGUAGAAUAUGCUUUUAAAAAAAAAGAAAAGAAAAAAAGAGAUAGCUCUAAUUCAAAAAUAAGGAGGAGAAAAGGGCAAUGAUUGAAGUUGUGGAGAAGAAAUUCUUAAUGCAUAGGAGAUGACAACAAAGUGUUGCAACUGGGAGCAGUUUUAAAGUGCUAUUCGAUUGCUUUUGUAAUCAAAUUGUCUUUUGUACCUAUUUAUACACACACAUAUUUGUAUUUGUAAUUUGAAUUUUACAUUUUCUCAAGACAACUAUGUUUAUUUUAAAAAAAAUCUAAAUGUAACUAAAAUAUUAAAGUUUUUGUACUUAUUACUCCAUUUGAUGAUUUUUUUUAUUUUUUUGCUGACGAAUAUUCCAUGUCAAUUUUUUUCCCUUCAGCUCGUUUAAGGUGUUUUAUUGUCUGAUGUGAUAUUUGGUGCUCGGGAGGAAGGGUGUUUUAAGUCUUUUUUGGUGUCAGGGGCAAUUUUGUCUUUACAUCAGUCAACAAAUAGUCAAUGGAUGGAAAUGCAAACAGCAGGGGAGGUGUCUGAUAAUACACGGAUACUUUCUAUCAAACUUAUAAUACACAAAAUCUCAGGGGAGGUUUUUGAAAAUUACCCAACUGUGCAAAAUUAUGAAAAAAAUGAGCUAAACAUAUAUAGCAUUUCAGAGGAGUGCUUACUUGACAAAUCACUAAUACAAAGCUGCGAAUGGGCAUUCGGAAUGUUUUGAGAGACUCGUAUGGAUAAAAUAUGUAGUUAUUUAAGUAAUGACAGAAGGAGAAUCGUGUGGCUUGUCAAAGCCGUUAGCUCCAUCUCAUUUGCCUCGUCCUCUCGUUUUGUUUCUGUGGGGACAUAUUUGAUAUUUUGGAUUUUGUCUAAAAUUCGUCAUGUUUUUGGAUACUAACAUCUGCGCCUCUAGACCAAUAGCCAUUUGAUUAAGUGGGAGAACCCUUACACUAGUGUAAGAAUUUGAACUUUUAUAAAAUUAUUUAUGAGAUUAUUUAUAAUUUUUUUUAAUUAUCAAAUAAUUGAGUAGAGUCAGUUUAAUCCUUACGAAAUAUUUACUAUUCAUAAAUAUCUUUUUUUUUCUCUAUCUUACAAUUGAAUAUUCUCUCUCUACUCCAACAUUAUGUAACCUAAAUAUUUAAUUUCACUCUUUUUUAAUUUAUUUUUUUGUCUUUUCUUAGUAUAUUAUAAUCUUUAUUUCAUGUUUUCUAUAUAUAAGAAUUUUUUUAUAUCUAUUAAAUUUUGUGUUUAGUGAAAAUUAAUUUCUUGAUAUUUUUAAUUUUUAUAAUUGAUAAAAAUAUAUCAAUGUUCAUUUUUAAAUGAUGGGUUUUGUUCAUUUUAGUUUGUUAUAUUAAUUUUUUGUAGGUAAAAGAAUAUAUUUGAAUGAAUUGAAGGAAAAUUGUGAAAUUGAGAAGAGAAAGAGAAGAAAAAGUUAAUUAAAUAAUUUUUUCAAAAAUUAUUUAAAUAAUAAAAUUCUUAAUUAAAAACAAAGAUGGAGAGAGAAAUUUAGUGGGUUCAAAAUACUUAUUUUAAAUCCAAAAAAGAACCAAUAAAAGAAAUCAAAAGAUGAUUCUUUUCUUUCUGACAUAUUUCUCUGUACUUUUCUCUCUCUACUGAUUCACAAUUUUUCAUACUUCUAACUAUCAUUUUAUUCAAGUAUUUUGUAUUUUUAAUGACAAUUAUUUAAUUUUUAGUUAGUUUUGAUAUUGAUUAGAGAUUUAAAGUGUAUUUUAGAAGACUUCCGGUCUCUUGAAAAAAGGAAAAAUGGAGAAGAAGAAGUGUUCUUGAUUUUUUGUAGGCGUUAAAGUUAAAUGGUUUGAAAUGAUAUUCUUUUUUAAUUUCACUCAUUAAUCUCAUUCAAGAUAAAAUUAUAAAUGCAAAUAAAUGGGGUUUCAUAAGUAUUUUUAAUAGUGUUAAAAGGUCUACUCACUAAAUAAACAUGUUUAACCCAAACCAAUGCGAUUAGUAAGUUAUUGGGUUGGGUUAAUCAGGUUAAAAAUCAAAAUUAAAAAUUAAAUAAAUAAAAAAGGUAUAAAAACUAUCUGUUACUUGAAAAUAAAAAGAAUUUCUAAUUGUUAGUUCUAAUGUCCCAUAUCCAAAACAUGCAUAUUAAAUAAAUAUUAUAAGUUAGAAAUACAAUAUCCAAGAAAGAAUGAAUGAAAUACCAUAUUUUUGUUGAGAAUUAAGAGUGUGAUUUUAAUUUUGAUAUUGGAGUCUAAAGUGCCACGUUUAAAUAUUCUCUUUUAUAAAAUAAUAAAAAGAGGUUAAAAAUUAGGUUAGCAAUUUAGCCAUUUAGGGUUUAGCAAUUAAGGAUGAACAUAUUAUUGUUGUUGUUGUUAUUAUUAUUAUUAUUUAUAUGUUUACUAAUCCAAUCCAAUCCAAUUAUUAACGAAUUUGAAAAAAUUGAUUCAAUCAAGCCAUAAUAAUUCAUUCAACUCGUCUAAAUUGGAUUAGGUUGAAUUUGGUUUGCCACCCUUGUUUUGAGCAACAAACCUCAAUGUGAUUCCAUGAGCUCUUUGAUUGUUUAUAAAAUUGUUUAUGAAAGUGCAAAAUAAAUUAUUGUAUACAUUAAAAUGUGCAAAACAAUGAAUUAUAUGUACGAACGAGUGCAAACACAUUUUUCAAUAAGAAGUUAAAAGAUAUUUAUGCAUGAAAAAGCCUACGUUUGUAGUUAUUCUAAAUUUUAAAAACAAAAUUUACAUUUAGAUCCCUAAAAUUUACGUAUAAGUACAAAAGUUUCAAAUAUUGUCUAUUAUUUUUUUAACAUGCCUAUUCCUUGUGGAUAAUUCUAUCUCAUCACUAAUGUUGUUUCUUGCUUACAAUUUGUAUAGUGUCUCAAAAUAGACAAUAGGGGGAUUUUGAAUUUUUUAAGUCUCAAUAUAGUCUCUAAUCUUGUGAGAAAGAUUUUCUUUCAAUAAUUUGGAGGUAAACAUAACAUAACUUUUUGGACUAAAGCCUAACUCUGCUGGUUAUGGUGGUAUCCUUUUCAAGACCUGCGUCUUUAGAUUCGAGUUUUAUAGUGUGCAUGCGUAUUUAAUUAAUAAUUUUUUAAAACAAUACAUCAAAUAUUAAUAUCCAUGACAUAAUUUAGUUCUUAAUUUUUUUUUUAAAUACAUCAAAAACAUAAUUUUUUUAACAACUUAUAGGCAUGACAAAUUUCAAGAUAUAAAUAUCAGUCAAAAUAAGUGAAAGAAAUAAUGGUGCCAAUUCUAAUUUCUUAACUAAAUUAAUUAGUGCAUGAGCCCCGAAUACGACACGAGAGUUUGAUGGGCUAACAUGGCACAAGAACCUGAAUAAAUAAUUGAUUUAAGAAAUAAUUCAAUGAAAAAUAUAAUUGAUAAGAAUUCAGUAUUGAAAUGAGUUUUUUAUGAAACACUGAAUUAAUGAUUAUUAAGCAAGAACAAUAAAAAAUAAAUAUUAAUCAUUGAUAAGUUUCAACAAAAGCUUAACACAAUCCUCAAUCCUAAUUCAAAUUAUAAAUGUCAUUCAUAUAUUCAUUAUAAUCAACAACAAAGGUUAUAAAUGUUUAGAAAUUCUAGAGGGAAGGAAGCUAUCGCUGGGCAAUCAACAACUAAAUUUGAUGUAAUUGUGGCACGAGAUGGAAUAUGGAAACUACACCAUAAUUUCAAAUGCCGCCAUAGACAUUGACUUAUCUACAAUAACAAUGAUCUAAUUAAAAUAAAAAUAGAGUUUAUGGGCAUUUAUUAAAAUAAAAAUAGGAGUGAAGUAAAAACAUUUAGAUUUUAAUGUAUGUACGGAAAAAUUUAUCUUUAAAAAUACUUUCUUAAUGUGUGUGUGCAUAUUGAAAUACUCAAACCAAUUUUGGUUAUAUAUAAUUCAACAAAAUUUAAAAUAUGAAAAAUAUAAUGUAGUUAUAGUGGAUAAGCAAUAAGUGAGCACAAUAUAAUUAAUCAAAUACUAUGCUAUCAAAAGUUAAUUUUAGAAAUUCCAAAUCCAAUAGCUAACACAAUUCUUUAAAGAAAUAACAAGGGGCAUUGGGCAAGAGUAAUGAAUGCUUAGUGGGUGCAUUUGAUUGAUAGAUAUAUAAAGGGCCGAAACUUGAUAUUAUAUUACUUUUACAAAAUUUAAUCCAAUCACAUAUUUAAUGAAAACAAAAUGAGUUAGGAUUGUUUAUUUAGAACCCACAUUUUAAUAAGGCUUCAUUUGAUGUAGUUUUUCAAACAUUGAUUAUUUGAGUAAUUACAAAGUACAAUACGUACCAAGUUUGGUAACUUAAUUGACAUCUUCUCAUAUAACCUUCGAUCAAGUCGAUUCUGACCUGACGACUAAUUGGUACAUCACCGUUGUUCUCUAUACUCGCAUGCAUCCGAUCACAAAUCUCACUCCAAUUGUCGUCUUUCUUCGGCGUUUUAGCGCAUCCUUCUUGAAUUUCCCGCAUUUCGUUCCCUCCUGUUACAAGUCUCCGGUCAGGUCAGUUCACUUGACGAUUAAUUCGGCAAAUCUCGAAUCUCUUCUCUAUCCCUCUCGUUUUCUCGUGUCUCCUUUCAGUUUAAGUGAUUGAAUCAAUUUUAUCGCAGUCUUAAGAGAAAUUAAGUAAUGCUCUUGGAUUUAAAAUUUUUUUGCUUUCGACUUUAGAUCUCGAAAGUCAAACUCUGCUACGAAUCCAUAGAUUCUCAAUGUUUAUAAUCUUAUUUGUGUUUGACCAGGUAACUGGAUCGUGAAAUUCGUCGUUUUGUAUCAAUUCAAGCUUUCGCGAGCUCAUGGAAUCCCCUGGUGAGUUGUGGUGAAACGUUAUCGUUUCAAUUUUCGCUUAAUUCUUUAUUGCAUAUUUUUUUCUCUCUAAUAUUUCAGUUUAAUUUAGAAAAGAAAGAGGACCCAAAAAGAGAGAGAGAGAGAGAGAGACUCUACCAUACUCAAUUCCUUGCUCAUUCUGAUUUGGCCUGAAUGUUGGCAUUGACUAUUAUUUGUUUUCAUUUCGAUUUAAUUCUCAUUUAGACAGUCUUUUUUAACUAGCAAUAAUCUUUUUAAGGAAAAUGAUAAUAGGGAUUCUGCAAUAAUCUUUUUAAGGAAAAUGAUAAUAGGGAUUCUGCAAUAAUCUUUCUGCAUUGUUCAAGUUAGUAGACAAUGAAUAGGGUGUUUAUGUUUACCUCAUUUUGAACCCUGAGGGCUUCGUUGAGUAGUUGAUCCAACAUAUCCAGCACCGGUUGAUGUGAGAACAGGAUGCCAUUUAGAUAGGCUUAAACUGAUUUUGGAGGUUUGUAUUCAUUCUAUUGUAUGUCUUGCUUACAAAUUUUUUAUUUUUUAUUUUUAAUUUUGUAUAAUAUGCUCUUUGUUGGUAAAUCUCAUUUGACUUAGAAGAGAUAGUUUUAUCCCAACAGUGGGAUAAAUCAUUGAGAUGCAUGGCAGUGUGAAUAUAGUAGACAAAAUCAUUGAGACAGAUGGUGGUGUGAACAUAGUAAACUUUGUCAAACACAGCUAAGAUAAACAAAUUGUUUCAUUAGCCUUUAUCUUAUCUGCUGUGAUGAUUCAAAUUAAUGCUGUUUGGUAGGUUGCAAAAAACGAAAUGAGCUGACUGUUCAUAUUAUUUAGUCAGAUCUAUUGCAAUAAGUUGAAGUUCACUGUCACAUGGGUUGGGAGUAGCGUGGGCUGUGAGUAGUAGAAUGGAUUUAUGGAGUUGAUACAAGUGCCCAUAAUCUAUCAUGUCAUUCUAGGAUUAAAUGGAUUGCACAUUACUGUAAAGAUGGAGGUUAAAUUUAUAUAAUUCGGAUUGAUUGUAAAAUGGGAGGCAGAGAUGAGUUAGAAAAAAAAUGACCUGUGUCCUUUUUGAGCUGUUUCUAAAUCUCCCUGGUGUGCUUCAUGCUUAACACGUGUCUGUCCAAAUAAUUUUGCUUAACCUGUGCUUGUCUACUUCUUGUGCUAUUCUGUGCCUGGUCCUGAGCUGUGUUGGUAGAUUGACAUAAUUUUGCUCUGCUAAAUGUAUAACUUAUUAAUCAGAGUCCUGUUAUUAUGGUUUGACACUACUGACAUGUUGUGUUGGUAUUUAUUUGUACUUCCCUUGGUUGAAUUAUUUGCUGUCUCCAUGCCAUUCGAUAUGGUGCUACUUGGUUUUUGAUCAUCCAUGACGCUAUAUAUAUGUAAAGGAUGAAUUGAUUGUUUUGGCUUGUAUUCUCACAUUUUAUGAUUGAUCGAUGGAAAGGUCUUCAUGUAUUAAAUUCAACCUCACAAGCGUAAGAUUGACAGAUUGUGGGAAAAUUUUCAGGAAAAGAAACUAGACUUCAUGGAAGCAAUGAAGCUUGAAAUUGAACGUCUGCAGCUGCAUCUUUCUGCAGCUGAAAGGGAUAGAGCUUUAUUGUCAAUUGAAACUGAUCCUGCCUCUAUAAAUCCAAAUGUAUUGCUUGAUGAAUCUUACAUGGGAAGACUGUCGAGUAGCAACCACUCUUGCAUUACUUGGCCAAACUUCCCUAGAAGACAAAAUUGUUGGUGCAAUUGGCCUUGAGAAUAGUGAUGAUAGUGUUUUAGACUUCUGGAAUAUUACUAGAAUCGGAGAGAGUUGUUCUGGUGGCGGGUGCAAGGUUUGUGCAGAAACUAAGGUGCCUGCUCUUGCUUCCUCAACUGCAACAUCUGUUGGAGCUUCACAAUCCCCUUUGUUGUGUUCUCAAUGUGAAAGAAAAGUUUGCAAAGUUUGUUGUGCAGGAAGAGGAGCUCUACUGUUUUCAAAUUAUAAAUCAAGGGAUGUGACCAACUACAAUGGCUUCUCAAGUCAGAGUGGAUGAAGCCAUGGAAGCCAAGUUGAUGUAUCUACCAGUCGUUCACUAACACUGGAUGGCGUUAUCUGUAAACACUGCUGCCAUGAGAUUGUGCCUGAUGCAUUGAUGUUGGACCAUGUUAGGGUCUUGAUUAGCUUGCGAAGAAGUUCCUGUGCAGACAACGCAGUCAUACAAUGCUUUGAAUGAGGUUGUUGGAUCCUGCUUAAAGGAUAGUGUUUCUGAAAGGAUUCAGUCUUCCGAUAACGUGCAAGCUGCUGAAGUCCUUCACCAAUUAUGUGGUGGACAGGAAUCACUUGCUGAAUUUCCAUUUGCUAGCUGUUUGCACUAGGUAUGUUCUUGGUUUGUAUUCAGUUCUCAUCAUGUUAUGUUUUCCUUUUAAAUUUCUUUUCUUGAUUAAAAUUUUUAGAAAUAUGUUUUAGUAUUUGUUCUUAUGAUAUAUGCCCAGAACAUUCAUCCCACUUAUCCAUGAGAAUCCUUGUCUGGUUUGAUUUUCAAUUGAGACAUUUUUGGGAACCCUGAGCAGGUUCCAUAUGCUAAUAAUCUUUGAGGUAAGGUGUUGUAGGAUGCCUUGAGAAGCUAAAAACCUAUUACAAGGAAAAGCUCUUGCAUUGUUUUGUGGAAUCUGUGUUGUGAAAAUAGGUAGAGAAAAAGUUUAUGGAAUAAUUCUCUUAUUUCAUAUGUUCAUGAGACUGUACACAGUCUUUAUAUAGGGAUACAAGAGACUAAGAAAGGAAAGAAAAAAUUAAAGCAGAAUAUUACACACUGAUUUCUAGGAAGCAAUAACUCUAUAUUUACACCAAAUAUACACCUAAAUAUAUAAGGAAAACCAAAUCAAUUUGAUUUGGUCAACCUUUCAACACUCCCCCUCAAGCUGGUCUAAAAAUGUCUUUCAUGGCCAGCUUGCAAACCAAUUUCUCAAAAUGUUUCUUAGGUAGUCCCUUGGUGAGUAUAUCAGCAAUCUGCUCAUUUGUAGGAAUGUAGGGCAUGCAGACCAAACCACUGUCCAGUUUUUCUUUUAUGAAAUGUUUGUCCACUUCAACAUGUUUAGUUCGGUUGUGGAGUACUGGAUUAUGUGCUAUUGCAAUGGCAGAUUUGUUGUCACAAUAUACUUUCAUAGGUAGAGAAUUAUUUGCCUUAAGUUCUUCAAGAACUUUUUUGAUCCAAAAAACCUCACAAAUUCCUAGAGCUACUGCUCUAUAUUCUGCCUCUGCACUACUUCUUGCUACCACAGUUUGUUUCUUGCUGCGCUAAGUGACCAAAUUUCCUCCGACAAAGGUGCAGUAACCCGAAGUGGAUCUUCUAUCGGUUACACUACCAGCCCAGUCAGCAUCAGUGUAGACUUCUACUUGUAGGUGCCCGUUUUUUCUAAACAAAAGACCUUUACCCGGAGAUCCUUUUAAGUAUCUAAGGAUUCUAUAUACAGUUUCAAAGUGUUCUGGUCCUGGAGCAUGCAUAAACUGGCUGACUAAGCUCACUGCAAAGGCUAUGUCCGGGCGUGUAUGUGAAAGGUAGAUUAAUCUACCUACAAGGCGUUGGUACCGAUCUAUGUUGGUCACAUCUUCAAUAUUAGCUGGCUGUAAUUUCAUAUUAGGAUCUAUGGGUGUCUCGGCUGCUUUACAUCCGAGUAAACCUGUCUCUUCAAGCAAAUCAAGAACAUACUUGCGUUGAGACACAACAAUCCCAUCUUUUGAUCUAGCAAACUCCAUGCCCAAAAAAUACUUCAGGUUGCCUAAGUCUUUGAUUUCAAAGUCACGUGCAAGCACUUUCUUUAAUCUGCAAAUCUCAACUAAGUCAUCACCAGUCAAAAUUAUAUCAUCUACAUAUACAAUUAACACGACUAAUUUCCCUUCAAUAGAAUGUUUGUAAAACAUUGUAUGAUCUGCCUGACUUUGGGAGUAGCCGUGUCCCUUUAUAACAUUACCAAAGCGUUCAAACCAUGCUCUAGGAGACUGUUUGAGCCCAUACAAAGACUUAUGUAGUUUACACACUUUACUGUUGCCAUGAUUUCCCUCAAAACCUAGUGGUAAAUCCAUAAAGACUUCUUCUUCUAGCUCCCCAUUCAGAAAAGCAUUUUUAACAUCUAACUGGUAUAGAUUCCAAUCAGAAUGUACAGCCAAUGAGAUAAGGACCCGGAUGGAAUUUAUCUUUGCAACGGGGGCAAAAGUUUCUUGAUAAUCAAUUCCGUAGGUUUGAGUGAAUCCUUUUGCUACAAGCCUUGCCUUAUAUCUCUCAACACUCCCAUCAGCAUUACAUUUAAGUGUAAACACCCACUUUCAACCCACAGUUUUCUUUUCUUUUGGUAAAUCCACAAUCUCCCACGUACCAUUCUUCUUUAGAGCAUUCAUUUCCUCUAAAACUGCUAACUUCCAAUCUGGGUGGUCUAGGGCUUCUUUUAUGGUUUUAGGAAUUGGUAUUUGAGAGAUUUUUGUGGUAAAGGCUCUUUGUUUAUUGGACAACUUUUCAUAGGAAACAUAUCUAGCAAUGGGGUGCUUAGUACAGGUUCGGGUUCCUUUCCUAUGUGCUAUGGGUAAGUCAAGAUCAGGAAAAAAAGUGCUGAAAUGUUUAGGAGAAGAAAUGUUACCUGAAUUUUCUGAGGAAUCAGUGCUUGGAGGCAACGAUUGAGGCUGUAUCGAGUUUAUGAGAGGGUCUUUACUGUUGUGAUGAUACUUUCGAGUAUAAACACGCAGCUCUGGUGGUGGAAUUUUAUCUUGUAGUAUUUCUCCCCCUGUCUCUGGUACAUUAACACUUGGUUCCUGUAGUUCAAGGUUUCCUAGGUUUUCAUUAUUAGAAAUAUCAGUUUUUUGAGUUUGAGUUGGAGUGCCCAGAUCAGGUAAAAACUGAUUAGGCAUAGGUGUAGAAGUAUGCCAAAAAUGAUCUUCACUAUUUUCUUUCUCCCCCUGAAGAGAAUUUUGGCCAAAAAAAGGUUGAUUUUCGAGAAAUAUAACAUCCAUACUGACAUGGAAUUUCUUUGUUUGAGGAUUGAAACAUUUGUAACCUUUUUUAUUAGGUGCAUAGCCCAAGAAAACACAUUUUUCAGAUCUAGGAUCCAAUUUAGAUCUAAGAUGGUUAGGAACAUGAACAAAUACAGUGCACCCAAAGACUCUUAACUGAAUAUUGGAGGUAAUCCUACUAGAAGGAUAUAUAAGUGUGAAGUAUUCUAAAGGUGAUUGAUACUUUAAAACACGGGUAGGCAUCCUAUUAAUCAAAUAACAUGCUGUUAAAACAGCAUCACCCCACAAAUAUUUAGGAACAUGCAUAGAGAGCAUGAUAGCCGACUAACUUCAAGUAAAUGGCGGUUUUUUCGUUCCGCAAUUCCAUUUUGUUGUGGAGUAUCACGACAAGUGGAUGUGUGAAUUAUACCCUUUUCCUUACAAAACACCUCUAGAUAAUUAUUAAAAUAUUCAGUACCAUUAUCUGUAUGGAGUAGACUUAUUUUUGUUUGAAAUUGAUUUUCAACCAUGUUAUAAAAAUCUUUGAAUAACCCCUCAACUUCAGAUUUUUCUCUCAUUAAAUAAACCCAACAAAGCCGAGUAUGAUCAUCUAUGAAUGUUACAAACCAUUUUUUUCCAGUUAAAGUGUUGAUUUUUGAGGGUCCCCAAACAUCACUAUGAAUUAAAUAAAAAGGUUUUGAGGCACGAUAAAUAAGUGCUUUAUAUGAAACUCGAUGACUUUUAGAUAAAAAACAACUUUCACACUGAAAAGUAGUACAAUCAACAUUUUUAAAUAAAUUUGGAAACAAAUAUUUCAAAUAAGGAAAGCUAGGGUGUCCUAGUCUAAGGUGCCAAAGCAUUAUUUGAUCCCUAGCAGAGUUUGAACUAAUACUACUGCUCAAACCUUGAGUUUGUUUAUUCCUUGAUAAGUAGUCAUCAAAAUAGUAAAGACCUUCUCGCAAACUAGCACUGCCAAUCAUCGUCCCCAAGUCCCUGUCCUGAAAUUCACAAUGGGAGUCAAAAAAGACAGCACAACAAUUAGAAUCUUUGGUUAAUUUACUGACAGAUAACAGAUUGCAAGAAAGUUUAGGGACAUGUAGCACAUUUUUAAGCUCAAUGGUUCCAGAGAUUUUUAUUGAUCCUUUUCCAGCUAUGGAAGAUAAGCUUCCAUCAGCAACUCUUACCUUUUUGUUACCAGGGCAAGGAUAAUAGGAAUCAAAUAAACUAGAAAUGCUAGUCAUAUGAUCAGAAGCACCCGAAUCAAUAAUCCAUGGUGCAGUAGUUGAGUGGCUAAAUAGAGCAUUAAUAAUACUACCUGUUUGGGCUAGUGAACCACUAGGAGUACUAGGUGGAGGAUUAGAAGUCAGCAGCUUUAUGAGAUGGUCAAUUUGCUCCUUGCUGAGAUUUUUUUCUAGAUUCUCCACUUCAUUGGCAGACGCACGGCUAUGCUUGCUGUUUUUCCAAUCUGCAGGCUUUCCGUGGAGUUUCCAGCAAGCCUCCCGAGUAUGGCGUGGUUUAUUACAGUAAUCACACCAUACUCGAGGUUUUUGUUGCUGUUGAGUGAUGGAGCGGGUAGCAUUAUCUGCUGUAACAAGGGCAGAUUUUUCCACAGAGACAACGGAGUUCUUUUUUCCCAACAUAACACCUCGACGACUUUCUUCUCUCCUUACUUAAGAGAAAACAUCCUCAAGAGUAGGAAGUGGCUUUCUCCCAAUAAUUCUUCCUCUUACCUCAUCAAAUUCAACAUUGAGCCCAGCCAGGAACUUGAAGAUUCGCUCAUUAUUGACAGUUUGUUUGUGGUGUUUAAAAUCUUCCAUGCUCUCCCACUCGUAGUCGUUGAAUAAGUCCAGAUCUUGCCACAAUCUCUUUAGAGUAUUGAAGUAUUUUGUUAUACUAUAAUCUCCUUGACGGAUAUCUCCAAGAGCAAGCUGCAACUCAUAGAUCUGGGACUGAUUUCCAUAGUCAGAGUACAUCUGACUCACAUUAUCCCAGAGUUCUUUUGCAGUAGAGUAGCACAUAUAAUUUGCACCAAUGUCUUCAUCCAUGGAGUUGACUAACCAUGCCAUAAUCAUGGAGUUUUCGGCAUCCCAAACACCAUAAGAGGGAUCAGAUAUUUCAGGAGCCUUAACAUCUCCGGUAAGAUAACCAAUCUUCCCUCUUCCCCUAAUAUACAUUCUAACCGACUGAGACCAUCUUUGAAAAUUUCCUUCAUUCAGCCGGAUAGUUGUAAUCUGGACAGAAUGAGAUUCAGAAUGGGAAAUUUUUGGUUCUAGUCUUUUUGAGGUGACUGUGGUUUCAGAAGAUUGGUCAGACAUGGUAGGGAAGAGAUCAGAAAGAAAGGGAGCCUAGCUCUGAUACCAUGUGAAAAUAGGUAGAGAAAAAGUUUAUGGAAUAAUUCUCUUAUUUCAUAUGUUCAUGAGACUGUACACAGUCUUUAUAUAGGGAUACAAGAGACUAAGAAAGGAAAGAAAAAAUUAAAGCAGAAUAUUACACAUUGAUUUUUAGGAAGCAAUAACUCUAUAUUUACACCAAAUAUACACCUAAAUAUAUAAGGAAAACCAAAUCAAUUUGAUUUGGUCAACCUUUCAACAUGUGUGCUAGCAAGUCAUGUCUCUAAUAAUUUCAUAGUUUGCUUGAUUGGAAUUUUUUAUCUUGAUAUGGAUUGUUUAUUCUAGAUUCCUUGGUGCUGUAGGUUGAAACAGCAAAAGAUUCAGCACCGAUUUUGUCACUGCUUGCUCCAUUAAAUUCUGGAUCAAGGCACUCAUAUUGGAGAGCUCCACCUUGUACUACUUCUGUUGAAUUUGUUAUUGUUCUCUGUUCUGUUUCUGAUGUCAGUGGGGUUAUCUUGCUUGUUAGUCCUUGCGGCUAUUCUGUGGGUGACACUCCGAUGGUAAGUGCCAUAUUUAUUCCCUUAUUUCCUUGUUGUUCAAUAAAUUUGGUGAUAAGCCAAGUGGCCUUAAUAAUGAAGCCCAGUACCAGGGGUGGUGGGUAAUCGAUAUUCAACUUGUGAAUAUUCCUAAGCAAGCACUGAAUCAACAUAGACCUCGGCAAAAGUUCUCCAUGCUAUUAUAACGAAAGUCAUAUUUUGAAAUGAUUAAAAGAGUCCCUGUGUAGUGCUAUUUCCAAAGAAAUUGCAGCUGGAGGUUUAGUUUCAUGUAGGUUAGUUUCCGAUAAUAAACUUUCCAUUUCAUUAAUUGCUGAUGAAAAAACCAAGUAAGAACAGUUUUGUUGCUCGUCAUUUAUGUAUAUUUUGGUAAACUGUAAUUUUAAAUUCUCAACGAUCUUCCCUUUGUAGGUAAGAAGAUGGUCCACUCACUUGAUAUUUAUGAUUGUAGAUCAGGUUUCUAUUGGUUUGCCUUUAUCAUUCGGAACCCAAGUUUGAUAUUAACAGAGAUCACGUCAAUAAUAUCCUAUUUGGGUAGAUGUGGGUGAGGAUUUAAAAUCAAAUUUGAAAUUGAGGGCAAAGAAGAGAAAAGAAACCGCAAUAAUUAAACAAAAUAUUAGGAACUAUUCUGAUGAGUUUUAAUCUCGAGAGGAACAAUUUUCAAAUGCAAAAUUUAACUGCUAGAGAAAUUGUAGCUUUUUGUCAUUAGUUAAGAGGAAAGAGAAUAAGAACUAUCUGGCCCUUUCCUUCAUGAAUGUGUGUUGAGGUUGCUGUAUUAUUUAGUCAGUAUUUGUAAUUUUCUUCCCUGCAGUGCUCUCUGCCUCCUGAAUUUGCUACUGAGUCCAUAUUUUUCUUUGAGCUGUUGCUUCCUAUUGCUGUUACAGGUACAAAUCUGGGCAAGCAAUAAGAUACACCGGGAGGACAGGUCAUCAAUGGGAAAAUGGGAUGUCCAAUCCCUCAUCACAUCUUCUUCAGAUUUGUAUGGUCCAGAAAAGUCUGCUAGUGUUGAAAAAUUACCUAGGCAUGUAAAAUUUACUUUUAAGAAUCCUGUUAGGUGCCGCAUUGUUUGGAUCACAUUACGUCUUCAGAGACCUGGUUCGGCUUCAGUUAAUUUCGGGAAUGACUUCAGUCUUUUGUCUCUUGAUGAAGAUGAAAACCCCUUUGCACAAGUAGACAGACGUGCUUCAUUUGGAGGAGCAGUUGAAAAUGAACCAUGUAUUCAUGCCAAAAGAAUUCUUGUAGUCGGAAGCCCAGUAAAAAGGGAGGGGCUUACCACAUCACAGAGCUCUGAGCAGCUAAGUAUUAGAAACUGGUUGGAUAGAGCUCCACAAAUGAGUAGAUUCAAGGUAUUAGUUGCUUUCACUCUUUGUUCAUUCAUAAUUCCAGCUUUCUGCUUGAUGCCUUGCCUCUGAUAAACCUCUUUUUUCUCUUCAGGUCCCAAUUGAGGCCGAGAGAUUGAUGGACUACGAUCUCGUCUUGGAACAGUAUCUACCUCCAGCGUCACCUUCGCUUGCCGGAUUCCGUCUAGAUGCUUUCAGUGCAAUAAAACCUAGGGUUACCCAUUCACCUUCCUCAGAUUCAGAUAUCUGGGACAAAUCAGUAACAUUUUUAGAAGACAGGUACAUCUCUCAAGCUGUGUUGUAUUUACAAGUAUCCGCACUCCAGGAACCACAUAACAUGGUAACUAUUGCGGAAUAUCGACUGCCGGAGGCUAGAGCCGGAACGCCAAUGUACUUUGAUUUCCCACGACCGAUACAGUCCCGACGAGUUUCAUUCAAGCUUCUUGGAGAUGUUACAGCAUUUGCAGAUGAACCUUCAGAACAAGAUGAUUCAGGAUUGAGAGCUCCACUUGUGGCCACAGGUUUGUCUUUGUCAAACAGAAUCAAGUUAUAUUAUUAUUGUGAUCCUUAUGAGCUCGGAAAAUGGGCAAGCCUUUCUGGAGUUUGAUCGUUAUUUAUAUGUCAGAGAAAGGGUUUUGGGUUUGAUUUUGAUUUUGAUUUGUAAUUUUUGUCAGUUUAUUGAAAUUUUUUGUUGUAUAAAAGCAGAAUGUAAAGGUAUAAAAAUUCAUUGAUGCUGCAAUGUCUGUGCUUUUGAGAAAGAAAGAAUUCUAUGGCUUUUCUAUGCCAUUGGAUUUUCCACUGCCUGUAAACUUGGGCUGUCGAAUGCUCUGUGAACCUUAAGGGCUAUAAAGUAAUUUUCAAGACUGAAGGAUUUAUUAAUCGAGUUCAAAAGAUUGCAAGUUGGUGAGCGUUGGCAUUUAAAAAAUCAAUUGUUAUUCUCUCAAUAAUCUCUGUCUUCUGCCGACACCCCAUGCUCAGAAACCCAUUGUUCCGACGGACGUGUAACACUUCUAGAAAUUGUUUUGAUCUCUCCUCGUGAAGUGUUUUCUUUUUCGAGUGAAGGUGGUUUUCUACUUGCAUACGUCGGGGGUCUUAUGAUAUGUAAUGUGUGAAAUUUCUUUCUCAUUUUACCAUAAAGAAAAAUGUUGUAAUAAUCUAAAGCUCGAGUCUUAAAUUAUCUUAAAUUUAUAUUUAGAGUGGAGCUAUUCGCAAUCCUACAUUAAAAUUACAAAUAAAAAUAAUUGAAAAUUAAACACUUAUAGAUUUUUUUUACAACAAAUUAUUUAAUUCAUAAUCAAUCCUUUAAAAAAAAAAAUCCAUAUGUUACUUGCUAUCUAACUAAAAUAAAUUUUACAAAUUUAGAAUAAUCUAUUGAUUUCUUUUGAUUUCUUAUUAAUUAAAUAUUUUUAUACAUAAAAUUGCUUUGAAAUUAUAAUUUGAAAUAUGUGUUAUUUCAGCCAAUGAUUAACACUAAAAAACUUAUCACCCAUAUAACUUUUUAAUUUGUGUGUAGGGUAAUAAUAAAAUCAAAAAUAAUUAAAAAAAUAGUACAAUAAUGAGUUUUAACAAUAAAACAAAUCAAAUGAAAAUUGAAAAUUUAGAAAAAAUGUAUCUAAAAAAGGGAACGUUUUUUAAAAUAAAAUGAAUAUAACUAAAAAGGGGUUUUAUGAGAAGAGCAGAGGGGUGCCAAUAGUCCAACUUGUAAUUAAGAAUCUCCCAUUAUAUUGUCAACCAAAAAGACACUUGAAUAAGAAGAAGAAUUUAUCAGUUUGAUUUUAUUUAUAGAUCCAACAUUUCUCAUAUCCUAAACGCCUUUCCGUAUCAAAUUAAAACAGUAGUCGCAAAAUCGUAGUAUUAAAAUCGUAGUGCACAUUCAAUUAACCAACUAAUAGUCUUUGGUAUAAGAUUUUAUAUUAGCUAGCCAAGUAGGUUGUCCAUCCCACUCAGACAUGAACGAAAGCUAAAUUCAUCAAAUGGUGUUAUACUAUUAAAUAUUUUUAUAUUUAAAAUUACUUUGAAAUUAUAAUUUCAAAUUAAAAUAGUAGUAGCAAAAUCGUAGUGCACAUUCAAUUAACCAACUAAUAGUCUAAGAAGCAAAGAGAGGAUUACAAGUUCACAACACCAUUACAAAGGAUUCAAAAUUCCCACACGAAAACAUCAAUGUACAGAUUAUAAACAAUCCGAAUUGGACACAAGAAAAAGCCCUUCAAUGGAUUGCUUUCCUUCCCAAUGCUAUAUACUGUGCAAACUCCGCACUGGCCAAGAAAAUGUUUUCAAUUUAGUGUAUUUUCAAAUUGCUUAUUUUCUCAUAAUAUAAAAAAUAAAAAAGAAUCCUUACAUGUUUCAUCAGCAUGAUUAAAAUCAAAGAAGAAAGCGAAGACGUAAUGUCUCUGACAUAAUAAAAUUACAAAAAUUUCAAGGAAAAAAAAAAGGUUAAAACAUGUAAUCUUCAGAAGCAUAUAAUAAAAGAACACUUCCACAAAUUACUACAAUUUCAUGCAGUAGAGAUUGAAGAGUUGAAUUCCACUAAUUUUAAUAAUGAAAACAACAACAGAGGAUUAACUGAUGCUUUGACUUAUUAGCAGGUUGCUUUGACUUAUUAGUUCUGCAGCUAAGUUAAAUAAAAUAAGCUAUUUUCAAAAGCAAAAUGGAAUACAUAGAUAAAAACAUCAUCUUAAACAAAUCACAAUCUAGAAUUAGAGCAUUUUCGACAUACCUAAGGAACACGAAUACGUGAAAACGGGUGAUUUAUUUGUUAAGGAGUGUUGAUUUGGUCGUCUCUGCAAAUUCUUUAGGGACUCGGUUCCAAUUCCUCUUCAUCAAAACUGUAAUAUAAUUCCCCUUCAUCAGAACUCGAAUCGAUGCAAUAUAAUUCCCCUUCAUCAGAACUCGAAUCAAAUUCACUUGCAGCAGUUCCACUCGCGCUUGGCAAAUCAUCCAAUUUCCAAACUUCGGUAACAAAAUUGAGAGUAAAAGUGUUGGCUUUGAUCUCGCUGGGAUUUGCAUAUACUGGACAUACUCCGCAACGUUUUAUCUUCUGACCCUUUUGGACCUUUAUUAUGUUUCGGUGACACUCAUUGAAGAACUUAAAUGUGGCAGUUGAAUGAUGGUCACCAUCAGGAAAGCCAACAUUCAAGCAAGGUUUAAAACCAAGUAUGACAUGAUCUGAAUCAUGGGGGUCUUGAAUUGAGUGCAAAUUGUAACCCAGAUGAACAUGUUUGGUUUCAGAGAGAGUCUUUAUUUCUAAGUCGGAUCGACAGUAAACGUAAAAAUAACGAAAACGAUCAGAAUAAAGUUGCUUAAAAUCAAGAACAGCACAAAAAGCAAACCCGAUUAAGUUUCUGCAAAAAGAGUGCGGUGGCAGUUGAAUACGUAUCGAAGAUCCUGAACUUUGAUUGCUGAACCAGUCAGGAAUUUCGCUCCCAGGUAAAACAAUUUGGGAUCCCCUGAGUUCAGAAAGUUUCUGCGAAACGACAUUUAAAAAAAGAAAAUUGUAAAAUGAAAACCAUGAUUUCAGAUAUAACAAAGAGGGACAGAGUAAACAAGAGAGGGAAUUUGAUACCUCGUUGUAUGCAUUUUCAUAGCCCAGUCUCAGUGAUGCUGCAAUUGCCAUACGUAGUGAAUCUGCCAAAAUCUUGUUGUUUGCUUUUCCAUCAAGUUUCAAGCAGUUAGUAAACUCAAAACAAAUUGGUUGUGGCGUCACAUAUUCCGGAUGCCAUUCACGAAGGUCAGGAGAGGGUUUGGAUAGCUUUUCGAGUACGGAUGCAUCUAGUUCUUGUACACAUGACGGAAUCUCUGGCAAAGAUUGAAGCCGGUUGCAGUUCAUUGCUUUUAGUGACUGUAGACACAAUGGAAGUUCUGGUAAUGACCGAAGCAUGUUACAAUCCUCCAAGUGAAGAGUUUCUAGACCCAAUGGAAGUGCUGGUAAUGACUGAAGCAUGUUACAACGCCUCAAGUAAAGAGAUUUUAGACACAAUGGAAGUUCUGGUAAUGACUGAAGUAUCUUACAAUCCCUCAAUUCAAGAUAUUUUAGACACAAUGGAAGUUCUGGUAAUGACUGAAGCAUAUUACAAUCCUCCAAGUUAAGAUAACUUAGCCACGACAGUUGCUUGAUACUUGCAGGUAAACUCUCAAAGUUAUUUCCACUUAAAUUGCCAAUGUUAUCCGGCAACUUGUCAAGUAUAGAGCAACCACUUACGGACAAAAAUGAAAGCCCCGGUAGAUUUUCAAAUGGCGAUGGCAGCUCUGUAAUUGCCGUCCAGACUAAAUAGAUGCAAUUUAAAUGUUCCAUUUUCUCCAAGAUUUCUGGGAAACGCUCAAGGUUCAAGCAGCCAAAAAGAAAAAGAUCAACCAAAGAUCUCAAUUUACAGAACCUAGUUGAAAUCCUCUUCAGCCGUUUGCAAUGCCCCAAAUCCAACACUUCAAGAUCAGUUAGGCACUCUAUUGAUGAUGGAACUUCUUCUAUUGCAGACUGGCCUAAGGAUAGCUCUGUGAUUUUCCCAGAAAUCCGUGGAAACUCUUUGAGAUUAACACAAUAGGAGAAAUUAAUAGUUACUGGACAAACAAAAUGAAGAUUGCUUGGAAAAGACCUAAGACUUUUGCAGCCCUCAAAAGACAACGCACUGAGAUACUUGAAAUUCUGGAUAGAUGAGGGAACACAAGCCAAGUUUGUAUAAUCCAAAAGAUUUGUUUCAACAUUUGGGGUUUCUAAUGGGCCUGGCAUCUUAAUGAAAUGUCGAGAAUGAUUGAGGUUAAUAGAUUUUAACUUGAAAGCUUCCUGCAAUAACAGAUAUAUAAAGACUAUAUUAAUUAAAAAGCAACAUUGAAUUCAACAAUUAAUUGCACGUAUGUUUAAAGAAAGAAAAAAAUUAAUGUUUUAGUUUUAGUACAAAACUUACCUUUUCUCCUUCCCAAAGUUGCUCAACUUUACUAAAACGCAAAUUCAGUUCAACAAGGUUCAUUGGCUUGAAAUUUGAUGGCAGUGUCCUUAAUGGAUAUGUGUCCCAAUGAAGAUAUCUCAAUUUUUUAGGAAGAUAAUCUAGGCCAUUUGGAAGCUGCACUUUAGAGUAUGAAAGUUGCUCUUCAAUGCUCAUACUUAGAAACCUUUCAAUCUCAGGUACAUAAAAUUUGAGCAAUCUUAGAUUAGACAUUUUUGUGAAGGCUCCUGGGUCUAAAUUGAUGCCUUUUAUUUUGGACAAAUCCAGAAAUAUGCCUUCAAUUGCAUCGGUCCCCUUAUUAAAAAAAAAAAAAACAAAGAAUGAGUAACCCUAAAACAGAAAAGAAACAUUCGUAAACUUUAUUAACUAAGAGCUUCUUAAACAAAAACAAAUUCUGCAAUCUUUGAUUUUAUUUUUUUAAUAUAUUAAAUAUCUAUAUACGAGAAAAGAAAAUUUUGGGGACCAUUGCAAAAUUAAACUAACCGAAAAAAAAUUCAAAAUUUCUCUAAUUUACAAACCUGUUAUCUUAAUAACUAGAAGUUGAGAAGACAAGGCCUAUUUGAUUGGUAUAAGAUUUCGAUUUGUUUUUUAGUCCAUAGAAUCCAAAAUGUUAGUUCAAAAUUAGGGAAAAAAAAUGAAAGUUAUUUUUUUUCCACUAGUUGUAAUUGUUUCCAAGUCAAAUUGAGAUACGACCCUUUUCGAAAGGAUUUAAUCAUCUUAUAGCCUCCUUAAGAUACAUUUAAGCUAAAAGGAGUGAUUGGAGGCAGAACUAGGUGGGCCAAUCAGUCCCUUUUAUUAGUGACUGUUGCUUAAAAAAAAUUAUACUCUAAAACACACUUACUUUUUUGAAAAAAAAUAUAAUUAUAUUGAAGUAGAACCAGGUGGGCCAAUCCUCAUGGCACUCACUUUGUUCUGACACUCUUCACUAAAUUUGAAGAAAAAUAAAAUUAUACUCUUCACACUCUUAUUCAACAUUCCAAAAUUGAUAAAAUCUAGAGUUUUCUUUAAAAAUUUAAAAUUUGAAGACUUGUUCUCUUGACAUCCUCAGUCAUUAAUUUCACCUAAUUAUGGUUUUUAUGAUUUUGGUUGUUUUGUUCAUAAAACAAUUUUACUAAAGGAUGUUCUCGUAAUAAUAAAAAUUAUAAAAAAAACAUGGGUGUGCUGGUAUGGUUGGGAAAAUACGAGUACAGAACUCCAAACAAAUAAAAGAUUUAUAUAAAAAAAAAUGGAGGAUUCUUACCAUAUUAUGCUUUAGUACGCGGCGGAUUUCCUUAGGAUCCCACAACCUACUACGUCUGCCUGGCACUUCCUCAGAUUCUUGGCGAACAGUCUCUUGGCCCAUUUCUUGCAAUAAAUCAUGCAUUUGCAAGCGGUUAUCUGACACAGUUAUGAGUGACUUGUCGACGAGGACAUCCAGUCUGUGAGACCCAGAAUCAUCAAGUAUCCUUAACACAAAAUCUUUAUCCUCUCCCUCAAGGAAACACGCAAUAUCUAGAAACAUACUCUUCACCCUGGGCGUUAAUUCUUUAAAACUAAUCUUUAAUGUAUCAUAAAUACCAUGAAUAUCAGAUUCACAAAUCCGAUUUAAGUCGUGCAAUACAUUUUCCCAAUGGCUUUUCCUCUUGAGAUACAGGGAGGAACCCAACACUUUAAGAACUAAUGGAUUGCCAUCAGCAUACUCUACAACUCUCCACGAGUCACGUUUGAAAUCUUCAGGACGAUGCUUUUCUUUAAAAGCGAAGUUACAAAAGUGCUCGAAAGCCUCAUCAAAUUUCAAUCCAUUGACCCUAUAUAUUUUCUCCACUCCAAAUUUUUCGAGGACUCGUUUAUCCCUGGUGGUUACAACAAUUCUACUUCCUGGACCAUAUUGAUCAAGCCCUCCAAUCAAACCCUCUAAUUGUUCAUCUUUAUUCACAUCAUCGAGUACAAUCAACACCUUCAUGCGUCGGACCCUCCCUUUAGUAAAUUGUGGAAUAUUGGGACCAGCUACUUCAAGUUUUUCACUUAAUAUUGUCGAAAGCAUUUCCUUUUGUAGGUCUUCUAGGCCACCCUCUGUUUCUGAUUUUCUCCUAACAUUUUUUGCAAAGUAUUUACCAUCAAACUCACCAGCGAAUUGAUCGAAAAUAGCUUCAGCAAGGGUAGUUUUGCCUAUACCGCCCAUACCCCAAAUUCCAACAAUUUGGACAGUAUCCGACAAAUCCAUACACAAAAAUGGUUUAAUCUGCUCAAUUCGUGAAUUUAAUCCAACUAGGCCGUUGGAUGAGUCCGUUGAGACUGUUAUUUUUUCCAACUUCUUCAAAACAUCUUCGACAAUUUUGUUUACAAGUUGCGCAUCAAGCCUAAUAUGAAGGUGCAAAGAUGCAAAAACAUUGAGUCAAAUCGGGCCAAGACAGAAACAGAGAAAAGAUGAAUUAGGAAAGAGAGUUACCUGAAUUUCGUGGAUUCAUGGCCGGCUAGAUGGGAUGUUUCUGUCAGUGCAUCCCUCCACUUCUGAACCAUUUCUUGUUUAUCUUUGAACUGUUUUUUGAGCUCAUCAAAACGGUCUCCAAAUGUUCCGUUUUGAUGCCGCACAUCAGAUGGACUUACUCCAUAGAAGAAUGGAAUAAUAAUUUGGCCGUUUGUGUUCUUGCAUUCAAGAAUCUUGACAAGUUCAUUCAGGCACCAUUUUGAAGAAGCGUAGUCCUUCGAGAAAAUGACCACCGAAAUUUUUGAACCUUGGAUUGCGUUCAAAAGGGCGGGUGAAAUCUCAUCUCCUCGCCUAAGCCCUUCAUCAUCAAUAAAUGUUUUGAUUUUCUUUCCUUCAUACAAUUUAUCAUAGAGAUAGCAAGUAAAGCUCUUACGAGUGUCCUCCCCUCUAAAGUUGAGGAAGACUUCAUAAUUGGCACAAGAAGAAGAGGAAGCCAUGAAGGAAAUUUUAGAAAAUUGGUGACAGAAACAGAGAAUUAAUCUUGAGAGUUGAGAGAGGAGAUGUAAGAAUGAACAUGUGCGAAGAUUCUUGCGAGUACAUAGUAAAUAAUUGAAUGGCUGGAGCUUUCUUAGUUUCCUGGAAAUUUCCUGGAGCUUUCGUAUACAUGAUUUGUCAAGUCAUGAAACAUAAUCAUGAUAAUGGGGCAGACCGAAAAGAAAAGCAACAAUUCAAAUAUUUGAUUCAACCAGUAUAAAAAGGAAGGAAAAGCAAAGAAAGGAAAUGUUGAAAGUAGAGUUAGGGAAUUAUAAAAAGCUGAAGGAAAUUGGAAUUUUGUACAAUUUCUCCAGCGAGGAACUUUCACAGUCGUUACCUCAUUGUUACAGUUUAGAUUAAGAUUUGAGGGUGCAAGCAUUUACCUAGAUUUUACCUCCGCACUAAAUUCUUAAGUUUGAAAAAUUAUGAGACCUUUAUAUUGGAAGAUAUUAUAAUCGAAUCAAAACUUAAAAUUUUAAUAUUGUUAAUCUUUAAUCUUUAAAAAAAAUUACCUUGCCGUUACAAUUUGGAUUAAGAUUUGAAUAAGCAUUUACCUAAAUUUUAUCUCCGCCUGUAAAUUCUUAUGUUUUAAAAAUUAUGAGACCUUUAUAUUGGGAGAUAUUAUAAUCGAAUCAAAAUUUUGAAUUUCAAUAUUAUUAUUCUUUUAAAAAAAAUUUGAGAUAACAGAGUGAUUGAUAAUAGAGAACUUGUCUAGGCAAACACAUGCAUACACAAAAAUGUGAUGGAUUCAAAAAGAAAUUAAAGUGAUAAUGUACGUGGAUCCUUAAAACAAAAAGCGAAAUCGCUUGGUGGCCCAGUAAAAUUAAGACUGAAUAUUUUUUACACGAGAAGUGUAGCUCAUAAAUGGCAAAAGCCAUUUCAUUUCACUUUUACGCGUCAUUGACUUUUGUAACAUGGUGCAUGCAUCGUCAAGUGAGGCAAAAGGGUUUCGAUUACAGUGGGAAAACAUGAACAAGAAUGCAUAAUGAAUAAUUCCUUUGAUAAAGCGAAAAUUAAACACAGAAUAAUCCUAAAAUUUAAACUCUAAUAUCUUAUAAUUUAAUGAUUAAAAAUAAUCCUAAGAGUUCCCAAUUGAAACUUUCAGAGAUAAUAGAAAAUAGCUAUGCUUUAAAAGGCCAAAGAUUAGAGAACAAAGAAGAAUUAGGUAUUGAUAUAAAAAUUAUUAAUUUUUUUGAUUUCAAGCAAAAAUAGUUUCAUAUACCAUUUCGAUUUUGGUAGGGGUGAGGUUUUGAACUUCAAUAGUUUCCUCUAAAAUCAAAAGGUAGUAAUUAAGUUAGAAAGAGCAAAGAAGACUUAUCGGUACCUUAUUGAAGGUAAACAUUAUGGAACUUUCAAUGUCAUUACCCCACUGUUUAAUUUUUAUUGAGAUUUGUGCAAGCAUUUACCUAAAUCUUACCUCUGCCUGUAAAUUCAUAAGUUUUGAAAAUUAUGAGACCUUAUAUCGGGAGAUAUUAUAAUCGAACUAAAACUUAAAAUUUCUUUUCUUUUUUUUUUUUUUUAUCAUAAAAGGGCUCUUAAGAGAGCUAAGGCAACACUAAAUGGGAGUGUGCAACCCCAUGAACAUCAUUAAUCAAUAUGUUUAGCGUAUUUGGAGGAAUAGAUUGAAAGCAAUGUAAACCCAAAGGAAAAGAAAAGCUGUACGAAGUAAGGAAAUCUGCUGCUACAUUGGUUUCUUGGUAGAUAUGAUCCACUUUGAUCAGCCAAUCACGCCGAAGGAGUUCUUCGAUGGCCUGAAUGAGAGUAAAAUGCUCAUUGACGGGAGGGUUUGAGUUAGAGAUUAACUUCAUAACACACAUGCUGUCCACUUCCACGUAAAACUUAAAAUUUCAAUAUUAUUAUUCUUUAAAAAAAAAUUGAGAUAUCAGAGUAAUAUCACAUAGAAAAACUUGCCCACGGACGGUAAGCCAAAAGUCUAGUCAACCACAUGCAUAAAGCUAAGUAGAACAAGAGAACAGAGAAACGCGUGGGUCCCUAAAGAAAAGGCAAGCACAUAAAUGAAAAAGCCAUUACAUAUCUAUUAACACGGUGUGGCAGCAUAUGCACAAUCAAGUGAGGCAAAAGGGAUUCGAUUAUCGUGGCAGAACAUGGACGAGGACGCGUGAUGAAUAAUUCCUUCGUUAAAACCAAAAACAAACGCAGAGAAAACAAUUUCUUAUAUGACAAGAAAUCAAAGUAAUGUGAAGGAACAUGAUGAAGAAAUUGCAGACUGAUCAAUUAUCCCCAUGGACUCCUAUAAAUUCAACCAAAAUAACAAUUCGAAUCUUACCAAAUUCUUGAGUUAAAUUUAUUCAAUGCUUUUAUUUUUUUAGAAAAUUUUUUUCCAAUGCUACUUUUCCUUUUUUGGGGAAAUUAGAACCGCGGCAUGUAUAGAAAACAUUGAGGUGUAAAGCAACAUUAAUUUCAUGGGAUAUGCGUUAUACGCAUAAUAUAUUUUCAGUCCAAAUUCAACUAUACAAAGAGGCUUGAGAACUUAAAAUUAAGCACAAACUAAACAGACGAAGUAAAUACAUGAUUAUGCAACAUAACAUUAAUUCUCUCAAUUGAUAACUGUUUUUGCUACAUGAAUCUUGCACAGUUAAUCCUAAUUGAAGACUAAAAAAGAGCAAUUGGAAGAAGGUUUUGGAAUAGAAUGGUAUACAAUCGAUAUGAUCCUUUUCCAGUAGUCAACGCUAAUUAACUGCAGUUUCUAGACUCCUAAUUAUACUAGCCAUAGCAAACUAUUUAGAAAACUGGUGAUCAAAUUAGAUUUUGAAAGGAAAUAAUGUUCAUUUUCCCUUCGCUGCCUUUUCUUUUCUUUUCUUUUUAUAGCAAAGAAUUAUAUCAUGAAAAGAAUCAAUUUAAUCACCUUUUCCAGCAGCCCAAUUUUUCUUUUAUAAAAUUUGACCACGGAGACAAAGAAGAAUUAUUCAUAACUUCAUCACUAAGGAAAUACUUUUCGGUAUGGCUAGGGUGAGAAAAUGCUUUCCACUAACACUUGUACUUUGUAUUCUUGUAAAUUUUCUUUAAAGUCAAUAAAAACCAUAAGUUCUUUGCAAUAACCAUCUCUUUGAUCAAAAAGUGCCGUAUUCCUUUAGAAUUUAAAACCGGCAAAACCGAAUCAGUGUCUUUGAAGAGACAUAAUGGUCGUAAUUCUUUAAAUGAGUUGGCUAUGGAAAUCCUUAUCCAAGAUUCUUUUAUGCCAUAUUCUUUCGUAAACCAAAAUUCAUUUUGAAAUACUCUAUUGAAAAUGUCAAAUAAAACGGCAUUGAAGGAAGUUUUCAAAGGCAUAAUCCGCACUUGUCAAAGGGAUGAUCUGCACUUGUCAGAGACACGAUCCGCGUCGAACGAAUCGACACAUUUCCUUUCGUAUUCGCAUAUGUAAUCUUUGAAAAAAUGUAGCUUCCGCAUCUAUAAAUAACGCUCAGUGUAUAAUGUUUUAUUCAAGAAAAGAAAACAAAUUUCUUCAUACUCCUUGUCCGAACAUACAGAGACAGUCUCUCAUAACUUCAGCCGAAUACUUAUGAUGAUGAUCAUUUGUGAUUUCAUCAGGCAUAGGGUUGAUGGUGAAAAAUUUUGUAUGUGUGAAGAAUUGAGCUGUGGAUAUAGGGGACUUAAGUGUAAUCGAAAGAGAGUUAUUAGGCCAUAGUGCAGAUUGCAUUCAGUUUAUGGGUCGAUAUGCAAAUAAUUUGUUGACGUGGCGAAAUCUGUUAUGGUCGUUACUAUUGUUUCUGGAAAUUUUCUAGAAACCUCAGCAUAAAAGGGGCUUUUGCAUAGCCUCUGGUGUGCGUGUGAUUUCUCUUUCGUUUCCUCAUCAAAUUCUGUAAUUCUUGCUUUGAUAAAAAGCUUGUAAUCAUUUCUGUAAUGUGUGAUCAGUGCGUAAUCAUUUUGAGCAAUAAAAGCUUGUGGGUUUUUCCUUCAAACAGUGUCGUUUUGGUCAGUUUGUUAGUUUGAUCUGUUGGUGGAAUUUUCUUUGGUUAUUUGUUCUCAAAUUUCAACCGUAUAUAAAGUUUGAACUCUAAUGGCUUAUAAUGUAUUGAUUAAGAAUAAUCCUAAGAGUUCCCGAUUGAAAUUUUUAAUGACUAUUUUUAUUGUUUUGGAUAUACAAAUUGCAUUAAGAAAAAAUAUUGUCAAAUUCAGAGGAUAACGGGAAAUAAUUAUGCUUCAAAAGACCAGAGAUUAGAGAAUAAAGAAGCAUUCAUUACUGACAUACAAAAGAGAAACACUCCAAAAUUGCAAGCAAACUAGUUUCAUAUACUAUUUGGAUUUUGGAAGGGGUGAAGUUUUGAGCUUCAGUUGUUCCUCUAAAUAGCAAAGAAGACUUAUUGGUACCUUACUGAAGCUAACAUUGUGGCACGGUUGUUCAUAUGUAAUGGCUGCUCUGUUAUGGUAGCUUCUCUGUUUUUGCUCACAGUUUUGAACAUGAAUUCUUGCUCAAAUAACCCAUAAUUAAUUAACAUUAAAAUGGCUCGUGAAAUCCCAUAAUAGCUAAUUACGCAACUUUCUCCUCCUCCUCAAUUAUGUCUUCCCCUGCUCGUACAAUAAAUUCAAAAUUCAAUGCCCCGAAAAACAACACAAGAAAUCUUUGAGUUAGUUCGUGACCAGUUUAUAUAUAGUAGCAAUUGAAAAAAGAAAAAGAAGAAAAGAGUUAAUUAUUAUUCAGACCUUCACUUAUUAGGAAGUUUGUUCUGCUAUUGGGUGAGGUCAAGCUCUCAGCAUAUACUUCCACAUGAUACUUUCUAACAUUUUCUUGAAAGCCAUCAAUCAUAAAAUCUUCAUACUUUUUUCCAUCCUUUGGAUCAAUGAGUACAAAUUUCUCAUCUAAAACAGACAAAAUAAAAUCACUGUCCUUCAUGGAACAUAAUGGCUGCAAUGCCUGAACUGAAUUGGCUAAUGAAACAUAGUCUUCUUUUCUUUCUCGACAUGGAACAUAGUCUUCUUUUCUUUCUCGACACAUGUCUCUGUACUUUUCUCUCUCUACUGAUCCACACUUUUUCAUACUUCUAACUAUCAUUUUGUUUUUUUUUUUUGAGUUGUGAUUUAUUCAAUUAUUUUGUAUUUUUAAUGACAAUUAUUUAAUAUUUAGUUAGUGUUGAUAUUGAUUAGUGAUUGAAAGUGUAUUUUAGAAGACUUCCGGUCUCUUGAAAAAAGGAAAAAUGGAGAAGAAGAAGAAGUGUUCUUGAUUUUUUUGUAGGCAUUAAAGUUAAACGGUUUGAAAUGAUAUUUUGUUUUAAUUUCACUCAUUAAUCUCAUUCAGGAUAAAAUUAUAAAUGCAAAUAAAUGGGGUUUCAUAAGUAUUUUUAAUAGUGUUAAAAGGUCUACUAACUAAAUAAACAUGUUUUACCCAAACCAAUCCGAUUAAUAAGUUAUUGGGUUGGGUUGAUCAGGUUAAAAAUCAAAAUUAAAAAUUAAAUAAAUAAAUAAGGCAUAAAAACUAUAUGUUACUUGAAAAUAAAAAGAAUUUCUAAUAGUUAGUUCUAAUGUCCCAUAUCCAAAACAUGCAUAUUAAAUAAAUAUUAUAAGUUAGAAAUAAAAUAUCCAAGAAAUAAUGAAUGAAAUACCAUAUUUUUGUUGAGAAUUAAGAGUGUGAUUUUAAUUUUGAUAUUGGAGUCUAAAGCAAUAGAUAGUACAAUGAAAUCAUGAAUGCUACGUUUAAAUAAUCUCUUUUAUAAAAUAAUAAAAAGAGGUUAAAAAUUAGGUUAGCAUUUAGGGUUUAGCAGUUAAGGAUGAACAUAUUAUUAUUGUUGUUGUUGUUGUUAUUAUUAUUAUUAUUAUUAUUAUUAUUAUUUACAUAUUAAUUAAUCCAACCCAACUCAAUUAUUAACGAAUUUGAAAAAAAAUGACCAAAUUAAUCCACAAUAAUUCAUUCAACUCGUCUAAAUUAGAUUAGAUUGAAUUUGAUUUGCUACACCUACAUUGAGCAACAAACCUCAACGCGAUUCUAUGAGCUCUUUGAUUGUUUAUAAAAUUGAUUUAGAGUACAUAAUGGAGUGUAUCGACAAUGAAAGUGCAAAACAAAUUAUUGUAUACAUUAAAAUCUGCAAAACAAUGAAUUAUAUGUACGAACGAGUGCAAACACAUUUUUCAAUAAGAAGUUAAAAGAUAUUUAUGCAUGAAAAAGCAUACGUUUGUAGUUACUCUAAAUUUUUUAAAAAAAAUUUACAUUUAGAUCCCUAAAAUUUACGUAUAAGUACAAAAGUUUCAAAUAUUGUCUAUUAUUUUUUAACAUAUGCCUAUUCCUUGUGGAUAAUUCUGUCUCAUCACUAAUGUUGUUUCUUGCUUACAAAAAACAAAUGUCAUCUCCUUUUACAAUUUUUAUAGCGUCUCAAAAUAGACAAUGGGGGGAUUUUGAAUUUUUUAAGUCUCAAGAUAGUCUCUAAUCUUGUGAGAAAGAUUUUCUUUCAAUAAUUUGGAGGUAAAGAUAACAUAAUUUUUUGGAUAGUGUGCAUGUGUAUUUAAUUAAUAAUUUUUUAAAAAAAUACAUCAAAUAUUAAUAUCCAUGACAUAAUUUAGUUCUUAAUUUUUUUUAAAUACAUCAAAAACAUAAUUUUUUUUAACAACUUAUAGGCAUGACAAAUUUCAAGAUAUAAAUAUCAGUCAAAAUAAGUGAAAGAAAUAAUGGUGCCAAUUCUAAUUUCUUAACUAAAUUAAUUAGUGCAUGAGCCCCGAAUACGACACGAGAGUUUGAUGGGCUAACUUGGCACAAGAACGUGAAUAAAUAAUUGAUUUAAGAAAUAAUUCAACGAAAAAUAUAAUUGAUAAGAAUUCAGUAUUGAAAUGAGUUUUUUUGUGAAACACUGAAUUAAUGAUUAUUAAGCAAGAACAAUAAAAAAAUAAAUAUUAAUCAUUGAUAAGUUUCAACAAAAACUUAACACAAUCCUCAAUCCUCAUUCAAAUGAUAAAUGUCAUUCAUAUAUUCAUUAUAAAUCAACAACAAAGGUUAUAAAUGUUUAGAAAUUCUAGAGGGAAGGAAGCUAUCGCCGGACAAUCAACAACUAAAUUUGAUGUAAUUGUGGCACGAGAUGGAAUAUGGAAACUACACCAUAAUUUCAAAUGCCGCCAUAGACAUUGACUUAUCAUAAUAACAAUGAUCUAAUUAAAAUAAAAACAAAGUUUAUGGGCAUUUAUUAUUUUGCCAUUCCUCAUUUGCAAAUAGGGAUAUAAUUAUAAUUUUACCUAGUCAAAGCAAUCGGUAGUUUUCUUCAUUAUAGGAGUGAAGUAAAAACAUUUAGAUUUCAAUGUAUGUACGGAAAAAUUUGUCUUUAAAAAUACUUUCUUAAUGUGUGUAUGCAUAUUGAAAUACUCAAACCAAUUUUGGUUAUAUAUAAUUAAACAAAUUUUAAAAUAUGAAAAAUAUAAUGUAGUUAUAGUGGAUAAACAAUAAGUGAGCACAAUAUAAUUAAUCAAAUAUUAUGCCAUCAAAAGUUAAUUUUAGAAAUUCCAAAUCCAAUAGCCAACACAAUUCUUUUUUUUUUAAAAAAGUUGACACAAUUAAUAAAAUUAGCGACAUGAAUUUCACGCCAUUGAUAAUCAGCAAUUAGUAUUACUUUCUAAACUUGCUUCAACUGGUCGUUGAUGUCCGGGUCACCAAAAGUAUAAGCGAUAAUAAGGGGCAUUGGGCAAGAGUGAUGAAUGUUUAGUCGGUGCAUUUGAUUGAUAGAUAUAUAAAGGGCCGAAACUUGAGAUUAUAUUACUUUUACAAAUUUUAAUCCAAUCACAUAUUUACUGAAAACAAAAUGAGUUAGGAUACUUUAUUUAGAACCCACAUUUUAAUAAGGCUUCAUUUGAUGUAGUUUUUCAAACAGUGAUUAUUUGAGUAAAGUUUCCUCAAUAGAGUUUUUAUCAAAUAAAUUUUAUUUAUUUGGUUGUCGAUAAGAACUUUUAUUAAAAAUUAUAAAAUUAUUUAAAUAAACAUAUUUUUUAAAAUUACAUUAUAAAAAGAAUUAAAUAAAGUUAUAAAAGUAAAAUAUAUUUUAGAUAUUUUAAUAUUUAAGAAAAAAAUUUUGAAUCUCUACUUUCAGAAGCUCAAAUUUUUAGUUUUUAGUUGUAGAGACAAAAUAUCUUAUUUAAUCUUUAAAAGUUCUGCUAAAAACAAUCAAAUAACUAUAAAAUUUUUAAUAAGAGUAUAUAAAAUUAAAUAAGCAUUUAUUAAUAAUCACUUUAGUGUACUUAUCUAAUGACCAUAAGUGUUUAUUUAAUCUCAUAAGUUCUUAUUUAAUCUCAUGAGCUCUUUUCAAUUUUUUUUGUUGUUUGCUUUUUUUAGUAGAGUUUUUGAAAAUUAAAUAAACUAUUUUGUCUCUAUUAGGAAAAACUCAAAUUUUAGGUUUUUGUGAGUAAAUGUUUAAAUUUUUUUUAAAAUAUUAAAAUAUUAAAGUAAAAGUUGUAGAGACAAAAUAUCUUAUUUAAUGUUUAAAAGUUCUGCUAAAAAUAAUCAAAUAACUACAAAAAUUUUAAUAAGAGCAUAUAAAAUUAAAUAAGCAUUUAUUAAUAGUCACUUUAGUAUACUUAUCUAAUGACCAUAAGUGUUUAUUUAAUCUAAUGAGCUCUUUUUAAUUUUGUUUGUUUGUUUUUUUAGUAGAGUUUUUGAAAAUUAAAUAAACUAUUUUGUCUCUAUUAGGAAAAACUUAAAAUUUAGGUUUUUGUGAGUAAAUGUUUAAAUUUUUUUUAAAAUAUUAAAAUAUCUUUUCUUUAUUUCAUAAUCUUAUUUCAUUCUUCACAACAUAACUUUAAAUAACUCACCUAUUAAAAUAAUUUCACAAUUUAUAAUAAAAAUUUUAAUUGACAAUCAAAUAACAAAUUUUUUUUUAUAAAAACUCUAAUAAUAAAAAUUCUACUUAAAUAAAUUAUAUUUGAAAAGGUAUACCAAACGAACCUAACAUAAAAACAAAAAUUUUUACAUCCACACAAUUAAGCUUAAAACAAUUUCAAAUGAAUUUUAGACUACUCAAAGUACAAUACGUACCAAGUUUGGUAACUUAUUGGGGUCCGCUUGUAAUACAGCGUCUGUAUCUCAUACAGCCAAAUUUAAUAAUUUAUUAAGAAAAAGGGCAACCAUUAGAUAGAAGUAGAUACAUCCAACGGUUAAAAUGUUUGAUUACUCAUUUUGGCGACCGGAUAUGCCAGUUAUUAUUUCAUCAAUUAACUUACCUAAAAAAUCACAGCCGUUGGAUUGAGAUGCCUCUCUUUCCCUCAAAAUAACAGCCUUCGUAUUCUCUCUGCUAUUGUUUUCUCCUACAUCCAGAAUUUUGGAUGAAUGAACUUGGUAUUCAACAAUAUUCACCACCCAUCACAGCAAAGAGCAAAGAUGUAGUCAAAGGAGUGCCAUUUAUUCAGGCUAACUCGAUCUGUCACUCUCGCUUCAAUUCGUCACUCAUUUUCUCGCGCUCAGCUUCAAUCUAUCACUCUCAGCUUCAGUUCGUCACUCACAGCUUCAAUUUUUCACUGUCGUGAAUCAUCUCUCUUGCUGUAUCUCUCUCUUAUGUCUUCCAAUAAUUUCGGUGAGCUCUCUCUCUAAUUUAAUAUAUGAUUAAAAAUCUUAUCAUCUUAUCAUGUCAUUUAAAUAUGCUUGAAGUUUCAAUUUAGUUUAUGAAUAUUACUUGAAAUUUCAGUUUCAAUAAUUUGAUUUUGCAAUUGAGAAAUUAUUACUUGAAAUAUUGAGAUGAUUUCUAGGGAUUGAUAAUUGAAUGAUAAUUGCUAAGGCUUGUCAUUUUUUGUUUUUGAACAGAUAGAGUUACAAUUAAGUCAUACUGCAAUAUUUUAUCUUGAGAUUCUAUUAUUCACAAAAAGAAAAAAAUCAUAAAUUGAAAAAAAAAAAAAAGAGGUUACGAGCAUCAAGCAACUGCAAGUAAUGGGGUUUGUUUUGAUGAGCUGCGAAUUGGGGCCUGUCAUUUUCUUGAAGUAUCUUCAAUAUAAGUGGAAGGAGAUUUCUUCUCUCCAAAAAAUUAUUGUAUAUUUCCUUUUAAAUUCUAGAUUCGCAUGUAGCUGAUUUUUUAUGUUUGAAGGAUUUUAUUAAAGAAUGUGCUGCUGCUAGUGGCAUGAAUUAAUGUAGUCUCGCUAGUAUUCGUGAUUUGGGGUAAGGAUCGAAUUGAACAAUUAUAUUUCUAUUAUUCUUAUAUUCGAAUCCAGUGAUAUUGUGGUGGUUUUAUGAUAAUAUUCAAUUGUUUUGUGCCUCAAAUCAGCCAAUGAGUUGGGUAUGUGCUGGGUAUAUGCCGUAUGGGCUUGUUGUUGAAUUUGCUUGACCUUGGAUGUGAUUCUUGCCGUGUUUAUAAGAAAUAGACACAGGUCUUUGUGUGGUAAUAGAAUUGUCUAAGGUGCCUUACAAUAAAUUUAAGAGUCUUAAGUAACUAUGCUUUGUAACCUUAAACCUUUAUUUGUACGACUUGGUGUUCUUGGUUGUGAAAGAAUGUUAAAUGUUGACCUAUUUUCAUCGGUGAAGAUAAAUGAAGUUAGGGAAGGUUUGUAAUCACUAUAACCCUGACAAUUUUUUUGGUGGGCCGUGAUAAUUUUAUUCAUGGCAUGUACUUUGUUUUUAUCAGAAGGCCCUGUUUGCUUGUAGUCUCAAAUCUAGGGUAAUAUUUUAAAUAAGUUCUGCAAUAUAUGUUUUGCUAUUUUUCUUUUUUGUUUUUAUUUUAAUUAGUUUUAGUAUUACUUGGAGGGGAAUUCUGAUCUGCUGAAGUUUAUCAAGCUGGUGCAGUGGUGCAGCAAGCAGACCUUUAUCUUAAUCUUAUGAUUGUGCUAAGUGGAAUUUUGUGUAAGUUACAACAAUAUAAUUUUUUAAAGAGCUGACAAGACGCUCUCUCUUUUUUUUGGAAUGUUGAGCAAAACUUUUCUUUCUUAUUAGGUGUUUAUAAUAAUUCAUAGCAUGGGUUUUGUCAUAUUGGUUUCAAUGCAUUGAUUUGAUCUUGGUUACAACCCAUCAGCCCUUACUCCUCAUUCCCAGCAGCUUUUAAUGCCUUUUUUUUAAGCAUUGUACUUUGUUUCAUGAUGAAAUUUGUUUAUAUGACGCAAAGUUGAGGACACGGUAAUAGUCAUUAUUUUAAUUUAUGCAACAAAGAUCAUUAUCCAUUAAAUUUUAUGUUGUUGAAAUAUUUAGAUUUUGUAAAUUUUGUUGUAAGAAAUGAGGGCUCUUGAUCCCAUCCCUUUAUUAUAUACAAUUUUUUUUCACUCUGUCAUUCAUUUAUUGUGUGUUAGAGGUAUUAGUCAUGUGCAAAAGUAAAGAUCUUUAUUUUGUUAUUUUUGUCAUCUUGUGCUUCAUUGGUAUAAAUGAGGAAAAAAAAGAAUAAAAUAAAAUAAAAUUAUAGUUUGUGCAUGAAUUCCACCAUAUAUGAAAUGUUUAAUAGAUUAAAAAGUAAGGAGUACACAGUGACUUUGAAUAGCAGGUGGGGGAACUCAUUUUGUUUUAAAAAAAAUUAAUACAUAUUGAUAGAAUAAUUAUCCUUCACUUAAUUAUUUAAAAAUUUUAUUUUGGAAGAAUACAAAUGGACAGUCACCAAUGAAAGCGUAAACGACUACCAGGGGGCUUACAGAAAAAAUUGCUCCUAUUCUAAAAGUAGAUGGUCAGGACAAAGUUCCAACAACUUCAACUUAUGGAUUUGUCUCUUACUUGUAAGGUAAUCUCUUCUUGUAGGGUGUUUAAUUGAAUUAAAAACAGAAUAUUAUUUGCAUUAUAGAGUACAGGCAUAAAUUCAUUAUCUAUGUCAGUUCAUUCAUGAUUUUACUCCAAAUGGAGUAAUAGAUCACCAUUAAUUUAUUGAUACAUCGUCCAUGUUUGUUUUCGUCUUCAAUUUUUAUAUUACAAUAUCUAAUCUAUUUAGUAUUCGUAAAAAAACAUACGAGAAAAAGUUGGAAAAACACUUUAGGGGUGAUUGUGUACACUUUCGUAUGGCACAAAUAGCGUUAGGCUUUGUUUUUUAAGUGGACGACGUGUCCAUUUUUUGUGUUACAUCUUACUCAUUAAUAUAUUUUUGAGUUUCUUAUGGAAAAAAAAUUGAAAAAACACUUUAAGUGAAAAAAAUUUGUAUUUCAAUUUAUAUGUAACAGUGAAUUGGAAAAUAAAUUCUACCAAUAAUUAAAAGAAUACUUUUCUUUUAAUUAUUAAAAAGAUAAGGUAGUUACUCAUUACCCAUAUAAAUGGACAGUUUUAAUUUGUUCCAUAUCUAUACAACAGAAGAGCUUCAGACACGGUUUGCAGCGUUCCACGAUCACUUCCAUUCUAAGCAGCAGCGUCUUCCGUCUUUUUGCACACCAACAGCAGAUUCUAGAUGGCCAGAAGCUCAUCUGCCGCACUCUCGGGAUUUCGCUGCCAUCCUCAUCUUCAUCUCCACUACCUCCUCAGUGAUUAUCCCCUGGUUUUAUGCUCAGAAAUUAUGAUUAUUAUGUAUCUUGUUUUCAGAUUUGUCAAUACUUGUUAUAUUUUGAUUAUGCAUUAUGGACAUUUUUCAUAAGAUAGCUUAAUUUUGUGGUUUGUGUUGACGAUUUCCAUGUAUGGAUGUUUGGAUAGGUAAUUUCGCCUUCCAUGCAUUCUUCAUUCCUGCAUCCUGUGGGAGAAAAUUGGAAAAAGUGGUUUUUGAUGAGAAACGGGGAGAAGGAUGAGAUAUAUAUUUUUGAAGUGUCACAUUAUUUCAAAAACAAACCCCAAAUUUAAUUUCUCUUACCGAUCAUGAGUUAAAAUAUAAAAAUUAACGUUUACUCAUCACACUGUUAUAAGUAUCAAAGCAUUACUUAUAGAAAAAUUAUCGUCACCUAUCCUACAUUUGUGAUUGAAUAGUGGCACAAUUUUAAUUGGGAUAUUUAACAUUACUCUUUGUAAUUGUUUGGUCUUAUUUGAAGUUUGUAAAUUUUUCAUAACUAUGACUUCAACAGCAUAUUUCAGGUUGCAUUUAAUCGUUGCUAUAAUUAGGUACUUUGAAAUAAUUUAUUGGCCACGAUUACAGUCAUUGUUAUUAGUCACCCCUCUUUUUUCUCUUUUGGCCAACCAGCUCUUGGAUAUUUGGGAACCGAUGACAAUAGUUGGGAAAUUAUGUAAUAUUGGUGUGUUUGCGAAAUAAAUCAAGAGAUUUGCCUUGCCGAAGUUAAAAGAGAUAUUGUGGCCUGAAUUUUUUUUUUUUUUCUCUAGGGGCCAUGGCUCUCAAGGACAAGGCAUGAAUCAUGCAUUAUAAUUGCUCGAAAGGGUUAGUAAAAUAGCAAUCUAAAAUACCCAAGUUGGAUCUGCUGUUGAAUCACAAAAAGAACAUAAUUGGGAUAUGAAGUCAUGGUUGCAAGUGUUGGACCCUUAGGUUACGUUUGGCACGUAGGAUUGGAUUGAACUAAUUACUAAAAUUGGAUUGAAUUAUAUUCGAUUGGAUUAAACUGGAUUAUAUUAUAUAGUUCUAUGGUUAGUACAAUAUCGGAUUAAACUAUGUUAAAUUAUAUUUAAAUAAUAUUAAAUAGCAUUUAAGUUGGUAUUUUAAUAUUAAUAUCAAUUAUUCAUGAAAUUUCAUAAUCAUAAUUAAAAUAAAUUUAAAAAACAAUUACCAGGAAAAUUAAAUAUAUUGUAAAUAAGUUACUGGGUAGUCAUAAUACAGUAAACAAAUGAACAUAGAUAAAAAAAUUAAAUUUUAAAUAAUUUUUAUCAAAUUUUAAAAAAAAAUUAUAUAAAAUCAAUUAUUUAAUGGUAUUAUUAAUUUUCAUGAUUAUUUUUAAUAGUAUAUAACAAUGAUUAUUAAAUUUAAUACAAUCAAAUAAUGCAAUAAAUAAUUAAACAUUUAAUUUUAUCAAUAAAUUACUAAAUAUACAAGUGGUGAAAAUUUAAUCUCCAGAGUUAGUACAAGUAAAGGUAUUAAUUUAAUUAGAUCAUAGAUAAUAAAUAAAAAUAAGUUUUAAGUAAAUCAUAUUAAAAAUUAAUUAAUUAAUUAAUACUAGGUGUAAAUAAAAAAAAUGAUAUAAAUAAAAAUCUCAUAAAUGGACAACUUUUUUCUUUAAUCUUAUCCCAACUAAACCCAUGCGUAAAUUAGGAUUAUCAAUUCCAUGAUUUUAGGAUUAAAUUUAAAUUACUACCCCCUUAAUCCAAUCCAACUAAGCUUGCCAAACAUUGGAUAAAUAUUUAAUUCCAAAAUUAGUCUAAUCCCAUACUUAAUCCUAGAAUCCAAACAUGGCAUUAGCACCUUAUAUAACAAAGUGUCACUGAAAUACAGCAAAACGUUAUAAACAAGAACUUAUUUCUGUACAAAAUGUUAUUUACUUUUUGUGAACUUCCAAAUACCUACUAUAUGAUUUGCAAACCCUACAAAAGUCUACCUUGCAUGCUCUUUCUAACGUGAAAUUUGAUUUUUAUUAAAUUUUUGAUGUGUUCACUAAUAAAUAAUUGGAAUCUAAAAAAAUUAGAAAAAAAUAGAAUUAGAAUGAGCUACAAUAAAAAUGAGGAAUAACAAAAAAAAUGAUAUUUGUUGAGAUGAAUGAAACACAAUUGAAAUACUCUAUAUCGCUCUUAAUAUGUUCACUUUGUGAACAUAAAUUAGAAUUAGUUGUUAUAACUUAGUAAUUUAUCCUCAAUCAAUUAUUAUCAUUAUUACUAUUUGUUAUAAUAAUUGUAAUUAUUAUUUUUGAUAAUUUUAAUACUAAGAAAAUUAUUGUUAGGGGUGGAAACACCAUAUAGAGAAGGAACAAUUAAAUUUAUAAAAUUUAGUGGGGAUAAAAUAGUCACUUAAGACAGCAAGCGUCUCCCAUUCUCACCUCCACGAGCAUGAAAACACUAGUAAUCAUUCUUAAAUUUUGAUGGAAUCUGUUGCUUUUAUUCUAAUAACGAACGCAAAACCUAUGGAAUUAGUUGGAAUAACGAAUGCAAAACCUCUGGAAUUACAAUUGAAAUACGUCAACCCAAAAUGGAGAAAGCACAACUAAAAUUAGAGACCUACAAAACCAAAAAUAAACUUAUAGAAAACAAACCCGGUACCUAAUCUCAAUAAUUGGAAUCUCAACCAGUUAAUGGAAAUAUUCAACUCAAAAUUAGGGAAAAAUUAGAUGAAACACGUGAACCAUUGAGAGAGAAAGUAUGACGAAAAUUAGAAACUCAUUUAACGAAAAAUAAUAUUUACUUGGAAUCUAACCCAUGAUACUGGUACCUAAGGAACUUUAUAGGAAUAUGAAACGCAAAACCAGUGGACCAAUAAGUUGAAACAUGUGAACCAAAAAAUGAAAAACUAUAACCAAAUCUUGAGACUAAUCAAACCAAGCAAAAGUAAUAUUGAUAUUUAACCCAUAUAAUUGGAAUUUUACCAAAUUAGUUGGAAUAACGAAUGUAGAACUUGUGGAAUUACAAUUGAAAUACAUCAACAAAAAAUGGAGAAAGCACAACCAAAAUUAGAGACCUACAAAACCAAAAAUAAAUUUAUAGAAAAUAAAUUUGGUACCUAACCACAAUAAUUGGAAUCUCAACCAGUUAAUGAGAAUUCUCAACGCAAAACUAUAGGAAAAAUUAGCUGAAACACAUGAACCAUUAAGAGAGAAAUUAGAACGAAAACUUGGAACUUAUCCAACGAAGAAUGCUCGUGACUUGGAAUCUAACAACAAAUAUUGGUACUUGACUAAUUUAGUAGGAAUAUCAAAUGCAAAACUCAUUGACCAAUAAGUUGAAACAUGUAAACCAAAAGAUGAAAAAGUAUAACCAAAACCUGAGAAUAAUCAAACCAAGAAAAAGUAAUAUUGAUUUUUAACCCAUAUAAUUGGAAUUUUACCAACUUAAUUGGAAUAACGAAUGCAAAACCUGUGGAUUUACAAUUGAUAUACGUCAACCCAAAAUGGAGAAAGCACAACCAAAAUUAGGGACCUACAAAACCAAAAAUAAAGUUAUAGAAAACAAACCUGGUACCUAACCUCAGUAAUUGGAAUCACAACCAGUUAAUAGGAAUAUUCAAUGCAAAAUUGGGGAAAAAAUUAGAUGAAACACGUGAACCAUUAAGAGAGAAAGAACAACGAAAACUAGGAACUUAUCCAACAAAGAAUGAUAGUUACUUGGAAUCUAACAGUAAAUAUUGGUACUCGACGAAUUUAAUAGGAAUAUCAAACGCAAAAAUAGUGGACCAAUAAGUUGAAACAUGUGAACCUAUAGAUGGAAAAGAAUUACCAAAAUUUGUAACUAAUCAAACCAAAAAAAGUAAUAUAGAUAUCUAACCCAUAUAAUUGGAAUCUCGACAAAUUAGUUGAAAUAUUAAACAAAAAACUAGUGGAAUAAUAGUUGAAACACAUGAACCAAAUGUGGAGAAAGUUUAACCAAAUUUUGAAACUUAUCCAAUGAAGAAUGCUAGUUACGUGGAAUCUAACAACAAAUAUUGGUACUCGACGAAUUUAAUAGGAAUAUCAAACGCAAAAAUAGUGGACCAAUAAGUUGAAACAUGUGAACCUAUAGAUGGAAAAAUAUUACCAAAAUUUGGAACUAAUCAAACCAAAAAAAGUAAUAUCGAUAUCUAACCCAUAUAAUUGGAAUCUUGACAAAUUAGUUGAAAUAUUAAACGAAAAACUAGUAGAAUAAUAGUUGAAACACAUGAACCAAAUGUGGAGAAAGUUUAACCGAAUUUUGAAACUUAUCCAACGAAGAAUGCUAGUUAUUUGGAAUCUAACAACAAAUAUUGGUACUCGAUGAAUUUAGUAGGAAUAUCAAACGCAAAAAUAGUGGACCAAUAAGUUGAAACAUGUGAAUCUAUAGAUGGAAAAGCAUUACCAAAAUUUGGAACUAAUCAAACCAAAAAAAGUAAUAUCGAUAUCUAACCCAUAUAAUUGGAAUCUCGACAAAUUAGUUGAAAUAUUAAACUAAAAAUUAGUGGAAUAAUAGUUGAAACACAUGAACCAAAUAUGGAGAAAGUUUAACCAAAUUUUGAAACUUAUCCAACGGAGAAUGCUAGUUACUUGGAAUCUAACAAAAAAUAUUGGUACUCGACGAAUUUAGUAGGAAUAUCAAACGCAAAAAUAGUGGACCAAUAAGUUGAAACAUGUGAACCUAUUGAUGGAAAAGCAUUGCCAAAAUUUGGAACUAAUAAAACCAAAAAAAGUAAUAUCGAUAUCUAACCCAUAUAAUUGGAAUCUUGACAAAUUAGUUGAAAUAUUAAAUGAAAAACUAGUAGAAUAAUAGUUGAAACACAUGAACCAAAUGUGGAGAAAGUUUAACCGAAUUUUGAAACUUAUCUAACGAAAAAUAAAUUUAAUUGGAAUUUAACCCAAAAUAUUAGUGUUUAACGAGUUUAGUGGGAAUAUUAAACAUAAAACUAGUGGAUCGGAAAAUGGAGAUAAGCAAACCAAUUAGUGAGAAAGUUGAAUCAAAAUUAGGUAUAUGUGAAAUUAACUUGGAAUGUCACCUAAUAUAUUGAUAUUUAACCAAAAGAAUCGAGACAUGCUCAUUUUAAUUUUUUUAAACUUUUGUUGCAAUUAAAAAUAAUUUUUUCACUUAAAUAUUGUUUGUGUUAAAUAUUUACAAAAUUUCCUUAAUUUUUCCUGUUUCAUUUUAUUUUUUCUACAUUAAAAAUAAUUUUUUAAAAAUUAUUAAAUGAACAACCGGUAAAAUACCGGUUGUUCAAGUUUCCUUUUUACUGUUGAAGGGGCUGUAUUUUAUACAGCACUGUACUAUAGGAAGACUCAACUUAUUGACAUCUUCUCAUAUAACCUUCGAUCAAGUCGAUUCUGACCUGACGACUAAUUGGUACAUCACCGUUGUUCUCUAUACUCGCAUGCAUCGGAUCACAAAUCUCACUCCAAUUGUCGUCUUUCUUCGCCGUUUUAGCGCAUACUUCUUGAAUUUCCCGCAUUUCGUUCCCUCCUGUUACAAGUCUCCGGUCAGGUCAGUGAUUGAAUUUCCCGCAUCUCUAUCCCUCCCGUUUUCUCGCGUCGUUUCACUUCAAUUUCUCGUGUCUCCUUUCAGUUUAAGUGAUUGAAUCAAUUUUAUCGCAGUCAUAAGAGAAAUUAAGUAAUGCUCUUGGAUUUAAAAUUUUUUUGCUUUCGACUUUAGAUCUCGAAAGUCAAACUCUGCUACGAAUCCAUAGAUUCUCAAUGCUCAUAAUCUUAUUUGUGUUUGACCAGGUAACUGGAUCGUGAAAUUCGUCGUUUUGUAUCAAUUCAAGCUUUCGCGAGCUCAUGGAAUCACCUGGUGAGUUGUGGUGAAACGUUAUCGUUUCAAUUUUCGCUUAAUUCUUUAUUGCAUAUUUUUUUCUCUAAUGUUUCAGUUUAAUUUAGAAAAGAAAGAGGCCCCAAAAAGAGAGAGAGAGAGAGACUCUACCAUACUCAAUUCCUUGCUCAUUCUGAUUUGGCCUGAAUGUUGGCAUUGACUAUUAUUUGUUUUCAUUUCGAUUUAAUUCUCAUUUAGACAGUCUUUACUAACGGUCAAUAAUAGUUUAAGGAAAAUGAUCAUAGGGAUUCUGCAAUAAUCUUUCUGCAUUGUUCAAGUUAGUAGACAAUGAAUAGGAUGUUUAUGUUUACCUCAUUUUGAACCCUGAGGGCUUCGUUGAGUAGUUGAUUCAACAUAUCCAGCAACGGUUGAUGUGAGAACAGAAUGCCACUUAGAUAGGCUUAAACUGAUUUUGGAGGUUUGUAUUGGUUCUAUUGUACGUCUUGCUUACAAAUUUUUAAUUUUUAAUUUUGUAUAAUAUGCUCUUUGUUGGUAAAUCUCAUUUGACUUAGAAGAGAUAGUUUUAUCCCAACAGUGGGAUAAAUCAUUGAGAUGCAUGGCAGUGUGAAUAUAGUAGACAAAAUCAUUGAGACACAUGGUGGUGUGAACAUAGUAAACUUUGUCAAACACAGCUAAGAUAAACAAAUUGUUUCAUUAGCCUUUACCUUAUCUGCUGUGAUGAUUCAAAUUAAUGCUGUUUGGUAGGUUGCAAAAAACGAAAUGAGCUGUCUGUUCGUAUUAUUUAGUCAGAUCUAUUGCAAUAAGUUGAAGUUCAUUGUCACAUGGGUUGGGAGUAGCGUGGGCUGUGAGUAGUAGAAUGGAUUUAUGGAGUUGAUACAAGUGCCCAUAAUCUAUCAUGUCAUUCUAGGAUUAAAUGGAUUGCACAUUACUGUAAAGAUGGAGGUUAAAUUUAUAUAAUUCGGAUUGAUUGUAAAAUGGGAGGCAGAGAUGAGUUAGAAAAAGAAUGACCUGUGUCCUUUUUGAGCUGUUUCUAAAUCUCCCUGGUGUGCUUCAUGCUUAACACGUGUCUUUCCAAAUAAUUUUGCUUAACCUGUGCUUGUCUACUUCUUGUGCUAUUCUGUGCCUGGUCCUGAGCUGUGUUGGUAGAUUGACAUAAUUUUGCUCUGCUAAAUGUAUAACUUAUUAAUCAGAGUCCUGUUAUUAUGGUUUGACACUACUGACAUAUUGUGUUGGUAUUUAUUUGUACUUCCCUUGGUUGAAUUAUUUGCUGUCUCCAUGCAAUUCGAUAUGGUGCUACUUGGUUUUUGAUCAUCCAUGACGCUAUAUAUAUGUAAAGGAUGAAUUGAUUGUUUUGGCUUGUAUUCUCACAUUUUAUGAUUGAUCGAUGGAAAGGUUUUCAUGCAUUAAAUUCAACCUCACAAGCGUAAGAUUGACAGAUUGUGGGCAAAUUUUCAGGAAAAGAAACUAGACUUCAUGGAAGCAAUGAAGCUUGAAAUUGAACGUCUGCAGCUGAAUCUUUCUGCAGCUGAAAGGGAUAGAACUUUAUUGUCAAUUGGAACUGAUCCUGCCUCUAUAAAUCCAAAUGUAUUGCUUGAUGAAUCUUACAUGGGAAGACUGUGUCGAGUAGCAAACACUCUUGCAUUACUUGGCCAAGCUUCCCUAGAAGAGAAAAUUGUUGGUGCAAUUGGCCUUGAGAAUAGUGGUGAUAGUGUUUUAGACUUCUGGAAUAUUACUAGAAUCGGAGAGAGUUGUUCUGGUGGUGGGUGCGAGGUUUGUGCAGAAACUAAGGUGCCUGCUCUUGCUUCCUCAACUGCAACAUCUGUUGGAUCUUCACAAUCCCCUUUGUUGUGUUCUCAAUGUGAAAGAAAAGUUUGCAAAGUUUGUUGUGCAGGAAGAGGAGCUCUACUGUUUUCAAAUUAUAAAUCAAGGGAUGUGACCAACUACAAUGGCUUCUCAAGUCAGAGUGGAUCAAGCCAUGGAAGCCAAGUUGAUGUAGCUACCAGUCGUUCACUAACACUGGAUGGCGUUAUCUGUAAACACUGUUGCCAUGAGAUGGUGCUUGAUGCAUUGAUGUUGGACUAUGUUAGGGUCUUGAUUAGGUUGCGAAGAAGUUCCUGUGCAGACAACGCAGCAUACAAUGCUUUGAAUGAGGUUGUUGGAUCCUGCUUAAAGGAUAGUCUUUCUGAGAGGAUUCAGUCUUCCGAUAAUGCGCAAGCAGCUAAAGUCCUGCACCAAUUAUGUGGUGGACAGGAAGCACUUGCUGAAUUUCCAUUUGCUAGCUUUUUGCACUCGGUAUGUUCUUGGUUUGUAUUCAGUUCUCAUCAUAUUAUGUUUUCCUUUUAAAUUUCAUUUCUUGAUUAAAAUUUUUAGAAAUGUGUUUUAGCAUUUAUUCUUAUGAUAUAUGCCCGGAACAUUCAUCCCACUUAUCCAUGAGAAUCCUUGUCUGGUUUGAUUUUCAAUUGAGACAUUUUUGGGAACCCUGCGCAGGUUCCAUAUGCUAAUAAUCUUUGAGGUAAGGUGUUGUAGGAUGCCUUGAGAAGCUAAAAACCCAUUACAAGGAAAAGGUCUUGCAUUGUUUUGUGCAAUCUGUGUGCGAGCUAGUCAUGUCUCUAAUAAUUUCAUAGUUUGCUUGAUUGGAAUUUUUUAUCUUGAUAUGGAUUGUUUAUUCUAGAUUCCUUGGUGCCACUGUAGGUUGAAACAGCAAAAGAUUCAGCACCGAUUUUGUCACUGCUUGCUCCAUUAAAUUCUGGAUCAAGGCACUCAUAUUGGAGAGCUCCACCUAGUACUACUUCUGUUGAAUUUGUUAUUGUUCUCGGUUCUGUUUCUGAUGUCAGUGGGGUUAUCUUGCUUGUUAGUCCUUGCGGCUAUUCUGUGGCUGACACUCCGAUGGUAAGUGCCAUAUUUAUUCCCUUAUUUCCUUGUUGUUCAAUAAAUUUGGUGAUAAGCCAAGUGGCCUUAAUAAUGAAGCCCAGUACCAGGGUUGGUGGGUAAUAGAUAUUCAACUUGUGAAUAUUCCUAAGCAAACACUGAAUCAACAUAUACCUCGGCUAAAGUUCUCUAUGCUAUUAUAACAAAAGUCAUAUUUUGAAAUGAUUAAAAGAGUCCCUGUGUAGUGCCAUUUCCAAAGAAAUUGCAGCUGGGGGUUUAGUUUCAUGUAGGUUAGUUUCCGAUAAUAAACUUUCUAUUUCAUUAAUUGCUGAUGAAAAAACCAAGUAAGAACAGUUUUGUUGCUCGUCAUUUUUGUAUAUUUUGGUAAACUGUAAUUUUAAAUUCUCAACGAUCUUCCCUUUGUAGGUAAGAAGAUGGUCCACUCACUUGAUAUUUAUGAUUGUAGAUCAGGUUUCUAUUGGUUUGCCUUUAUCAUUUAGAACCCAUGUUUGAUAUUAACAGAGAUCACGUCAAUAAUAUCCUAUUUGGGUAGAUGUGGGUGAGGAUUUAAAAUCAAAUUUGAAAUUGAGGGGAAAGAAGAGAAAAGGAACCACAAUAAUUAAACAAAAUAAUAGGAACUAUUCUGAUGAGUUUUAAUCUCGAGAGGAACAAUUUUCAAAUGCACUGCUAGAGAAAUUGUAGCUUUUUGUCAUUAGUUAAAAGGAAAAAGAAUAAGAACUAUCCGGCCCUUUCCUUCAUGAAUGUGUGUUGAGGUUGCUGUAUUAUUUAGUCAGUAUUUGUAAUUUUCUUCCCUGCAGUGCUCUCUGCCUCCUGAAUUUGCUUCCUAUUGCUGUUACAGGUGCAAAUCUGGGCAAGCAAUAAGAUACACCAGGAGGAAAGGUCAUCAAUGGGAAAAUGGGAUGUCCAAUCCCUCAUCACAUCUUCUUCAGAUUUGUAUGGUCCAGAAAAGUCUGCUAGUGUUGAAAAAUUACCUAGGCAUGUAAAAUUUACUUUUAAGAAUCCUGUUAGGUGCCGCAUUAUUUGGAUCACAUUACGUCUUCAGAGACCUGGUUCGGCUUCAGUUAAUUUCGGGAAGGACCUCAGUCUUUUGUCUCUUGAUGAAGAUGAAAACCCCUUUGCACAAGUAGACAGACGUGCUUCAUUUGGAGGAGCAGUUGAAAAUGAACCAUGUAUUCAUGCCAAAAGAAUUCUUGUAGUCGGAAGCCCAGUAAAAAGGGAGGGGCUUACCACAUCACAGAGCUCUGAGCAGCUAAGUAUUAGAAACUGGUUGGAUAGAGCUCCACAAAU